GGUGGCUUCUCUCCCUUAGGUGGUUUGCCAACUGGGGUUGGUGGCUUGUAUGAGUCUUCAGCAUUCUCUGCAGGAGGGUGACCAGGGUUGUGACCAUAAUGUGGUGGCUUCUCUCCCUUAGGUGGUUUGCCAACUGGGGUUGGUGGCUUGUGUUCUGGGAGUGGCUUCUCCCCCUUGGGAGGUUUUUCCAAUGGGGUUGGUUUGUGUUCAGGAGGUGGCUUCUCCACUGGAGGCUUGUGUUCAGGAGGUGGCUUCUCCACCGGAGGCUUGUGUUCAGGAGGUGGCUUCUCCACCGGAGGCUUAUGCUCUGGUGGUGGCUUCUCCACCGGAGGCUUAUGCUCUGGUGGUGGCUUCUCGAAUGGGGGAUGCUUAGGGUAAUCAGCAAGUGAGGGGGCGGUGAGAACCACCAGGCCAAGCAAGACCACUAGCAAGUAUGUAGGAGACAUCUUUGGGUUUAGACUCAGAUGGUGCAAAACUAGGAGAAUUGUCUUUUAUAGCGGAUCGCACCCAAUAAUGAAAUGACACGUGUCUUUAUGACCCAUGUGUAAUGGGGUCGAUUUGGGUCCUACAGUGUUGAAAACUUCGACAUCCACUUUUGGCCUUUUGCUUUCUCUACAGCCGCCUUGCUUUUUCCCUCUUUCCUUUUGUUUUCCUCCUGCCCCAUUCUAUCAACUAAACACAAUUAUGUAGUUGUUUAAUUCUUAAAUGAGAUAUUAUCCGUCAAUCGUAUCAUAUUUUAUCAACAGAGAACGGAGUGCAAUGUGGCAAUCCAAAGAAAGAAGAUCCAUAAUGCAGCUGUAAUUUUAUCGUUUACUUUUAUCUCUUGGACCACUGCAUUUUUGUUAAGAGGUGCAAUAAUACACGUCUUUAUCUGCCAUUCAAUGUUUACAGUAAAGAGAGGGCACAAAACUCUUCACUGCUCUGCAUGUGUCCCAAAAAUGCAAUUGGACAAAUUAUGAUUUGCAUGCUAAAAAGAGGCAAAUGAGGUUAAUUCGCACCAUAAUUAUUUUGUUUUCUGGACCCCGGGGCCCUUUGGUUGGUUUGGGGGUCAGAAAAUGAACAUCAUAGGGGGUUUUUCCCUUAUGUGCAUUUGUAUCUGAUGGCUUUAACUCGCCUUGUUACUACAAAGAAAUUGUCACAUAUAGGAACUUAUUCCAGGCUGAGUAUCUCCGCAUAGACCCUAUAAAAGAAGACAAGUCAUAAUGAACAUCUAACCUUUGUUCAAUUUGAUUCAAUGCCCCAUUGUGUCCACCUCACAAAUCUGAAUUAUUAUAUCCAUUGAAUACAUAAAUUAAUGAAGAAAAUAUGAAACCCAAGAUACAUCUCUGCACAACCUCAACCCUGGUUGCUAUGUUUCCCUUCUAUUCACAUGAGGAUAUUGAUUACGGAAUAGGGAAACCUAGCAAGGGUUUACUCGGCUCUGGUUUGAUGCUAAUUGCCAAACUUGCAACAAGCCCUGAGUUUGAAGCUCACAGAAGAUGUUAUACAGGCAGGGAAAAACCUUCAGAGUUCGCUGCCAAAGAUAAUUAUUAAGGAGAUAUCACCAAGAGAAUUCCAAGGAGUCUGAAUCAAAGACAAAUUGGUCGUUCGUGGAGGUUCUUACUUUCUUUUGGGUAUAACUCACUGAGGGCACUGUCUUUUUUAUUUUCAUUUCACAUUUAGAGUUCUGUUCUGGAAACAUAUAAAAGGAGCAUCAGUUUGUUCUUGGGUAACCCAUAGUCGUGAGUGGGUCCAUUUGCAUGCUACUUAGUUGAAAAGUUGGACCAUUUGCUCCGACGCCUACCUCCUGGAUUCCAUGCUCGGAUAAAACAAGAAUAAAAAAAUAUUUAUAAUUUACAAAUGGGGGAAAGAAAAAAAUGUCAACAACAAACUAGGAAAAAAGAGUAGUAAAAUUCAUGUCACAUGCUAGUGAGAGAAGGGGUUGUUACACUCACUCGAAGUUCUUUUCAAAAUAUCGCAUGGUAUUUUAUUUUAUGUGUGAGCGCAGUUGUGAAUGGAACGUGCAAAAGUCCAAAUUGGUGACCUUUAAUAAAUAUUUAAAACAAAAAACGAAAAAAAGGAGGGAAAAGGGAUCAGAAAAGAUAAAACAAUGUGUACAAAAGCUCAAUUAGUUUGCAAAUUACUGUUUGGAUUUUGAUAGUAUUUUAUUUGAUGUAAAAGAGAAUUUAAGAUAUUUCCGAAACAAAAGCAUUAGUUUGCUCCAUGUCAAUUUCGGCAUUUCUCAUAUGUUUCACACAUACACAGAAGAGCAUCGUUUUUUAAAGCAUGCAUUUAUGUUGGAUUAAUUUGGAUUUUGUGGGAACUGGGGCAAGGAUCACAUGGAAGAGAGGUUGACUUUUUUCAGUACUUCAAUGGUUGAGACAGGUGAAGGCCUGAUUGAUACUGAAGCCUGAAAUUGCGACUCCGUCAUUUGUCAAAACAUAUGACAGCUUCCAUGCUCUCGUUUGGUUGCAUUGUUCUGUGGUCAUGCAUACAUGCCACUUAGUGAUCAGUCUGUAACUGUCAAUCAUUGGGCUUUGACUGAACAACAUCAGCCAUGUAUAAAUACUUGCAAAUCAAACGGUCUUCUUCCUCCCAUAAGGAAUUUCGGUUUAAUUAUGAAGCAUGCAUUUGGCUGACCAUCAUAAACCACUUCUUUAAAUUGAUGAAUGAUAGUUUUUCAUUCAUUCUUUCAUUCGUUCAUAUACAGAGUAUAUAUAGAGGGUAAUCAUCAUUCUAAGAAUGGGAAAGAAUGAUACAAGGAAAUAAUGAUAUAAAGAAAUAACAACUAAUAUUCUAAUAUCUCAACUUUCCUAAUAUCUAAACAUUCCUAAUAUCUCAACACUAAAUGAUAUAAAGAAAGAAUGAUAUAAGGAAAGCAUUCCUAAUAUCUCAACACUCCUCCUCAAGUUGGUGCAUAGAUGUCAAACAUGUCCAACUUGUCUAAAAAUUUUGAGAACAGUUGACUUGAGACAUCUUUGGUGAGGAUAUCGGUCAAUUGAUCUUCUGAUCGAAUCUUAGGCAAUUCCACAAUCUUAUCAUCCAACUUUUCCUUAAUGAAAAAUCUAUCCAUCUCGACAUGCUUUGUACGAUCAUGUUGUACUAGAUUAUGAGCAAUGUCACAUGCUGCUUUAUUGUCACAAAACAAUCGGAUUGGUUGCCUAGAUAGGUAACCUAAAUCCUAUAAGAGGAGUCUUAGCCAUAAUGCCUCACAAAGUCCUAAAGUCAUACCUCUAAAUUCCGCUUCUGCACUUGAACGAGCGACGACAUUUUGCUUCUUACUUUUCCAUGUCACAAGAUUACCACCUACAAAGGUAAAGUAACCAGAUGUAGAUCGCCUAUCAUCCACUGCACCGACCCAAACAGCAUUAUACUUCUAUACUCUGAUGAUCAACAUUUUUAGCGAACAAAAUUCCCUUCCUAGGAGCAUUCUUCAAAUACCUCAAAAUACGCAUGACUACAUUCAUAUGUUGCUCUCCAGGAUUAUGCAUGUAUUGACUCACUACACUCAAUGUAUAAGCAAGAUCUAGUCUUGUAUGAGCUAAGUACAUUAAUCUCCCCACAAGUCUCUGGUAUCUUCCCUUAUCGAUUGAUACUUGAUUAGGCUCAACACACAAUUUCAGACCUUCUUCUAUUGGUGUAUUAAUAGGUUGACAUCCCGACAUUCCAGUUUCCUGUAGAAGAUCUAAGGCAUACUUUCUUUGAGACAGAAAAAUUCCUUCACUUGAUCGAGAAACUUCAAUCCCAAGAAAGUAUUUCAGACGACCAAGAUCUUUCAUUUCAAAUUCUCUAGAUAGAUACUUUUGCAAAGCUUUUCUUUCUUCAGGAUCAUUUCCUGUAACUACAUGUCAUCCACAUAUAUCAUAAGUGUCGUAAUCUUACCAUGUUGCUUUUUCAAGAACAAAGUGUGAUUUGAAUUACUUUGAUGAUAGCCAAAAGCUCUCAUUGAUUUUGUGAACCUUCCAAACCAUGCUCUCGGGGAUUGCUUCAACCCAUACAAUGACUUCUUCAAUUCGCACACCUUCUGACAUUGCUUUUCUGACACCAUGCAUCCUGGUGGAAGAUCCAUAUAUACUUCUUCAGAUAAAUCGCCAUGCAGAAAGACAUUUUUUACAUCGAACUAUUGUAAUGGCCAAUCUAGGUUUGCAGCUAAAGACAAUAAUACUCGAACUGUGUUGAUCUUAGCUACAGGUGCAAAUGUCUCUGUGUAGUCAAUUCCAUAAGUUUGAAUGUACCCACUAGUCUUGCUUUAAAUCGUUCAAUACUACCAUCUGCCUUGUACUUCACAGUAUAGAUCCAACGACACCCAACUAGCUUCUUUCCUGGUGGACAUUCUACGAGUUCCCAUGUUUCAUUUUUCUGCAAUGAUUUCAUCUCUUCAUUCAUGGUUGCUUUCCACUUUGGAUCAGCUAAAGCUUCCUGCACACUAUUAGGAAUAGCUACAGUAGAUAAUUGAUUUACAAAUGACUUAUUUGAUUCAGACAAACCAUGGUGUGGACCCGCAUUUUUCACGUGCGCCUCUACUCGAUCGGCGAGACUCGCUUUCUAUUUGUGAAAAAUUAAUUUUAGAAAAGUUGGAGUCGCCACCUAUUUUAUUUUUAUUUUGAAGGGAAAAUAAAACAAGAAAGAAAAACCCUAAAAAGUGACUCCAUAGUUUUGGAAAAAGCAUGUCUUUGGGAAACCUGAGUCUAGGUCCGGGGAUCAUGUUACUUAUUGGGAAGGUACCUCUAGGAGGUAGCACCCCUCUAAGCCUUAUGAAGGUCUCUACUAACUAAAUUAAGGGAAGUGUGGCAAUAAAUCGAUUGAUCAUAGAUACCUAAGUAGACUAGGUGAUUUUAAAGUGUGGCAUGUCAAACACAAUCAAAUUGCAAUAAAGGAGAGUUAGGGCGCGUACCUGAACCGCUUCUCAAGCGCUAUCAUAAAACAUCAAUGGUUAAUUUAAAUAAUAUAUCAUCCAGCAUGUAUUUUAUUAGAAAUAAUCAAACAAUGAAACAUGUAUAUCAGAACACUCAAGCAUUAUUAGACAUAAGCAUUAUUUCACUAUUCACAGAAUUCAGAAAGUAGGUGAUAGAGGACAUACCUGGAUAGCAUAGAUAAUUUGUAAUGUGCUUCCUCAAGUUGUAAGGGGUUAGAUAACAAAUAAUAAAAUAUAGAAAUCCUAGCAUGCUCGUUAUCUAAUUAGCAUAGCAAAAGUGAUCACAGUAUACAGAAUCAUCAAUUAUCACAUACAUCUUGUAUAUAAUUCCUAAAAAAAAUAGAUAGACAUGAUUUCAACAAGUGUCAAAUGUGGCAACAAAAAUAAAUUUUGAAAAGAUUUUCUUAUGUAGGGGUUUCACCAAUUCCCCAAAUUAAUAUACACGAAUUUAGCUUAGAAUUAUCCCAUUUAUUUGGGACUACAAGCUUUGAUUCGUGUUUUUGUUCAAAACCAAAAAUUUUUGUUGAAAAUCAAGAAGGAUGCGAACCGAACAAGAUAUGGUUGCAUAUUAUUUUUAAAUAAAUAAAUAAAUAAAUAAAGGAGAUUUUGAUCCUGAGGACUUUAAUGAGUUUUUUUUUUUAAAAUAGAUUUUUAAAAUGAUUUUUUUGAGAAAAGUAUUUUAUUUUAAAAUAAAAGGGAUUAAUUUGGGAAAAAAAUAAAAUAUAAGAAAUAAAAUACCAAACAAAACAAAAAUGAAACCUCAAAGUAAAAUUUUUUUAGUAAUUAACAAAAAUGAUAAUGGUGAUGGUAGAGGGCAAUCUUCAUGAUUUUCCAAUGGCCUCAGAAAGAAAAUCAAAUUAAAUGAAGGAUCACUAACAGGCAAGACAUUCUAAAUUAGACAAACUAACAAAGUAUCAAUUCAUGAACUAACCGCUAGGAUUUUGAAAGCAUAUAAGCUAAGAUAAGGGUGAUCAGGAACUAAUAUUAAUGAUUUUGAAAUAAAAACUAAAAAAAAGGAUCAAUUCGGGUAAGGAACUAAAAUUAUAAAAGUACCUAAACUAAUUAUGACGAGUUUGACUAAAUUAAACUAAAAACAUGAACUUUCAAACAUAGAAUUAAUUUUACUAAUGAACCAAAGCAAACUAAAAAUAUGUACUUUCAAGCAUAGAAUUAAUUUUAUUGAUGAACUAAACUAUAACAAAUAUCUAAACUAAAUAUAAUGAAUCAAAUUAAAUUAAAGCAACUUAAAAACGCAAACUUUCAAACAUAGAAUCAAUUUUAUCAAUGAAUUAAAACUAUAAAUGUAUUUGAACUAAAUAGAUGAAUCAAACUAAAUCAGAGCAAAAUUAAAAAAAAAAAAGAACUUUCUAACAUGAAAUCAAUUUUAUCAACAAAUAAAUGAAUGAAUAACAAGUAAUUAAAAGAAUAGCUACUACAUGAAUAACUGAAUGAAUAAAAUUCAAAUGUUUUCAAUCUGAAGCAAUCAAUCAAAAUUAAAUAGGGAUCAAAUCAAAAUAAUCGAAAUCGGAAAAACAAUAUGCAAUCUUUCUAAAGGUUUAACCAGACAAUUGAAUUAAAAUUAUGAAUAGAAUAAAUUAAUAAACCAAAUCGAAACCUAAAUUGUACCUAAAAAGAUUAAUUAAUUAAACUAAGAAAUCAAAAUCAAUAACAAAACUAAACUAAGGAGUAAAUUAAGACAAGACUAAUUAAAUUAAACUCACAAACACGUUUUAACUAUCAUAUGGAUUAAAACAAAAUUAGCAUGGACUUAUGAAUUACGAACAAAAAUAAUCAAAACUAUUUUAAAAAACUCACCUCUAUUAUAAGAAAAAAUCUGCCUUUGAUGCGUUGAGGUGGCUCCCCUCUCUGUGUGGAUCUCUCUGCUCCCCAGAAAAAAAAUGUCUCUUCCUCCGUUCUCUUUUGUUUCAGCAAAAUAAUAUAUCCCCUGCUGUGGAUCUCUCUACUCCCAGAAAAUAAUAUAUUCUCUCCGUGUCCUAAAGUGGACCUAGGGUGCCUAAGUGGACCUAGGGUGCCUAAAUGGGCCUAGGGUGCCUAAAUGGGCCAAGUGUAUCUAAAUAGGCUUAGGGUGCCUAAGUGGGCCUAAGUCUAAGUGAGCCUAAGUCUAAAUCAAGACUACCAAGGAUCAUAAUAAGGGGUUAGGCAAUCCCUUAACCAAAGUCUCCAAGGUGGCUAAAAAAAAGUAAGUAGUAUGAGUAGCUAUGGGUCACCAAGGAACUACUGUGGAGCAUUGAAAACGAAUUUAAAGACAUGUGCCAAAGGGACAAAAUUGAGGGUCUACAGAUGGUUAGACACAUAGUUGCUCAUGGGAUAUUUGACUUUGGUAAACAAUUCAGAUUCAUAUGUGGGUUUAGGAAUACCUUUAUUAUGACGGUGUGGUAAUCGUUUCAUGAAUGGAUCAGGUUGCAAAUUAAGAACACCCUCAGCAAACAACGAUUGGUUUGGUAUUUCAGUGAAGACAUCUUCGAACCCAAAUUGUUGACCACUCAUAUCCAACUCACCCGCUUCCUGGUUCACUAGUUCAGAUUGUCCAAAUUCAUCAUUCUCAUAGAUAUGAUAAUCAUAAUCGAGAGUCUGAAUUUCCUUAUGGUACUCCCCCUGAAGUUCAGACUUAGAUGAAAAAUACAUCGAAUAUUCAUGAAACAGCNNNNNNNNNNNNNNNNNNNNNNNNNNNNNNNNNNNNNNNNNNNNNNNNNNNNNNNNNNNNNNNNNNNNNNNNNNNNNNNNNNNNNNNNNNNNNNNNNNNNNNNNNNNNNNNNNNNNNNNNNNNNNNNNNNNNNNNNNNNNNNNNNNNNNNNNNNNNNNNNNNNNNNNNNNNNNNNNNNNNNNNNNNNNNNNNNNNNNNNNNNNNNNNNNNNNNNNNNNNNNNNNNNNNNNNNNNNNNNNNNNNNNNNNNNNNNNNNNNNNNNNNNNNNNNNNNNNNNNNNNNNNNNNNNNNNNNNNNNNNNNNNNNNNNNNNNNNNNNNNNNNNNNNNNNNNNNNNNNNNNNNNNNNNNNNNNNNNNNNNNNNNNNNNNNNNNNNNNNNNNNNNNNNNNNNNNNNNNNNNNNNNNNNNNNNNNNNNNNNNNNNNNNNNNNNNNNNNNNNNNNNNNNNNNNNNNNNNNNNNNNNNNNNNNNNNNNNNNNNNNNNNNNNNNNNNNNNNNNNNNNNNNNNNNNNNNNNNNNNNNNNNNNNNNNNNNNNNNNNNNNNNNNNNNNNNNNNNNNNNNNNNNNNNNNNNNNNNNNNNNNNNNNNNNNNNNNNNNNNNNNNNNNNNNNNNNNNNNNNNNNNNNNNNNNNNNNNNNNNNNNNNNNNNNNNNNNNNNNNNNNNNNNNNNNNNNNNNNNNNNNNNNNNNNNNNNNNNNNNNNNNNNNNNNNNNNNNNNNNNNNNNNNNNNNNNNNNNNNNNNNNNNNNNNNNNNNNNNNNNNNNNNNNNNNNNNNNNNNNNNNNNNNNNNNNNNNNNNNNNNNNNNNNNNNNNNNNNNNNNNNNNNNNNNNNNNNNNNNNNNNNNNNNNNNNNNNNNNNNNNNNNNNNNNNNNNNNNNNNNNNNNNNNNNNNNNNNNNNNNNNNNNNNNNNNNNNNNNNNNNNNNNNNNNNNNNNNNNNNNNNNNNNNNNNNNNNNNNNNNNNNNNNNNNNNNNNNNNNNNNNNNNNNNNNNNNNNNNNNNNNNNNNNNNNNNNNNNNNNNNNNNNNNNNNNNNNNNNNNNNNNNNNNNNNNNNNNNNNNNNNNNNNNNNNNNNNNNNNNNNNNNNNNNNNNNNNNNNNNNNNNNNNNNNNNNNNNNNNNNNNNNNNNNNNNNNNNNNNNNNNNNNNNNNNNNNNNNNNNNNNNNNNNNNNNNNNNNNNNNNNNNNNNNNNNNNNNNNNNNNNNNNNNNNNNNNNNNNNNNNNNNNNNNNNNNNNNNNNNNNNNNNNNNNNNNNNNNNNNNNNNNNNNNNNNNNNNNNNNNNNNNNNNNNNNNNNNNNNNNNNNNNNNNNNNNNNNNNNNNNNNNNNNNNNNNNNNNNNNNNNNNNNNNNNNNNNNNNNNNNNNNNNNNNNNNNNNNNNNNNNNNNNNNNNNNNNNNNNNNNNNNNNNNNNNNNNNNNNNNNNNNNNNNNNNNNNNNNNNNNNNNNNNNNNNNNNNNNNNNNNNNNNNNNNNNNNNNNNNNNNNNNNNNNNNNNNNNNNNNNNNNNNNNNNNNNNNNNAACCAAAGGAAGCAUGUUCCAGACGUCGAUGCCACAACCAAAUUUCAGACUUUUUCUUCUCCUCCUUAGAUCCAUCUGCCAUCAAGGCUUGUUGCAACUUAUUUGAAUCCUUUGAUUGCAAGUCCAAGUAUAGAGUUUCCCCCGCUUAAUACGACAACCAAUCGUCUGUCUUGUUUGAAUGUCCUUAAUCACACAAAAUUCAGGCCAAAAAAUGACAAUACAAGAUAAGGCUGCAGUGAUUUGAGAAACUAACAAAAGAUUGUAAUCUAAAGAUGGAACAACUAAAACAGAAUCCAAAUUCAAAGUAUCAGUAAGAGUUAAGGAUCCUUCCCCAAUGACUGGGGUUGUGUUACCAUUGGCUGUGGAAACAAUUUUUUGUGAGGAAGGUCUAAGGGGUGAAACCUGUCUAGAAUCAAAAGUCAUAUGAUCUGUAGCACCAGAAUCAAUUAUCCAUGCACUAUUAAUAACAGGUGUAAAAGUAUUUAAAAACUUACCACAAUGAUCUGUAGCGGCUACUAAUGCAGAGACUUUCUCAACAACAUUAGUCUUUGUUUUUAUUUCGGUAACAGUUGCAAUCAAGGUUUUCUUGGAAUUCUUCUUCCGUUGAUCACGAUUAUUAUCAUUAAUAACAAAGUGUUGAUAGCCUAAACAUGAUCUAAAGGUCCAUGGUGCAAACCCUCGGUUCCUCAUUGUUUUCCUGGUCAUACCAAGAGUUGUUGCUUUGAAAUUGUGGGAUAUCCAGACUGGUGGGAUCAGUUUUAUUGCAGUGAGUGCAUUUGAAUGUUGACUUAUCAAUAUUAGGGCUUGUCUUCGGAUGGUUGAUUGCUGUUGGACUACCAUAGCGACAAAAUAUCCAGGAUUUCAAUUCCAGGGCUCUGAUACCAUCUUCAAAUUGAUGAAUGAUAGUUUUUCAUUCAUUCUUUCAUGUACAGAGUAUAUAUAGAGGGUAAUCACCAUUCUAAGAAUGGGAAAGAAUGAUACGAGGAAAUAAUGAUAUAAGGAAAUAAUAACUAAUAUCCUAAUAUCUCAACUUUCCUAAUAUCUCAAUAUUCCUAAUAUCUCAACUUUCCUAAUAUCUAAACAUUCAUAAUAUCUCAACACUAAAUGAUACAAGGAAAGAAUGAUAUAAGGAAAACAUUCCUAAUAUCUCAACACCACUUCAUGAUAUAUAUAGUUUCUUACCCUUAAUCAAUGGUUUCUAAGUGAAUUUAUAUAGAAAGAAAUCCAAACUGUAGACAGCAGUAUUGGUAACACUCAAUAUUCUGUAUAUAAUAGAAUAAAUAGCGUCACAGUGAUCGUCGCCUACAAGCAAGGUACAAAUACCACAAAGAGUGACCCACAUAGACAUUCCCCAACAAGAUGUAGUAGUGACUGACACAUAGCCACAAUUAACACGUAGAAAAGGAUAAGACCGGUGCACAGUAGCUCUUAUUUUACAUACUACUUAUGCCAACCAAAGUCACUCAGUUGGGAUGGGAGGGAGAUGGAGGUUUGUGCGGUGGCUUGUGGGGCGGAGUUGAUGGCUUCUUUCCAGGAGCUUCUGGCUUUUUCAUCGGAGCUGAAGGAGGCUCAAUCUUAUGAGGCGGCUUGUACGAGUCUUCUUUGCUCUCGAAAGGAGGGUGGCCAGGGUUGUGACCAUAAUGUGGUGGUUUCUCUCCCUUGGGAGGUUUACCAAUUGGGGUUGGUGGCUUGUGUUCUGGGAGUGGUUUCUCUCCCUUGGGAGGUUUAGUGGGUGACUUGUGUUCUGGAGGUGGCUUCUCCACCGAAGGCUUGUGCUCCGGUGGUGGCUUUUUGGUUGGAGGGGGCUUGGGGUAAUCAGCAAGAGAUGGGGUGGUGAGAACCACCAGUCCAAGGAACAACACUAGCAAGUAUGUGGGAGACAUUUUUGAGUUUGGGCUGAUCAGAUGAUGCAAAACUAAAGCAUUACGUGACCUUUUAUAGCAAGUAGCUCCCAAUACCUACUUGACACGUGUUACUGUGACCCAUAAAUAUUAUGGGGUCUAUUUGUGCCCUACCGGGUUGAAAACUUGGACAAUUGGGCAAGGACCCGCCUGACUAUGGAGGACUACUGAGGUGUGAUCACAGCUUUAGGAUUUUUCUUCCUCUGCAGCCGUCUUGCCGUUGGCAUGAUUUUCUUAAUCUCAAAUAAAGGCAUAGUUAUAGAGUUGUUUAAUCUCUAAAUGGGAUUUUAUAUAUCUUCAGAUAGCCAUUAAUACAUUUGAUGAAGAAAGAAAGACAAGUGCAUACAACAUGUAUACGACUAGCUUUCAUGGAGUUCAUUUAUGAUCAGUUUUCCUGUACAUGUAAACCAAGAUCAUAUAUGUUUUUGUUCCACAACAAUUUUGGAAUCUUGUUUAUCCGUUUUUAUCAUUAUAAUGUCACAUAGGCUGCCAACUUGGGCGCUAAAUUAAAGAUCCAGUUGGGCAAGUUCGUUUCAGAAUUUCAAUGGUGGAUUCAGGAAUUGUUUUAUAAGAUAUGCAAAAUAGUAGAGGGAUGAAUAGUGUUUCAUUAAGAAAAGAGCCCUGUAAAAAUAUUGUUUAAAGGUGCCAUAGAAACUAUAAUCAAUAAAUAACUUUUUUUCCCCAUGGGUGGUGUUUCUUGUGGGGAUCAGUGACUGGUUUGAGUCAACGCCGUGUCUCUUUAGUCCAGAAAUCAACUAUUUUAUGCAUUGAAUACAUCAACAAAGAAAAUAUGAAAGCCAAAUGACACCUCCCCCGCAAAAACUAAACCCUGGUUGCUAACUUUCUAUGUUUCAGUUCCAUUCACACAAGAAUAUUAGUUCAAGUUUGAGAAAAAUGGCGACUUACCUAGUGAUAACUCGGUCUUGGUUUGCGAUUUGACUUUAACGUCAUGGGUUGAAGCCUCCUACAAUCAUCGUGUAUGCUAGUUCAAAGCUCGUGGAAGAAGUUAUACAGGGAGGGAGAAACCUCCACAGCAAGCUCCAAAAGAGAAUUAUCACAUUGAAAGCUCCAGUUGAACACUGGGUGAAAGCCAUAACAAGAUUGGUUUUCUAUCGCUCUUUUAAGUAAUGGAAGAUUAUUAUCUCUGCUUGUCACUACAACCGUGCAUGCUGCUAGAUCUUUCUAGACACUUCAAACAGUGAAACCAAGUAUGAUUCUUUUUCUCUUGAGUGGGUCCACUUGCAUGCCAAUGAACGAGUUGAAAAGUUGGACAAUUGGCCACAGCGCGCACUUACCUUCUGGAACCGAAGGUCAGUGAAGUGGGGUUCCUUUUGGCCCCUUGUGUUUCUGUUCCAACCUACUCCAGGAACCGAAGUUCAGUGAAGUGGGGCUACUUUUGGCCUCUUGUGUUUCUGUUCCAACCAAACAAAAAUGGGAGGGAAAAAUAGCAUUAUGCUUGUGCUAAAGAUCAACGCAUGAUAGCUGAAUAAGGGAGAAAAAGGCAUUGCUAUCUCAAUUUCAUAAACUUGAUAAGUAGUGACAUUAAUAGUCUUCCUCAUAGAUGGAUACAUGGUUUUAUUUUAUUUAUUUAUUUUUAUUUUUUUGUUUUAUGUCAAUGCUAAUGAAUGAAGUGCAUUAGCUUGUUUUGUGACUAGAACUACAAAUGUCCAAAUUGGAGCUUCUCCAAUAUAUUUCUCAGUGAGUUAUUGAUUAGAACUCUUGGAUUGAGUUCCAAGAUUUGAAUCAGACCCCUCUAGCAGCUUCAGGGGUACGUAGCAACCUAUAGCAUAUUAAUGAAGACUUAGGAUUUAGACUUAGGAAUACAAAUUAAUAUGUACCUCAUGCUCUGACUAGCUUCCCUGCGUAUGCACAAAAUGGAGAUGACUCCCAAAAAAAUAGCAGAAUCGCCUUAGUAUGUUUUUGUGGUUAAGAUGAUUCUCCACUUUAUAUAUCCACAUUGGUUCAUUAUGCAAAUUAAUCAACUAAGCUAUUUUUAUUUUUUCUUAAAUGUGAAAUAGGAGCUCCAAAUUAACCUAACCAUUGGCCUGAUUGAAUUGAUUUCACUUGCAUAAUGUUAUAGUAGAAGUCCGUAAUUUGAAUUUUAUUUUUGCAAAAGGUAACGUAAAUGAAGCAUUGUAAUUAAAUUUAUUUGUAAUUACAAACUAAUUUUAUUUUAUUAAGAAUUAAUUUAAUUACUCAUUUAAAAUAAAAAUCAGUUAUACUUUUACCAAGAUGAUAAUAUUCAUAUUUUUCUAGUUAACAUAUAUAAAAUAGUACACUUUUUCAUAUAAAAAAAUAAUUUAUGAUUUAUUAUAAUGUUACUAUUCACAUUUUACUAAAUUGAUGGUACAUGAUAGUGAGAGAAGGGGGUGUCACACUCAGCUAAAGUUCUUUUCAAAAUAUUGCAUGGUGUUUAAUUUUAUGUGUCGGCGCGCGUGUGAAUGGAACCUGCAAAAGUCCAAAUUGGCGUUUCUCCAUUUUCCACAUAGGAUGGUGACGUUAAUAGACAAAGAUACAAUAUCUGUAGACAUUGCUUAAAAAUCGAUGUGAAGUAUUAGAAAUUACAGGGCACUGUACUGGGGGAGCGGCUGCCCCGCCAAAGGAGGAAGAAUGUAGCAAUUUCUUCUGUUAGCCAGGCCUUAGGAUUUAUGCAUGGGAUGCCUAAUAACAAACAGAGAAAAUAUACUUUUGGGGAAGGUAUCCAACAACAGACACCAUCAUUCAGAUGGUGGGAAGGUAUCCAACAGAUGCCAUCAUUCAGAUGGUAACAUAUAUAUACAUUUAUUAGUGAGUUUUUUUAAUACCUAUAAAAAAAAAUAUACACUUUGAUAUUGUGGCUGAAUCCAUUACAUACUCAACUAACCUUGCUCAUUAGGGAUUUGACUUAACAAGGGCAACGUUGCAGUACAAGCUCAAAACUUUAUGCAGGUGACAUUACAUUUGGUAAAGAAGAGGAAAAUAACGAAAGCCAUCCAUAAAAGCAAAAUUCCACAUGGGAUGAAAUUCACAAGCUUCAUUUACGAUAGAGUCGCAUCCAGGCAAUUAAUUCCACAUUAGACCGCCUGUUGACAUGUGUACCAAUCUUUUUUCAAAAAAUAUUUAUAAAUAAUUGAUACUCACAAAAAUAAUUUAAUAUUUAUAAAGGAUAAAAAAAUAUUUUCAAAUCUAUAACAAUUUAUAAAAUAUUAAUAAAAAAUUAUCUCUUAAACUUAGUAUAGUUUUAUCAGAUUAAACUUUUAUUUUGAACAAAUAAUUUUAAUCUAAGUUUUAAAUUCUAAAAUUAUUUCCUUAAAAUAAAAUUUUAAAAUUCAACACUUCAAUUGAAAUUGUCUUUUUAAAAAAUAUCUUCUUAUUUUAAUCCUUAUAAACUAUAGUUGAUUGAAAAUACUAUUGAAGUUCUCUCUUAAAAAAAAGUCUUAUUUUAAUCUUCAUAAAUUGCCCUUGAUUUGAAAAUAAAUUUUCAGUUAUCAUAUUUUAAAUAAUAUCUAUAUUUAAAAUACUCUAUUUAAAAAAAAAUGAACUAAUUUUAAUUAUAUUAUAUUUUAUUUUUUUAUAUAUUUUUAAUGAUAAACCAAACAUAGAAAAUCAUUUUUCUAAAUAUUUUAAAAUUUCUAAGCAACCAAACAUAAUCUUCAAAAUAAAAGGAAAAUAAGGAGGGACAUUUGAGAAAUGGCGAUUAAAAAAAAGUGUACAAAAGCUCAAUUAAUUUUCUUCUAGUCUUUUAUAUAAAAAAGUAAAGGAAUUGAAAAGUAUUGAUAUGUAAAUUAAUAUUUGGAUUUUAAUAGUAUUUUAUUUGUCUUUCUCUAUCUCAUGUAAAAGAGAAUUUAAGAUAUUUCCUAAAGCAAAGCAUUAGUUAUCUGCAAUCAGUGGUGAUCAUGCCCCAUGUCAAUUUCGGACCCAUAUCUUAAAACUGUAUAAUUUGCAUUCAAACAUUACUGAUUUCUCAGAUGUUUCAUACUCCACAGAAGAGCAUUGUUUGUGAAAGCAUGCAUUUAUGUUGGAUUUUGGAUGAUGUGGGAACUGGGGCAAGGAUCAUAUGGAAGAGUGGUCGAUUUUGUUCUGUACUUUAACAUUUGAAAUAGGAGAAGCUCGGGCAUUUGUGGGGCUUAAUUGAUUUUGAAGCCUGAAAUUGCGUUUCUGUCAUUUUGUAAAAAAUAUGGCAGAUUCCAUGCUCUCAUAUGUUUGGUCUGUGGCCAUGUAUAGAUGCCCCUUAGUGACCAGUUUGUAACUGUCAAUCAUAGUGUUUUGACUCUGGCUCAACAACAUCAGCCAUUGACGGAUUUUCAUACUUGCAAAUCAAAUAGUCUUCUUCCUCCCUUAGGAAUUUCGGUUUAAAUGUUAUUAAGCAUACAUUUGGCUGACAAUUAUUAACCACUUCAUGAUAUGGUUUCUUACCCUUAAUCAAUGGUUUCUAAGUGAAUAUAUGCAGAAGGAAAUCUGAACUGUAGACAGCAGUAUUGAUAACUCUCAAUAUUCUUUAUAUAAGAGAAUAAACAACGUCAUAGUGAUCGUCGCCUACAAGAAAGGUACAUUUCCCAACAAGAUGUAGUUGUGACUGGUACAUGGACGCAAUUAACUCGUACAAAAGAAUAAGACCAGUGCACGGCAGCUCUUAUUUUACAUGCUAAUUAUGCUAACCAAAGUCACUCAGUUGGGAUGGGAGGGAGAUGGAGGUUUGUGCGGUGGCUUGUGGGGCGGAGUUGGUGGCUUCUUUUCAGGAGCUUGUGGCUUUUUCGGAGCUGAAGGAGGCUCAAUCUUAUGAGGCGGCUUGUACGAGUCUUCUUUACUCUCGACAGGAGGGUGGCCAGGGUUGUGACCAUAAUGUGGUGGCUUCUCUCCCUUAGGUGGCUUGCCAACUGGGGUUGGUGGCUUGUGUUCAGGAAGUGGUUUCUCUCCCUUGGGAGGUUUACCAAUUGGGGUUGGUGGCUUGUGUUCUGGGAGUGGUUUCUCUCCCUUGGGAGGUUUAGUGGGUGACUUGUGUUCUGGAGGUGGCUUCUCCACCGGAGGCUUGUGCUCCGGUGGUGGCUUCUCCACCGGAGGCUUGUGCUCCGGUGGUGGCUUCUUGAUUGGAGGGGGCUUGGGGUAAUCAGCAAGAGAUGGGAUGGUGAGAACCACCACUCCAAGGAACAACACUAGCAAGUAUGUGGGAGACAUUUCUGAGUUUGAGCUGAUCAGAUGAUGCAAAACUAGAAGAAUUACGGGACCUUUUAUAGCAAGUAUCUCCCAAUACCCACAUGACACGUGUUACUAUGACCAUAAAUAUUAUAGGGUCCAUUUGUGCCCUACCGGGUUGAAAACUUGGACGCUUGGCCGAGGACACACCUGACUAUGGAGGACUAUUGACGUGUGAUCACAGCUUUUGGAUUUUUCUUCCUGUGCAGCUGUCUAGCGGUUGGCAUUAUUUUCUUAAUCUUAAAUAAAGGCAUAGUUAUAGAGUUGUUUAAUCUCUAAAUGGGAUUUUAUAUAUCUUCAGAUAGCCAUUAAUAUAUUUGAUGAAGAAAGACAAGUGCAUACAACAUGUAUACGGCUUGCUUCAAUCGAGUACAUUUAUGAUCAGUUUUCCUGUGCAAGUAAACCAGUUUUUUGUUCCACAACUAUUUUGGAAUCUUGUUUAUCAGUUUCUAUCAUUAUAAUGUCACAUAGGCUGCAAACUUGGGCACCCAAAGAUCUAGGUGGGCAAAUUUGUUUCAGACUUUCAAUGGUGGAUUCAGUAAUUGUUAAAAGGUGUUUCUUCAUUAAGGAAAGAGUCCGGUAAAAAUAUUGUUAAAAGGUGUCAUAGAAACUAUAAUAAAUAAAUAACUUCUUUUCCCCAUGGGUGGUGUUUCUUCUGGGGAUCAGUGACUGGUUAGGGUCACCCAAAAUGAGUCCAGAUUAAAAUUGGUUCGAGUCAAAGCAGUCUCUUUUGUCCAGAAAUCAACUAUUUUGCGCAUUGAAUGAAUCGAUAAAGAAAAAAUGAAAGCCAAAUCACACCUCCCCUGCAAAACCUAAACCCCGGUUGCUAACUUUCUAUGUUUCAGUCCUAUUCAUAUAGGAAUAUUGGUUCAAGUUUGAGAAAAAUGGCAACUUACCUAGGGUUUACUUGGUUUUGGUUUGCGACUAUUUACGCAACCAACCAUGAGUUUGACUUUAACGUCAUGGGUUGAAGCCUCCUACAAUCAUGUAUGAUAGUUCAAAGCUCGUGGAAGAAAUUAUACAGGAAGGAAGAAACCUCCAAAGCUAGCUCCAAAAGAGAAUUAUCACAUCGAUAGCUCCAGAGAUUCCCAAGGGAACUGAAUCAAAGACAAGUUCCUCACUUUUUCUUCUUUUGAGGCCAAAUAUGAACCAAGGAUCACACGACCUCAUUCAACUUCAUAAGUUUGAUUUCAUGCAGUUGAACACUGGGUGAAGGCCAUGACAAGAAUUGAUUAAAAAAUUCUACCACUCUUUUAAGUAAUGGAAGAUUAUUAUCUCUGAUUGGCACCACAACAGCACAUGCUGCUAGAUCUUUCUAGACACUCCAUGCAAUGAAAGCACAAUGGAUCUUGUAAUGAUAGAAACUAAGCCAUGCUACAGUACUAGAUGAGGGGGUAAAACUAGUAGACAUCUUUCUAGACACUCCAUGCAAUGAAAGCACAAUGGAUCUUGUAAUGAUAGAAACUAAGCCAUGCUACAGUACUAGAUGAGGUGGUAAAACUAGUAGACAUGGCUGGCAGUUGAUUACUACUCAAAAAGUACUCUUUUAUAGCUUGAAACUAACUGUUUUAAACACUUUUGAGUAGUAGUUAAUACCUUUUAACUUAAUUGGCACAUUAAGGAACCUAGCAAGGGUUACUAAUCAACAUUUGGCAAGUUUUGAUGUUUUUGGUAGCUAUUUGAUCAUUGAAACAAGCCAAGAAUGAGGGGGAAUUUUGUGAAGUCCAUGGCAAUGCAAGUUAAAGCUCAAAUACAUGAAGAAUCCAAGCUUUGGAGCACUUCAUAGCCCUUUGCCAAGCCAAUCAAAGAUGCAAGGAAGAAAACCAAAGGAAGAAAUCCAACAAUCAGCAUUUUGGCAUGGCUAUGUGAAAUUUCGCACACCAUGCGAAACCACAAGAGGCAGCCAAAGAAUUUCGCAUGGUAUGCGAAAUCUUCUUGUGCACUGACUCUGUUAGAUUUUUAUCUUCAGAUAUUUUGUGUAAUUUCCUAGUUUCUCCUUGUAACCAACUUAGAUAUUUUCUUUUAUAUCUUUUUUUAUAUUUUUUAGGUAACAUCAUAUAUAAGAGGAGAGACAUAAGGAGGAUAUGGAUGUUUUUCAUAGAACACUUGUAAAUUUUUGGUAGUAAGAAAUAUACAAAGCUUUUUGCUCUGCCUUACCUUCUCAAGGGAUGAGUGGCUAGGUUUUCUUGGAGUGAGGGAAGCUAGGUGAAGGACCUGAAUGCAAAGGUGGGAGUUUUCCUUACUUUAAAUGAAAGUAGUUGUUAAACAUUAAUGGUUUUUAUUUUAAGGUUUAGCUUUAAAUCCCUGAAAAACACCUUGAAUGGCCAAUACUUGGUAAGCUUUUUAGAUUCUAUGGAUGCUUAUUGCUAGAUCCAUGGAUGUCUAUUAGUUAUCAUUUACGAGCCAUUGGAAGGUGAUUCAAGGUGAGGGUCUUUAGUGUUUGAAGCCAUUAAUGGGAAGCAAUUACCAUUUUUUCAUGAAUCCUUUGGAUCAAAUCUUAAUUGCUAAAUAUAAAACCGGUUUCGAGAGAUAACCACCAUCCUUUAUGUUAUUAUCCCCAACGCGAGGAGAAGAUCCGAAAUCUUCCUUUUUAUCUAAGGAACCCGAUCCUAGUGACCUAAAGCUCCAAGAUACCUUUUCUUUGUAGUUAACUUCAUUUAUUGUUUUUGCUUAACUUAAAAUCAAUCUUUGCAACCACAAUUCCAUUUUCUUUAAAAGCUAAUUUUUAUAAGGAAAAACACCAUUUUAUUUCCUUCACUAAGUCAACUGUACGAUGAAAACCCAUCCCUGUGGACGAUCCUAGAGCCACUAUACUAUGUUAGCUAUGCUACCCUAGUGUGAGGUGAUUUAGGUUUUAUAAAUUUUUUUGAUAACACCCAUCUGAGCCAGAAUCAAAUGGCACGACUGAACCAGGGACGAAUCAAAUGACGCCGCUACCAAGGAUGGUGCCAAAGUACAUUGACAUGACUUUUGGUGAACACUUGUGAUCUUCACCACAAGUUUGGUGAUUUUUCUUUUACUAAUUUUUUUUAUUUUAGCUUAUCUUUUAUUUAGUUUUUAGUUAACCUUAAAUUUUUCCUAGAAUUGUAUUUCUUUUGUUUUCUUUGUUUUUGUUUCAGUGAUCUUUAGUUGUGCAUGCCCUAUUGGAUAAGAGAUAUUGAGGGAAUACUUGUGAAGAUUGAAACUCCUCGAGAAACUGAGUUAGAAGUGUGCUUGAACAUCAUGGAUGUUCCACCUGAAGACCAGAAUAGCCAACAUGGUUAAGAGGAUAAUUUCAACACAUACCGAUCCAUGAGGAACCGCAUACAUCCACCUUGUAUGAGUGCACCGUCAGGCAUAAUGCCUCCCACUGAGCAGCUAGUAAUCUGACCUCACAUUGUGCCACUCCUACCUACUUUCCAUGGGAUGGAGAGUGAGAAUCCCUACUCGCAUAUUAAGGAAUUCGAGGAGGUUUGUAAUACAUUCCAAGAAGGAGGAGCUUCAAUUGACUUGAUGAGGCUCAAGCUAUUUCCUUUCACUUUGAAGGAUAAGGCCAAGAUUUGGCUUAAUUCUUUAAGGCCAAGAAGUAUCCAAACUUGGAUUGAUUUGUAAGCCGAGUUUCUUAAGAAGUUCUUCCCUACCCAUAGGACCAAUGGUUUGAAAAGGCAAAAUUUGAACUUCUCAGUUAAAGAGAAUGAGAAAUUCUAUGAGUGUUGGGAGAGCUACAUGGAAGCUAUUAACGUUUGUCCUCACCAUGGCUUUGACACAUGGCUCUUAGUGAGCUAUUUUUACAAUGGUAUGUCUUCUUCAAUGAAGCAACUCCUAGAAACUAUGUGUGGAGGAGACUUCAUGAGUAAGAAUCCGGAGGAAGCCAUGGACUUUUUGAGUUAUGUGGCUGAAGUUUCAAGAGGAUGGGAUGAACCAAAUGCUAGAGAGGUGGGAAGAAUGAAGUCUCAACCUAAUGCUAAGGGUGAGAUGUAUGUUUUGAAUGAAGACAUUGACAUGAAAGCAAAGGUUGCAGCUAUGGCAAGGAGAUUGGAAGAGCUAGAAAUGAAGAACAUACAAAAAGUGCAAGCCAUUUCUGAGACAUCAAUGAAAGCUAUGCCUUGUUCCAUUUGUCAAUCUUAUAAGCACCUAGUGGAGGAGUGUCCUACAAUUCCAGCAGUGAGAGAGAUGUUUGGUGAUCAAGCAAAUGUUAUUGAUCAAUUCAAGCCUAAUAACAAUGCUUCAUAUGGCAACACCUACAAUUCAAAUUGGAGGAACCAUUCAAAUUUCUCUUGGAAACGAAAGCCACCUCAAUACACACAACCUACUCAAGCACCUUAGCAAUCCUCGAAUCUUGAACAAGCUAUUGUGAACCUUAGCAAGGUUGUGGGAGACUUUGUGGGAGAUCAGAAGUCCAUCAAUGCUCAACUGAAUCGGAGAAUUGACAGUGUGGAGAGUACAUUGAACAAAAGGAUGGAUGAGAUGUAAAAUGAUCUGUCUCAAAAGAUAGACAAUGUCCAAUACGUAAUCUCAAGGCUUACCAACCUCAACACAGUGUAAGAGAAAGGAAAGUUUCCUUCUCAACCUCAUCAAAAUCCUAAGGGUAUCCAUGAAGUAGAGGCUCAAGAGGGAGAAUCUUCAAAGGUGAGGGAAGUCAAAGUAGUUAUCACCUUGAAGAGUGGUAAAGAGGUUGAUCAACCCACAUCCAAGCCAAAGCAUAAUGAAGAGAGUGUAGCAGAAAAAGAAAAGAGAGGAAAAUAAAGGAAUUAGAAUAGAGAAAAAUACAAAGAAAGAUGACCAUGAGUCUAGUGUGGAUGAAGAGCCCGAGAGGAUGGUGAUCAAGGAAGAUAUGAUGAAGAAACACAUGCCUCCACCUUUCCCCUAAGCUUUGCAUGACAAAAAAAGAACCAAUAAUACAUCAGAAAAUUUUGAAGUAUUGAGGCAAGUGAAGGUCAAUAUCCCUUUGCUAGACAUGAUCAAACAAGUGUCGACAUAUGAAAAAUUCUUGAAGGACUUGUGCACUGUAAAGAGAGGGUUGAAUGUGAACAAGAAAGCUUUAUUGACCGAGCAAGUGAGUUCCAUCAUACAGUGCAAGUCCUAGUGAAGUACAAAGAUCCGGGUUGCCGUACCAUCUCAGUGAGUAUUGGAAGGACUUGUGUGGAGAAAGCUUUGUUGGACUUGGGAGCAAGUGUGAAUUUGCUAUCCUACUCUGUCUAUAAGCAGUUGGGAUUUGGAGAGUUGAAGCCAAUAUCCAUCACUCUAUCUCUAGCGGAUAGAUCAAUGAAGAUUCCAAGAGGGAUGAUCGAAGAUGUCCUGGUUCAAGUUAACAAAUUCUACUAUCCAGUAGAUUUUGUUGUUCUUGAUAUGGAUCCGGUUGUCAAAUGAACUAAUUAUGUUCCUAUCAUACUUGGAAGACCCUUCCUAGCUACAUCAAAUGCAAUCAUCAAUUGUAGGAAUGGAGUCAUGCAACUCACAUUUGUCAACAUGACAUUAGAGCUCAACAUCUUCCAUUUGUACAAGAAGCAUAUCCAUCAGGAGGAAAAAGAAGGUCUAGAGGAAGUGUGAAUGAUUGACACUUUAGUGGAAGAGCAUUGUGAUCGAGAAUGCAAAAAGAUUUAGUUGAGAAUUUUGGGGAUCUUGAUGAAAGGUUACUUGAACCCUCAGAUUUGCUUGCUACCCUACUCCAUUGGAAGAGAAGAGAAGAAAUUCUACCCUUAUUCAAUGAGGAGGAGACGCAAAGAGCUGCAAAGGAGAAACCCCCAAAACUUAUUCUUAAGCCACUACCCACAGAGUUGAAGUAUGUAUACUUGGAAGAAGACAAGAAGUGCCCUAUUGUUAUAUCUUCAACUCUUACCAUUCAUCAGGAGGAUUGUCUACUUGAAGUCCUUAGAAGAUGUAAGAAGACAAUAAGGUGGCUAAUUUCUUAUUUGAAAGGGAUCAGCCCUUUAGUCUGCACCCAUCAUAUUUACAUGGAGGAUGAAGCUAAGCUAAUUCAUCAACCUCAGAGAAGGUUGAACCCUCACAUGCAAGAGGUGGUUCGAGCUGAAGUUCUGAAGCUACUUCAGACCAGUAUUAUUUACCCCAUAUCAAAUAGCCCAUGGGUGAGUCCUACUCAAGUUGCGCCAAAGAAGUCUGGGAUCAUGGUGGUGCAAAAUGAUAAGGGAGAAGAUGUCUCUACACGCCUCACUACAGGUUGGAGGGUGUGUAUCAAUUACAGGAGGUUGAAUGCAGUGAUAAGAAAGGACCAUUUCUCAUUGCCCUUUAUUGAUCAGGUGCUUGAGAGGGUCUCUGGGCUUUUUUUUUUAUUGUUUCUUGGAUGGCUACUCCGGGUACUUUCAGAUAGAAAUUGAUGUUGAAAACCAAGAUAAGACCAUUUUCACAUGCCCAUUUGGAACCUAUGCAUAAAGGAGAAUGCCUUUCGGCUUAUGCAAUGCACCCGCAACUUUCCAAAGAUGCAUGUUAAGCAUUUUCAGUGAUAUGGUGGAGCGUAUUAUGGAAGUCUUUAUGGAUGAUAUCACCAUUUAUGGAAGUGCAUUUGAUGAAUGCUUGGUCAACUUAGAAGCUGUUCUGAACCGAUACAUUGAGAAAGACUUAGUGCUUAACUGGGAGAAGUGCCAUUUCAUGGUACACCAAGGGAUUGUCCUUGGGCACAUUAUCUCCAAGCAAGGCAUUGAAGUUGACAAAGCAAAGGUUGAACUCAUUGUUAAGUUGCCAUCCUCAACAAAUGUCAAAGGAGUAAGGCAAUUCUUUGGCCAUGUCGGGUUCUAUAGGAGGUUUAUCAAGGAUUUCUCUAAGCUUGCAAGGCCUCUUUGUGAAAUAUUGGUGAAUGAUGUUAAAUUCAUAUGGGAUGAUGGAUUUGAAAGGAGUUUUGAAGAAUUGAAGCUAUUUUUGACAACCGUACCAAUAGUGAGGGCUCCCAACUGGCAACUGCCCUUUGAAGUAAUGUGUGAUGUCAAUGAUUUUGCUAUAGGAUUUUUUCUUGGGCAAAGAGAAAAUGGAAAACCUUAUGUGAUCUACUAUGCGAGGAAGGCAUUGAAUGAGGCACAAAGAAACUACACAACCACCGAGAAAGAAUUGUUAGCUGUAGUUUUUGCCUUGGAUAAGUUUCGCGCUUACUUGGUGGGGUCCUUCAUCAUGGUUUUUACUGAUCACUUUGCUUUGAAGUAUCUGUUGACUAAGCAAGAUGCUAAAGCAAGGCUGAUUAGAUGGAUUCUCUUACUUCAAGAGUUCAAUCUCCAUAUCAAAGAUAAGAAAGGAGUGGAGAAUGUGGUAGCAGACCACAUUUCAAGGCUAGCUAUCGCACAUAAUUCCCAUGCUUUGCCCAUUAAUGACGAUUUUCUAGAGGGGUCUCUCAUGUUGGUGGAAGUUGUCCCUUGGUACGCUCACAUUGCUAACUACCUGGUCACGGGAAAAGUUCCAAGUGAGUGGAAAGCACAAGAUAAGAAGCACUUCUUUGCAAAAAUUCAUGCCUACUAUUGGGAAGAGCCAUUUCUAUUCAAGUAUUGUAUGGAUCAGAUAAUAAGGAAGUGCGUUCCUGAAGAAGAGCAACAGGGGAUCCUUAGUCAUUACCAUGAAAAUGCAUGUGGAGGCCACUUUGCUUAUCAAAAGACAGCCAUGAGGGUGUUGCAAUCGGGUUUCUGUUGGCCAUCACUUUUCAAAGAUGCCCACACCAUGUGCAAGAGUUGUGAUCGAUGCCAGAGGCUUGGGAAGUUGACACGCAGGAACAUGAUGCCUUUGAACCCCACUUUAAUAGUUGAUAUUUUUUAUGUUUGGGGCACUAACUUCAUGGGACCUUUCCCUAUGUCUUUUGGCUACUCUUACAUCUUGGUAGGAGUAGAUUAUGUUUCUAAGUGGGUUGAGGCAGUCCCAUGCAAACACAAUGACCAUAGAGUGGUUCUCAAGUUUCUUAAAGAGAAUAUCUUCUCAAGAUUUGGGGUGCCCAAAGCCAUAAUUAGUGAUGGGGGUACUCAUUUUUGCAACAAGCCUUUUGAAACUCUCCUAGCCAAGUAUGGGGUGAAGCAUAAGGUAGCUACACCUUACCACCCUCAAACUCAUGGACAAGUUGAGUUAGCAAACAGGGAGAUUAAAAACAUAUUGAUGAAGGUGGUGAACACAAACAGAAAAGAUUGGUCAGUCAAGCUUCUUAAUUCACUAUGGGCAUAUAGAACAACUUACAAGACCAUUCUCGGGAUGUCUCCUUAUCGCCUAGUUUAUGGCAAAGCAUGCCAUCUCCCUGUGGAAUUGGAAUACAAAGCUUGGUGGGCAAUCAAGAAGCUCAACAUGGAUUUGAGCAGAGCUGGGUUGAAGAGGUUCUUAGACCUUAAUGAGAUGGAGAAAUUGAGAAAUGAUGCCUACAUCAAUUCAAAAAUUGCAAAAGAAAAAUUGAAGAGGUGGCAUGAUCAGUUGAUUUCCCGCAAGGAUUUUCAAAAUGGACAAAGAGUCUUACUUUAUGACUCUAAACUCCACAUCUUUCCGGGCAAGCUGAAAUCAAGGUGGAUAGGUCAUUUUACCAUUCACCAAGUGCAUUCAAAUGGAGUAGUGGAACUACUCAACUCCAACAAUAUCGAGAACUUCAAAGUGAAUGGCCACCGUCUCAAGCCCUUUGUGGAGUCUUUUUCUCACAACAAGGAGAAAUUCAUCCUCCUUGAUCCACAUCAAGCUUAACAAGACCAAUUUUCUUGAUGGACUUAGUCUUUCUAAAGACUAUCGAGUCCAUAACUUUUUGUUUUAUUUUUUAUUUGAGAUUUUUUCGGUAUUGUUACUUGUUUUGUUUUUUAUUUUUCGUUUUAAUUUUAUUUGGUUUGAUUUAACUUAGGUUUUUGAUGAUCAAUUACAGGGGGGAUUUCAAAUAGAGGAAAAACCAAGAUAAUUCGCACACCCUACGAAAAUUUCGCAAGGCAUGCGAAAUUUAUGGCUUAUUUUGCAUGGGGUGAAAAUUUUCGUACAUCUUACGAACCAAUUUCGAACACUUUGCGAAAAUAAACCAACCCUGCGAAAUCAUUUCGAUUACUCUACGAAAUUUUCGUAGAGCAUGCGAAAAAUUUAGCACACCAAACACCAUUUCGCAUACUAUGCAAAAACCUAAGGGGUCUGCGAAACCAUUUCGCACCUCCAAAUCCAUUUCGCACAUUGUGCGAAAACCAAGAGGCGCUGUGCGAAAAUGAAAAGUCGCCCUGUCAUCCCUUUUUAAACCCCUCGAGCCCUAAAAUCUCCAUUUCGCAAGCACCCCUGUCCUUGCGAAUCCCUCAUUUUCCUCUACUACCUUGCAACCUCGUCCCUUUCCAUUUGAUAUUGUGCCCCGCGCACAUCUCAUUUCAGAGACUCGCACUCCGCGCCCCCUCAAAGCAUGGACUCGAGACCCACCUUCCAUUUCCGACGUGGCACGGACCCAAGGAGCCCUUUCUGCCCCUUCACUAAGACACACACCAAGGCAGAAAGCCUCCUUUGCUCAAGUGCCUAGUGAUUCUCCAUCUUAGGCCUCAGAGGCCUCGGAGGCCCCGUGGAUUCCACCUUCCGAGGGUAGAGCAGCCAUUGGUCCUUCCUCUUCUACUCCUUAGCGUAGAUACGAGACGAGGAGACCACCUACUACACAAGGGGCGACUACUUCGAGCCUUGAGAAUUCAGUACGAUGCCUUCCUGCCAAGAGGGUCAAGACUUCAGGUCCAAGUGAGUCAUCCAGAGCUUCAUAGCCUAAGCCUCCUGUAGAUUCCAAGGUUCCUACUGACAUAUCACCGGAGUCUAUUAUCAGAAGCCCGAUGCUCAUAGCACCGCCCAUUGAGGGCAACUCAGAUUAUAGAGCGAGAUCUUUCCACUUGGAGCUAUAUUUUGAUCAGGAGGCCAUACGACAGCAGCCUGAGCUCCGAGACUCUUAUGGCUUACUGCAGAGGUACCAUCUUGAGGAACUUAUGACUCCUCGUGAGUUUUUUUAUCCCAGAGUAGCACUAAACUUUUACCAGUCCAUGACUACUCGUGGCGUCCCGAGUCCUACCACGAUUCACUUCACCAUUGAUAGACGUCAUGGUAUCCUCAAGGCCAGACAUAUUACAGAGGCUCUACAAAUUCCUUUCGAGCUAGAGGAUCCAUCUGUUUUUCGCUAAUGGUCCCCAGUAUCUCAGAGGGACAUGGUCCGUAUUUUAUCUAGGGGAACAUCUACAGAUUCGAUCUUUCUACGGAAGGAGCUUCGACCUGGGAUGCUCCUCUUAGAUGUGGUGCUAUGCUCCAACCUCUUUCCCUUACAACAUUCGGUACAUAGGUGAUGAGCUAUUUUGGACGCUUUAUUCCGUAUAUCAGAGGGCUUCUACUUUGGCCCGCACCACUUGAUCAUGGUCUCCCUCAUCCACUUUGAGGAGAAGGUUCAUAGGAAGAAGCUUCAGAGGGUGGACACCAUUCCAUUACUAUUCCUGAGGUUACUUUGCCAGGUCUUGGAGUACAUGGGCUUUCCUACUGAGCCUCGGCUCGAGCUUUGCCGCCUUUGUCGAGAGUGAUCCACUCUCGACAAAUGGAAUUAGUUGGCGGGCUAUUCUGCACCUCCAGGAGCCCCUCCCAUGGUAGCACCUCCAAUGUCCCCACAGGCAAAGUAGGGCGAGCUCCCGGCAAAGACUGUACCACCAAUGCCCACACUUGAGGCUAUUUCUGCUGCUCUGCCUAUGACUCCUACUGUUCCACCAGUUGGUCCUUUUACAUCCGAGCCUUCCAUCACCAUCUCGGCUUCGGAGUUUCGCGCCCUUGUGCAUACCUUUCAGACACUCACCACCACACAUACUCCUCUCUUCUAGCAAAUGGUUGAGAUGUGUGCCCAUCAGGACCGGAAGACUACUAUACUCUGCCAAAUUCAGCAGCACCUAAGACUUUUGCCUCAACCUCAACCUAACCAUCCCAUAUCAUCAGAGCCUCUAGCUCCAACUGAGGAUACUAUUCCACCUGAGAACACUACCACAGUAGAGGUCCGGUUUCCACCACCUUAAGAGGCCACCACAGCUACAUCAGAGGAUGUGUCAUCUCCACUUGAGGCUCCCACUACUUGAUCAUAGGACAUAUCUUUAUCUUAUUGUAUUUACAUAUUAUAUUACUAGAGAUUUGUCCUUGUUUUGAUACUUUAUAUUCUGGGAUUGGAUGUAUUGCCUGAUGAUAUCUCAAUUGUACUUUCUCAUAUUAAUAUAUAGACAUCAAUUUUUUUUAGUAUACUUAGCAUUUUUCUAUUUCCUCUACUCAUUACUCUUUUGUUUUUUUUUACUCAUGUGGUUUCUCUUAUACAACUCAGACUCCAUUUCACUCAGGAGGUACCACUUCCUCCCUUUAUUUUCAAUUGCUCUUGAAAUAUUGAGUGCAAUGUUGAUCUUGGUUGGGGGGAGAGUUGAGGAAGGAAGUUUUGUUAAUAAUGCUAGGUUAAUUUGUUAAUUUAGUUACUUUCUGCUUAAUUUUAAAAGUUUUCACUCUACUUUCCAUGGUUAUUAAGGAAAAAUUCUCAAAAUGAAAUGGGAGAAAUCGAAUUCUUGCAUUUUUACUUGAAUCUUAGAAUUUGUAUCAUGCUUAUUAAAGUUGAUGAAUUAUUGAAACUCCUAUUGAAUUCAACCUUAUUUUUUCCACUUUAAUCUUACCACACACGGUGCACAUUAGGUUCCAGUUAUAAGAUAAAAAACUAUCUCACCCCCUAAACUUAGAAAAAUUUACACUUGGUACCUUUGACAUCGUUUUAAUAGUGUUGGGACACCUUAUAAAAGGCCAAUGAGCCUUUAAAAAAAAAAAAAAAAAAAAAAAGAGAAAGAACAAAGUAUUGCACUUGCCUUGAAACCUGAGCAAGAUCCGAGGGGUAUACAGUGAAAGUCUUUAAAACCUGGUGCCCUAAGCCUUGAUUGGUUGGGAGUCACCGACCUCAAUGCUCGUUAUAAGGGUGAAUAGGUGGAGUUUAACAUAUUGUAGGUGCUUGGGUAUUGAAUUUCAAUCUCAAAAGUCCGGGAAAAAAUCUAAGGAGUUAGUGGUCAAAAGAUCCUUAAAGCUUGAUGCCCUAAACCUUGAUUGGUUGAGAGUCAUUGAUGGAUCCCCGCUACAUGGACAUUUUAGAAAACAAUACCUUUAGCAUUGCACGCCUACAAUGAAAAAAAAAUGUGAAAUAAAAGAGGUGCGUUCUUAGCCUAUUGGAGGUUGGUCAGUUUGCUAAAGUUUGAGAAAUCUAGGUUGGGGGGAGAGAAUAGUCCGACAUACUAUAAUAAAAAACUAAUAACCUUAACACUUAGAUUUUUGUGGAAGAGUAAGGAUUGGACCUUUAGGGGUGGAAAUUCUUUUGAUGCUUAAAUUUGCAUAAUGCCUACUCUUUAUAAAUUAUGAUUAGGCAAGAGAUUUGAUGACUCUUGUUCAAAGUUGGGUUUUUCCUCUUUGAUGUUCCAUGAGAGAGUAUAAUCCUCAUCAUGCCACUUGAAAUCUUUUUGGAGUGAUUAACAUGAUUUUGUAAAUUAUUUUACUGUCUAUUUUUCUUUAUCUCUCUUUUAUUGCUAAUGGACUAGCAAUAUGUCAGUUGGGGGGAGUGAUUACUACUCAAAAAGUACUCUUUUAUAGCUUGAAACUAACUGUUUUAAACACUUUUGAGUAGGUGUUAAUACAUUUUAACUCAAUUGGCACAUUAAGGAACCUAACAAGGGUUACUAAUAAGUUUUUGGCAAGUUUUGGUGUUUUUGGUAGCUAUUUGAUCAUUGAAACAAGCCAAGAAUGAGGGAGAAUUUUGUGAAGUCCAUAGCAAUGCAAGUUAAAGCUCAAAUACAUGAAGAAUCCAAGCUUUGAAGCACUUCAUAGCCCUUUGCGAAGCCAAUCAGAGAUGCAAGGAAGAAAACCAGAGGAAAAAAUCCAACAACCAGCAUUUUCGCAUGGCUGUGCGAAAUUUUGCACACCAUGCGAAACCACAAGAAGUAGCCAAAGAAUUUUGCACACCAUGCGAAAUUUCGCAUGGUAUACGAAAUCUUCCUAUGCACCAACUCCGUUAUAUUUUUAUCUUCAGAUAUUUUGUGUAAUUUCCUAGUUUCUCCUUGUAACCAACCUAGAUAUUUUCUUUUAUAUCUUUUUUUUAUAUUUUUUAGGUAACAUCAUAUAUAGGGGGAGAGACAUAAGGAGGAUAUGGAUGUUUUUCAUAAAACACUUUUAAUUUUCUGGUAGUAAGAAAUAUACAAAGUUUUUUGCUCUGCCUUACCUUCUCAUUUUGUUUUCACCUAUCUUUCUAGCCAAACAACCUCUGAGAAUGAUUUCUCAGGGGAUGAGUAGUUAGGUUUUACGUUUCUUGGAGUGAGAGAAGCUAGGUGAAAGACCCAAAUGCUAAGGUGGGAGUUGUCCUUGCUUUAAAUGAAAGUAGUUGUUAAAUAUUAAUGGUUUUUAUUUUAAGGUUUAGCUUUAAAUCCCUUAAAAACACCUUGAAUGGCCAAUACUUGGUAAGCUUUUCGGAUUCUAUGGAUGCUUAUUGCUAGAUCCAUGGAUGUCAUUAGUUAUCAUUUAUGAGCCAUUGGAAGGUGGUUCAAGAUGAGAGUCUUUAGUGUUUGAAGCCAUUAAUGGGAAACAAUUACCAUUUUUUCAUGAAUCCUUUGGAUAAAAUCUUAAUUGCUAAAUAUAAAACUGGUUCGGGAGAUAACCAUCCUUUAUGUUAUUAUGCCCAAUGCAAGGAGAAGAUUUCGAAUCUUCUCAUUUGUCUAAGGAACCCGAUCCUAGUGACCUAAAGCUCCUAGAGACCUUUUCUUUGUAGUUAACUUCAUUUAUUGUUUUUGCUUAACUUAAAAUCAAUCUUUGCAACCACAAUUCCAUUUUCUUUAAAAGCUAAUUUUUAUAAGGAAAAGCACCAUUUUAUUUCCUUCACUAAGUCAACUGUAUGAUGAAAACCCAUCCCUGUGGACGAUCUUAGAGCCACUAUACUAUGUUAUCUAUGCUAUCCUAGUGUGAGGUGAUUUAGGUUUUAUAAAUUUUGUUGAUAACACCCGUCUGAGCCAGAAUCAAAUGGAACCACUGAACCAGGGACAAAUCAACAGCCUAUAUGGGAGGGACACAAGUUUAAUUGAUUUGCAUUUCAGCGUUAUAGAUAAGUAUGUUUUGGAAGAUUUGUUCUGGAAAUACUGCACCAAGUACGAUUCUUUUUCUCUUGAGUGAGUCCAUUUGCAUGCCAAUUAACGAGUUGAAAAGUAGGAGCACCUACCUCGUGCUCAUGGAACCGAAUGUCAGUGAAGUGGGGCUCCUUUUAGCCUCUUGUGUUUCUGUUCCAACCAAGGCGGCGUAGGGAAAAACAACAAUAUGUCUGUGCUAAAUAUCAACGCAUGAUAGAUGUUUUUUUUUUUUUUUUUGGUAUGUCAAGGCUAACGAAUGAAAUGCAUUAGCUUGUUUUGUGACUAUAACUGCAAAUGUCCAAAUUGGAGUAUCUCCAUUUCUCACUUCGGAUGGUUAACUUUAUAAACAAGAUAUAGGAAACAUGUGAACAUCUUGAGGAACAAUUCAAAUUAUUCAUUAGAAGUCCUGGGUUAAGUUCCAAGAUUUAAAUCAGACCCUUCUAGCAGCUUCAAGGGUACUUAGCAACCUAUAACAUAUUAAUGAAGAUUUAGGAUUUAGACUCCGGAAUACAAAUAAAUAUGUAUCUCAUGCUUUGACUAGCUUCCCUACAUAUGCAUAAAAUGGAGAUGACCCAAAAAAAAUAGCAGAAUCUAGCUUCCCUACAUAUGCACAAAAUGGAGAUGACCCAAAAAAUAGCAUAAUCGCCUUAGUUUCUGUGGUUAAGGUGAUUCUCCGCUUAAUAUCCACAUUGACUCAUUAUGCAAAAUCAACUGAGCUAAUUUUAUUUAUUUAUUUAAUGUCAAAUAGGAACUCCUAAUUAACUGAUUACUGUCGAAAAGUGCUAUUUUGUAGACCUAAUUAUAAGGGUUUUAAGCACCUUUGAGUAGUAAUCAUAUUCAUUUAACCUAAUUAAUUCAUUAAGCUCCUUAGUAAUUAGUUCUAACCAUUUUUAGUGGCAAGUUUACAUGUUUUUCAUCAGCUUAUGAACCAAUUCAAGCAUGCCAAUUGAUGGAGGAGCUACUUGGGCGAGUUAAGCAAGGAUUUUGGACGUUUACAGGCUUGAAUUUCAAGUGGAAACACGAGCACAAGCAAUGGGAACACCAUUUCGCAAGGGGAGGCAAUUCACCUUGCCAAAUGACCAAUUUCGCAAGGGGAUUUUCCUCAUGGUGCAAAAUUUGGUCAUUUCGCACCAUGAAGAAACCACCUUGCAAAAUUUCGCAAGGUGGAUUUAGGCACCUUGCGAAAUGCCAAAUUUCACAAGGUGGCUUUUCACCUUGCGAAAUUUGGACCUUUCAUCUUCCCCCCUUGCGAAAUGCCUUUGAAAUCCCCUGUUUUGAGACGCUGUUGAUGAUAUUCCACUGCCGGUUCUCCAAGAUAUUUUGCUUGACUUUUAGCUUUAUAAAUACCUAUUUUACCCUUGUAAUCAACCAAUGAAAAGGUUGCUUUUGUAAUAGCUCUUGUAAUUUAGCUUUUUAUUGUCUUUAAAUAGAGGUGAAGAGCCUCAGACACGAUCAUCUUGUAACCUGUAACUUUAUAAGUUAUAAGAGCACUUUUGUUCAUACGCUUCUUUUCUCUUUUCUUUCUCAUUUUCUUAGUAGCCAAACAUCCUUGGAGGAUGAAAUCCCCAAGGAUGAGAGGCUAAAACCUUUUAGUUUCUUGAAGUAAUGGAUGCCAUGUGAAGCUCCCGUGUCAGGAUGGAGAUUUCCAAGCCAUAAAUGUAAGUAGCUGAGCGUCAUAAAUGUUUUCAUUCAAAGUAAAGCUUUUAAUCCCUCUGACUUGCUUUGAAUGGCCAAUACUUGAUAACCUUUUGGUCUCAAUGGAUUCUUAUUGUUAGAUCCACUGACGUUCAUUAGUUAUCUCCUACGAGCCAUUGUAUUGCAAGUCGAGGAGAUGACCUAUACCAAUAAAAGAGCAUUUAUGAGGUUCAACUACCCUUUUUGUAAGUUUUCAAGGACUAAAACUCAGUUGUUAAACUCAUACCGGUUCGAGAAGUAAGCAUCACCUUAGUUGCUUCCCCAACUCGAGGUGAAAAGUCCCAAAAUCUCCAUUUUUACACAGUGAGUUAAGCAUGGCUAUCCAAAGCUUUAAGAAACUUCUUUUUCCAUCUUUUAACCUAUUUUCAUGUUAGUUUAGUUUACAACACCUUCAUCUUUUUAUGUUUUCAUCUUAACCUAAUUUUUAUUAAGAAAAGUUCACUCCAUCCUCCGAACUUCACCAGUUAAAGUAAAAACCCUUCCCAGUGUUCGAUCCUAGAGCCACUAUGCUAUAGUAGCUUUGCUACUUUAGUGUAAGGACCUUAGGUAUAAAUUUUGUUGAUACCCUUACAUGCCAAGCUACCAAGAGUCGGGUUAUCAUUAACCUAACCAUUGGCCUGUGUAAAUUGAUUUCACAUGCACAAUGUUGUAGUAGAAGUCCAUAUUUUGAAUUUUAUUUUUGUAAAGGUAAGGAAAAUGAAGCAUUGUGUAAUUAUAAAAAUAACUUCAUUGGAAUUCACAAGGUUCACCCAAAAUGGAGCUACAUCUGUAUUCUAUCCUACAGUAGACUAUAUAGAUUGUACAAUAGUAAAUUGCAAAUACAAUUAAUAAGUCUUGUGCUUCCUUACUAAUAAUCCUUUGACAUGAACAUUGCAGCACUAAGGUCCUCUUGGGAAGACACCUUGCACCCAUGAGAGCACUAAGAGGAAGCAAGGCAGAGUCAUGGGUGCAAUGUCAUGACUUGUUGUUGCACCAAGAGAGGCUUGGUGAUGCCAUGGUGUUGCAGUAGCAAGAAUGUUGCCUUGGCAGGGACACGAUCUAGGGAUAGAUGCCAAGAAAGGCUUAGCACUCACAUGAGUUGCACAAAGAUGAAUGUAAUAGAGCAUCAGAGAGACGUCUUGGCAAGUAAAUGAAUGGAUCCAAGAGACAACAACAUGAGGAGUUUCAAAUGGAUAAGGAAUGACUCAAAGACAUUUGAAAGCUACAAGUUGGAUUCUAAUUACGAUUGCAAUUUGAGUUUGAGUAGGAGUUUAGAUUUUGAUUGUAAUUGUAGUAUGAGUUGGACUAGGAUUGCUUAUCCUUAGUCAAUAUAGGAGCGGUUCGUGUCACCCUAUGAAAAGAGUUUGAGUAGGGACUAGGAUUGCUUACUCCUAGUCAAAUAUGGAGUAGGUGGUGCCACACCUAUAAAAAAAAGGGACAACAUGAGAGAGAGAGAGAGAGAGAAAGAGAGAGUGAAUUCACUAAAGAUAUUGUGGGAGUUUUGCUUUGUUACGUCUUGUAUUAUUACUUAGAAUAGGAAUAAAAUACAAGUUGGGGCUAGAGCCCCAUAAUUAAUCUCGUGUGCCUUUGUGGUUAUUCUUUAUUUGUCAUCUCGUGUGGAUUGGAUUAGGUUGACUUAGAGGGCUUCUAAGCACCACCUUUGUGGGUUAUUAUUUAUUUUCCAUCUCUUGUGGAUUAGAUUAGGUUGACUUAGAGGGCUUCUGAGCACCACCUUUGUGGGUUAUUAUUUAUUUUCCAUCUAUUGUGGAUUAGAUUAGGUUGACUUAGAGGGCUUUUAAGCACCACAUUUGUGGGUUAUUCUUUAUUUUCCAUAUCGUGUGGGUUGGAUUAGGUUGACAAGGAGAAAAAUUAUGUGGGAAAUUUGUGUUGGGACACUUACCAUAACCAAGUAAAAUCUACCAAGUCCUUUGUAAUAUCUUCAACAAAUAUUUUAGACUAGUUCUUUCAGUUAGUGUAAAGGAGGAAGAAGUGGUAUUGAUUCUAGAAAUAGGGUGUGUGUAUUUGAACUACAAUCCUUAUGAUCCUUAGGUCUCUAAACCUUCGUGAUGGGCUCCCUGACAUUUCAUAGGUUGUGCUACACAUGCGUUUGAAAUUUAGAGUGCGUUUGACAGUGAUUCCGGGAAGUGUUUUUGGCCUUUCUUACACUUGAAAAUUUUUAUUUUUCAAGUAUUAGAAAUGCUACAAACACUUUUGAAAAUUACUGUCAAACACACUCUUAGGAGCGCACAUAUAUAGUAGAAAACUAGAAAUUGUGGUUUUUUUAGGAUUUACUGUAAUGUCAUUAGGAGGGUAGUAAGUUGAAAUUGAGUAUGAACAAAUAUUUCUUUCUUUGGGAUGUUCUUCUAGUAGGUGCUGAUGAAACUGUUCUUUCUACUGCCAAUGUCACAUAUCAGCCAGAAAUUGAAAAUUUCAGUCAAGGUGUCCUCUGUUUUAGUGGUGAGGAAAGCUAGAAAUUUUAAGGUGAAGUUUUGUUAAAAACCUUAAGUAGCUGGGAUAUCAGGCCUGUUUUGCUUGAAAAAAAAAGUUGCAAGAUAACUCAUAUGCCAAACAGGUUCUGAUAUUGUGAAUCUAUCGGCAGACAUCAGUAAUCUCAUCUUCUGAGAUGGAUGUUGGGGGUGCAUGUGGUGGUGGAGGGGCAAGGUUUCAUUUGGUUUAUUUUGUUGAUGGAUAUUGUCUAGCCACCUGCGCCAAGUUUGAGGGGUGGUGGGUUGUGAUGACCCUACAAUUACUAUUAAUUUCUUCAUCUUUUACCGAUUAAAGUGUCCGAACAGUCGAAGUUACCCUUAUGCAUGUCAACUUGAUCACUUACCUCUUCAAUGGAGUUUAUGCUGGUUCAUUUAGGAACUGAUUUUUAUUGUUAUGUAUUAUAUGCUGAUGUUUAGGUCUCUCCAUCAUCACUAUAUACAAAAAUUCUAGGUUGAUACUAUAGGUUGAGAUUUAUUUUUUAAAUAAAAAAUAAUAAAAAUAAAAAUUAUGGUGAUGUUUAGUUGUUUUAUGGAAAAUUUUAACAAGUAAAAGUUAUUUUUGGGCAAGUUUUCAAACAAAAAGAAAAGUAAAAGUUGUUUUGACAAAAACAUAUAGAAAAAAAAAUCAUAGAAAAUAAAUAAUUUCCCCAUAUUCUAACUUUUUUGAAUUUUUCUCAAUGGGCAAAGGAAUAUCAAAUCAAGUUUGAGUAGGAUUUCUUAAUUUUUAAAAUAACUUACAAUUAAAAAAUUUUGGUGUUUUCAUUUUUGGACAAUUUUUUAUUAAGCAAAUGGACUCUGAGUCAUGCAAGAGAUAUGGUUCAUUAACCGGUCGAACAAUUUUUUUAAAUUAAUUUAAAAGUCAAAUACAUAAUCAAUUUCACAAAAUUUAUAAACAAAAAUAGGUUUAGAGAAGAUCUACACAUAAUUUUACUUUUCUAAUUUUAUUUUAUUUUAUUUUUUGUUGGAAAAUAGUCUUCAAAUCAUGUAAGAUUUAAUAGGUUAAAUUUGUUAACAAUAAAUUUUAAAUUAUAAAAUAUAAUCUGGAACUCAAAAAUCAAUUCAAGUAAUGCUAAAAAAAAAUCAAAUUUGGUAUAGAAUGACUUUGUAAAUUUUUUUACAAAACAAAUGAAUUUUAAAUCAAGUGAGAUUUAAUGCAUUAGAUUUUUAUCAAAUAUAGUAAUUUUAAAAAUAAAUUUGGAACUCAACAAUAGACACAAUAAAUACCAAAAAAUAAUGAACCAAAAUUGGUUUGGAAUAACUCCACAACCUUUUUUUUUUUUUUUUGGUGCACACGAAUUUUCUUACUAGGUAUAUUGCUUUCAAAUUGAGAAAGAUUUACCAUUUAGAUUUUUUUUUAAUGAGUUUAAUGGUAUUUUAAAAUAAUUCAAAAUUUAAAAAAUUGACUAAUUAAUAUUAUAAAUUGAUAAACCAAGACUAUUUCAAAAUGCAUUGGGGGCUAAGGGGGUUGAAAAUAGGGACAAUGGGAUGGGUUUGGGACAUGACACUCAUAUCUCAUUUCCAUUCCAAUUACACAGUUAUCUCCCAUCCUUAUCCCAAACUUGUGUUGGAGCAAGUUGAUUUGUUCCCAUCUUUGUUGACGAAAUGACUAAUAACCUCAUCCCCUCCUUAUCUUAGAUGUACAUUUUGUCAAAUUUGAUCAGGUAUGAUUGAUCCAAGCCCUAACCCUAAUUGGUAAUGAGUGAAUACUACACCUAAUUGCAUUCUUCUUUCAUUGCAAAAUAAUGAGAUUAUAAUAAUCUAGCAAAUAAGAAAAAAUAGUAUGGAAGUUCAAAUUAACACCAUAACUAUCAAUAAUUUUAAGCUUAUAGAUGACUUAAAUGAUUAAAAACUAAUGCAAAAUCCUAAAAAAAAUAAAAAUCAUAUAAAGAAUUCACAAGAGAACAGAAUGAACAAAAACCAAAUAUGAACAUGGGUCAACAUUAGUUAUGGAUUUGGAUUCCUUUCAAGGCCAAUCUUUGAACCAAGACUUCAUCAAAUCAACUACUUCAAAGGCUUUUGUGUUCUUCUUGGGUUGUGCUCUCAAACAAAGACUUCGAGGUGAUGUUCUAGAUGAUUGAAUUACACAUAUUUAGGGUGGAGAGAUUGGAGAAGCUUGAAGAUGCCAACGAUGGGUACAAUUGAGUGGUCAAUAAGAACAAUGUAGCCUAUGACUAGUUUGAUGUCAUGGUACAAGAGUUUUAGGCAUUGAGGUUAAAGCAAGAGCAACAUGGAAUUGAUUUCGGAGUCUUUCAGUUAGUGUAAAGGAGGAAGAAGUGGUGUUGAUUCUAGAAAUAGGGUUUUAAGUGGUGCGUGAUUACUACUCAAAAAGUGCUAUUUGAUAGCCUUUAAUUAAUCCUUUUUAACACUUUUGAGUAGUAGUUUAGGCCUUUUAACUCAAUUGGCAUGUUAAGGAUCCUUUAAAGCAAUUUUGAUCACUUUGUGCAAGUUUUGGUGUUUUUGUUAGUAUUUUGAUCACCAAAGCAAGUCAAGAAUGAGGAGAACUAUGAGGAAUCAUGGGCAAAGCUUAGAAUUCAAUUGCCAAGAGUGAAUCCGGAUUGCAAGGAGAAAAAGCAAAGAGAAUCUGUCAUGAAGCCUAUUCUUGAUGACAGUCGUAGCAGCCACUUUUGGAGCACUUUCUGAAGUCCAAAUGAUGCAAGCUAUAUACCAUUUCAAAGAUCAGGAAGUCAACAAUCCAAUGCUUCAAACGGUGCGCGAUUCGGAGUUGAAACGAAGAAGUUGCAGCCAUUACAAGCCAGUCACUCUAAAGUGUUGCGGAAUCAGCCUUUUGUUGCGAGAAUUUCGCAGCACUUUUGUACAGUAAGGUGUUUCUCCUUCUGACGAUGCACGAACCAUGCCGCGAGAGGGAAGCUAGGAACUUCAAGAUGGAAGCCAACUUUGCAGCCUGGUGAAGAUAGCUUGGUCUUGCGAAAUAAUUUCGCAGCCCUCUUGGGUGUCUGCGAAAUUUCGCAGGCACCACUUUUUUCCUGCGAAAUGGCUCCGGAAGCCUCCCGAAGCUUGCUACCGACAUUGGGAGAUAUUUUCCAUUAGAUUUUUGUUGUCUAAAUUCCAAAAUACUCCUUGUAAACCACCAAUUACAUGAUUCCUUAGUUUUUAAGUUAGUAAAAAGACCAAAUAUCUAUGUAAUAAUUAGUUUUAUAUUAGUUUGCUAUAAAUACCUCUCGGGAGCAUGUUCUCAGAGAGGAGUUCCUUCUGUAACCAUUUUGGUAAGCAAGUAAAGUCUUUUCUUUCUACUGCCUUACCUUCUCACUUUGUAUUUUCAUUUUAUUUCUAAGUUAUGAAUUCUCUGAGGAGCUUUCCCCAGAGAAUGAGUAACUAAACCUCCAAUUCCUUGGAGCUAAGGUUGCCGGGGAAGGUUCCAAGUGCAAGAAUGCAAAGCUCUGUGGUUUUAGCUAGUAAUGAAGAGGAAGUGAAAUCCUUUAGUGAUUUCAAUGUUUUUAGUUAACUUAAAACACCUUGGAGUCACCUGGGCCAACACUUGGUAAGGCAAGUGAUUUCCAACCGUGGAAAUGCACUAGUUUACCCCUUGCGAGCCUCUGGUAGGUGACUUCAAGGUAGGAUUUUCUGGAAUUACCAACACUUGGUAAGCUUUUGGACUCCUAGGAGACAUCCAUUAGUUAUCUCUUGCGAGUUUGUGAAGGGGAAUCCAAGGUUAAAGAUCACCUUGAAUGGUAAGUGCUCGUGAGAGGCAUGAACCAUUGCAAGUUGUAUCAGUGAGAGAAUUAAAGUGAAAUCUAAUUGAAGGAGUCUCUGUACAUCACCGGUUAGAGAAUUGACUAUAAGUUGAAUCUCUAAUGCGAGGAAAUGAACCAUCUGACCGGAGCUAUGUCUUUUGCAUGAGGAACCACCCCAGUGAACCUAAAUCUCCAAGGAAUGCUUUUCUUCCUAAAUUAUUCCAAACUUCUGUUAAGUUAGUUAGUUUAAGUCUAAACCUUUACCAAUCAAACUUUGUGUUUUAUUUCUUAAGCUAACCGUGAAAUGAAACAAAACCAAUUCACUUGGAAUUGGUAUCCUUGAUUGCUUGCAAAUCAUUCCCAGUGAACGAUCCUUAGAGCCACUAUACUAUAGUAGCUUUGUAUUUGCUACCCUAGUGUAUGGUGUUAUAGGUAUAAAUUUUGUUGAUCACUUCCUCAAUCAAGGAACACCAGCUGAACACAAAUCAGCUGAGACACCAAUUGGGCAUGAGUCAAAUGGCGCCGUUGCCGGGGAAUGAGUGUCAAGAUCAUUGUGAUACCAUUUUUGAGCACUUGUGAUUUUCAUCACAAGUUGGUAAAGUUUCUUUCACUUUACUAAUUUUCAUUCUCUCUUUGUUUAUUUACAAUCUAAGUUUAUCUUUUUAAAAUUUAGUCUAGUUUAAUUUUGCUAUUGUAGCCUUGUUUCUCUUGUUGUCCUCUGUUCUUGUUGUCCUCUGUUUUCAUUUUAGUUGCAGCUGAAUACUAGUUGUGUAUGCCAAAGUGGAUACGAGACAUUGGAGGUAGGCUUAUUAAGUGUGAUACACCUCAGAGAGGAGAAUUGGAAGUAAUCUUGAAUAUCAUGGAGGCUGCACCUGAAGAUCAGCAUAGUCACCAAGGUCGUCAAGACAAUCUCAAUGAAUUCAGAUCAAUGAGGGACCGUAUGCAUCCACCUCGUAUGAGUGCACCAUCAUGUAUAGUGCCCCCUACAGAGCAACUAGUGAUCAGACCAUAUCUUGUUCCACUUCUACCAACUUUCCAUGGGAUGGAAAGUGAGAAUCCGUAUGCACACAUCAAGGAAUUUGAAGAUGUUUGUAAUACAUUCCAAGAGGGAGGAGCUUCAAUUGAUUUGAUGAGGCUUAAGUUAUUUCCUUUUAAUUUAAAGGAUAAGGCCAAAAUUUGGCUUAAUUCUUUAAGGCCAAGGAGUAUCCGCUCUUGGACUGAUUUACAAGCUGAAUUCCUCAAGAAAUUUUUUCCUACUCAUAGAACAAAUGGCUUGAAAAGGCAAAUUUCAAACUUCUCAGCUAAAGAGAAUGAGAAAUUCUAUGAGUGUUGGGAAAGAUACAUGGAAGCUAUAAAUGCUUGUCCUCACCAUGGCUUUGAUACUUGGCUACUGGUGAGUUAUUUUUAUGAUGGUAUGUCCUCCUCAAUGAAGCAACUCCUCGAGAAAAUGUGUGGAGAAGAUUUCAUGAGCAAAAAUCCAGAGGAAGCUAUGGAUUUCUUGAGCUAUGUAGCUGAUGUUUCAAGGGGAUGGGAUGAACCAACUAAAGGAGAAGUGGGAAAGAUGAAGUCUCAGUUGAAUGCUUACAAUGCAAAGGCUGGGAUGUAUACUUUAAAAGAGGAUGAUGACAUGAAAGCAAAGUUGGCAGCUAUGACAAGAAGAUUGGAGGAGCUGGAGCUGAAAAGAAUGCAUGAAGUGCAAGCUGUUGCUGAAGCACCAGUGCAAGUGAAGUUGUGUCCCAAUUGUCAAUCGUUUGAACAUUUGGUAGAGGAAUGCCCUGCAAUUUCAGCUGAAAGGGAAAUGUAUAGAGAUCAAGCAAAUGUUGUUGGACAAUUCAGGCCCAAUAACAAUGCUCCUUAUGGAAAUACCUACAAUUCAAGUUGGAGGAAUCAUCCAAAUUUUUCAUGGAAGGCCAGAGCAACUCAAUACCAACAGCCGGAUCCACCAUCUCAACAAUCUUCAAGUAUUGAACAAAUAAUAGCUAAUCUCAGCAAGGUAGUGGGAGAUUUUGUGGGAAAGCAAGAAGCCACCAAUGCUCGAGUGGAUCAAAGAAUGGACAGAGUGGAUCAAAGAAUGGACAGAAUGGAGAGUAUGUUGAACAAAAGAAUGGAUGGAAUGCAAAAUGAUAUGAAUCAAAAAUUUGAUAACAUCCAAUAUUCAAUUUCAAGGCUUACAAAUUUGAAUACACUGCAAGAAAAGGGAAGAUUUCCUUCUCAACCUAACCAAAAUCCCAAAGGUGUCCAUGAAGUGGAAAGCCAUGAGGGAGAAUCAUCACAGGUGAAAGAUGUGAAAGCUUUGAUCACUCUAAGGAGUGGUAAGAAAAUUGAGCAGCCAACACCCAAGCCACAUGUUGAGAAAGAAGAAGAGAUGAAGAAAGGGAAGGAAAUGGAAGAUAAAGGCAGUGAGAUCAGUGAAGAAAAGAAGGACUCUGAUGCAACAAUGAAAGUAAUUCCAGAGAAGGAGCUUCUGAAGGAAGAAAUGCUGAAGAAAUCAACUUUUCCACCUUUUCCUCAAGCAUUACAGGGGAAAAAGGGGGUUAGAAAUGCAGCUGAAAUCCUAGAAGUAUUGAGGCAAGUGAAAGUUAAUAUUCCACUGCUGGAUAUGAUCAAACAAGUUCCAACGUAUGCAAAAUUCCUAAAGGACUUGUGUACUAUCAAAAGAGGGUUGACUGUAAACAAGAAAGCCUUCUUGACUGAGCAAGUAAGUGCAAUCUUACAGUGUAAGUCUCCUUUGAAGUACAAAGACCCUGGAAGUCCUACCAUUUCAGUCAUGAUUGGAGGAAAGGUAGUGGAGAAAGCCUUGCUAGACUUGGGAGCAAGUGUGAAUUUGCUUCCAUAUUCUGUCUACAAGCAACUGGGACUUGGAGAGUUGAAGCCAACAGCAAUCACUUUGUCUCUGGCAGAUAGAUCAGUGAAAAUUCCAAGAGGGGUAAUUGAGGAUGUAUUGGUUCAAGUAGAUAAUUUCUACUAUCCUGUAGAUUUUGUUGUUCUUGAUACAGAUCCUACUGUAAAGGAAGCUAAUUUAGUUCCUAUCAUCCUUGGAAGGCCAUUUCUUGCAACUUCAAAUGCAAUCAUCAACUGUAGAAAUGGGCUUAUGCAACUCACUUUUGGUAACAUGACACUGGAUCUAAAUAUUUUCUAUAUGUCUAAAAAGCAAAUCACUCCAGAAGAAGAAGAGGGUCCAGAAGAGCUAUGUAUUAUUGAUACUUUGGUGGAGGAGCACUGCAAUCAACAUAUGCAAGAUAAGUUGAAUGAAAGUUUUGUGGAUAUUGAGGAAGGUUUUUCUGAAUCUCCUAAUGGGCUUGCUACUCUACAAAGUUGGAGAAAGAUAGAAGGAAUUCUACCUUUGUUCAAUGAAGAAGAGGAGGCAGCUGUUGAAAAAGAAAUUCCAAAACUCAAUCUGAAGCCUUUACCUAUGGAGCUGAAAUAUACAUAUCUUGAAGAAAAUAAUCAAUGUCCUGUCGUAAUAUCUUCAUCUCAAACCAAGUCUCAAGUGAAGGAUGCAAGCUUCAAAUGGGAUCCGGGCAAACUGAAUCAGGAAGGGCAAAAAGUUUUGAUGUAUGACACAAGACUCCAUAUCUUUCCUGGGAAGCUCAAGUCAAGGUGGAUUGGUCCAUUUGUUAUUCACCGAGUAUAUUCCAAUGGAGUGGUGGACUUAUUGAAUUCCAAUGGCAAGGACAGCUUUAGAGUCAAUGGAUAUCGUCUUAAGCCGUUCAUGGAGUCAUUCAAAUCAGAAAAGGAGGCAAUCAACCUCCUUGAACCUCAAAAAGCCUAAGUGAAAUGGGUUUGCUGGACGUGGUUUUACCACAGUCCAAAAAUUUUUGUAAAUUUUGUAAAUUUUCAAGUUGUUUCCAUGCUUUUAAUCUUAGUUUUUGAUUUUAAAUCAUGUUUUUAGGUGUGUUUUAAUCGUUUUAUAUGAUCCCAGGCGGAAGAAAUUUCAAGGGGAUUGAAAAGAAAAAAAUCGGGUCGAAAUUGGAGCCGAAACAGAGCAAAAACAGGGGAAAAACAGAGCUCUGCGAAAUUUCGCAGGGUGAAGGAAACUUCUGCGAAAUUGGCAUUUUGCUGCCAAACCAUUCCGCAGCACUGUAGAAGCCUCUGCGAGUGUAUUUCGCAAUUGCGAAAGUGGAUUUGGCACACGAGUGCCACUUCGCAGCACAGUGACAUCAAUUUCGCAGCUGCGAAACUCACUGCGAAGUUGCUGCGAAAAUGGCAAGUUGCUGCGAAAUUGGCGUUUUGUUGCGAAACGUAAUCUGACCCCUGGGCUUCCGUUUUUCCUAUUUAUACCUGUCAAAAGUGCUGCGAAAAAGGUUUCAAAAAUUAGAGCACCAUUCUCGCAGCCCUUUCAUCUUCUUCGCCAAGCCACGCCGUCCGUUUCUCCGGUCGUCUUCUCCGUUUAGCAGCGCCGGCCAAAGAUCGAUAGCCCAAAAAUGGCACGAACGCGAGGGGCAAAGUCUUCAUCCCCUUCGAACCGCAAAAGGAGUCUGCGAAAGGAGCCAAGUUCAGGCUCUGUUCCAGAACCUGCUCCAAAGCCUUCGCCGUCGAGACCACAACCUUCUCCAGUGAAGCCGGCGCCACCAAAGCCGCCGGCAAGGCGAUAUUUAACCAGGUCAGGUGGUCAGCCAUUGAAGAAGAAAGCCAGAGUUGAGAGCUCUGAACCAAUCGAUUUGACUGAGCAAUCCCCUGAGAAAUCACCAAAUCCUUCACCGGUACAAAUUCCAGUGCCAUCACCGGUUCCCUCGCCAAUUCCCUCACCAGAAGCAACUCCAAUUCCAUCGCCGGUACCAUCUCCGGCACCCCAAGAAAAAGCUCAGGAGCCUCAAGCGCCAAUUCCAGAGCCCCAAAUUGCAGCUGAAGCACCUCUGGAAGAAGUGAUCCGAAGGCCAAUGCUGCCUCAGCCCCCAAUCGAAGGAAACCUGGAUUGCCGAACUCGGGCAUUCCAUUCUGAGCUUUGCUUCGAUUUAACAGCAUUCAGAGUGAGGCCAGAGCUUGCCCAAUCCUUCCAACUGCUGAGGAGAUAUCAUAUGGAGCAUCUGCUAGCUCCAAGGGAUUUUUUCUAUCCCCGGGUAGUCACGGAUUUCUACCAAACCAUGACAACCAAAGAAGUAAGAAAUCCAACUCUGAUUCAUUUCAUAAUUGAUGGAAGGCAUGGUAUUUUGGGAGCAAGACAUAUUGCUGAAGCCCUGCAAAUUCCUUUUGAGCCAACUCAAUUCGACAAUUUUAAAGCUUGGACAAAUCCUACUGAGUUAGAGAUGGUUAGCACACUAACCAGAGGAGCUGCAAAUCGAUCGCAUUUGUUGAGGGGGGAGCUACCUCCAGUUAUGUUUUUGAUUGAUGCCUUUUUGAGGCAUAAUAUCUAUCCCCUGCAGCAUUGGACCCAAAGAAGGGGAAUUCUCCUAGAAGCCUUGUACAAAAUGUCUGAAGGAUUCUUCUUUGGGCCUCAUCAUCUGAUCAUGGCAGCCCUUCUAUACUUUGAGGAGAAGGUUCACAAGAAGAAGCUUCAAAGAGCAGAUUGCAUUCCACUCCUCUUCCCAAGGCUGCUAUGCCAAGUUUUGGAGCAUCUCGGAUACCCCUCUGAGCCUCAGCAGGAAAGAAAGAGAAUAUGCCGUGAGCCUUUUACCCUUGAUAAAUGGAAUAAUAUGACGGCCUACAAAAUUGAUCAGCCUGGGCAGCCUCAGCCAGCAGCAAGGAGAGUCUCCCCAAGACAUAUACCUGAAGGUAUAACACUUGCUACUCCUGCCAUCCCUCGAGCUCCACCAGCUGCACCUGCUCCAUCACAGCCAUCCACAUCAGCUGAGCCGAGGAUGGCCAUCCCUAUAUCCGAAUAUCGAGAGCUGUGCCGUGCAUUGGAGACUCUUACAGCUUCUCAGAGCAAUCUUGCUCAGGAGUUGGCAGCCAUUAAAGCAUGCCAGGAGCAGAUGUUAGCCUCUCAGACUCAACAAGCUGCCAUCCUAAGGCAGCUUCAAGUCCAUUUCGAUCUGCCACAAGCUGUAGAGCCCUCUAUUCCUACUCCACCAGAGCCACACUCUCAGCCUUCAGAGUCUCAUCCUCCAGAACCCGAAGCACCAGCUGAUCCACCUACUGAGGAGGCAGAUCCUUCUGCCUAGCACCAUCACCCCCCUCAUCAGACAUUAUAUAUAUAUUUGCUGUUUAUGUUUUUAUGCAUGUUUGUUUUGUUUUAGUUGAAAAGAAAUCCCAGUAUUUUGGUACUAUAUAUGGGAUUCCUUGUGUUACUUGUCUUUAGUAUUGUAAUCACAUGAACUCAAAGUAAUACAAGUUGACUAUUUCUUGUUAAAAGUUAGCAUUAAAGUUUCCUUAUUUCCUUUUCUCACAUAUUCUAUUCUUUUUGAAACAUGUGGUUUUCCCCAAUCAAUAUUCGAAUUUGAUAUCAGCAUGGAGGUACCACUUCCUCCCUUUUAUUACAGUCACUCAAAUCACAUUGAGGACAAUGCUCAGUUCGGUUGGGGGGUAUGAGGAAGGAAGUAUUCUAAACCUUUUUGGUAUUGCAAUUAUAUUGGUUAAUUAGUUGUAGAUUUUACUUUUUACUAGUGUUACUCUAUUCUCCAUGAAUUUUGAGGAAAAAUUUUCAAAUUAAACCAAGAGAAAUUGAACUGUUGUUUUUCACUUGACUUAGAGUAUGGAUUAUGCUUACUAAAGUGGUUCAAUUGUUGAAACUUCUACUGAAAUUGAAUUGAGUUCUUCCACUUUAAGCUAUCCACACACUGUGCACAUUAGUUUCCGAUUAUAAGAUGAAAAGCUAUUUCCCUCUUGACUUAGUAUAUUUUUGGGACUUGGUAUAUUUGACCUCAUUUGAUAAAAAUUGAAACACCCUGCAAAAGGCCAAUGAGCCUUUGAAAUAAAGAAAGUUGUUUGCUUGCCUUGAAACCCGAGCAAGGUCUGAGGGGUAUAUGGUGAAAAUCUUUAAAGCCUGGUGCCCUAAGCCUUAAUUGGUUGGGAGUCACCGACCUCAAUGCUCGUUACAAGGGUGAAUAGGUAGAGUUAGCAUAUGGUAGAUGCUUGGGUAUUAGAAAUUCAUUCUUAAAAGUCCGGGGAAAAAUCCGAGGAGUUAGUGGUUGAAAGAUCCUUAAAACUUGGUGCCCUAAACCUUAAUUGGUUGGGAGUCAUCGAUGGACCCCCAUUACAUGGACAAGUCAGAAAGAGUACCCCAUAAAGCUACCUUAAAAAAAAAAAAAAAAAAAAAAAAAAAAAAAAAGAUGAAAGUGUGUUCUUUUCUUAUUGAUUUUGGUCAGUUUGCUAAAGUGUUGAAAAGAGAUAGGUUGGGGGGUGAGAUUAGUAGCAUAUUAUUCUCGGAACCUAAGGAACCAAUACACAUAGAUUUUUGUGGAAGAUUGAAGUUUAGUUCUUAGAAAAUGAAAUGAUUUUAAAACUUCAGUUUGCAUAAUGCACUCCCUUGAUUGACAGUGUUUAGCAUAGGUGUUAUGACUCUUGUUGAGAUUUGGGUUUGUAUUUCUUUAAUGAUUCAUGUGAGAAAUAGAUCAUCAUGCCACUUGAGAAUUAUUUUCCUUUUAGCAUGAUGUUGUAAAUUUUAGAUUAGUUUGCUAUUUAUUUUUUAUUUUCUCUCCUAUAUUGCUAAGGGACUAGCAAUAUGUCGGUUGGGGGGAGUGAUUACUACUCAAAAAGUGCUAUUUGAUAGCCUUUAAUUAAUCCUUUUUAACACUUUUGAGUAGUAGUUUAGGCCUUUUAACUCAAUUGGCAUGUUAAGGAUCCUUUAAAGCAAUUUUGAUCACUUUGUGCAAGUUUUGGUGUUUUUGUUAGUAUUUUGAUCACCAAAGCAAGUCAAGAAUGAGGAGAACUAUGAGGAAUCAUGGGCAAAGCUUAGAAUUCAAUUGCCAAGAGUGAAUCCGGAUUGCAAGGAGAAAAAGCAAAGAGAAUCUGUCAUGAAGCCUAUUCUUGAUGACAGUCGUAGCAGCCACUUUUGGAGCACUUUCUGAAGUCCAAAUGAUGCAAGCUAUAUACCAUUUCAAAGCUCAGGAAGUCAACAAUCCAAUGCUUCAAACGGUGCGCGAUUCGGAGUUGAAACGAAGAAGUUGCAGCCAUUACAAGCCAGUCACUCUAAAGUGUUGCGGAAUCAGCCUUUUGUUGCGAGAAUUUCGCAGCACUUUUGUACAGUAAGGUGUUUCUCCUUCUGACGAUGCACGAACCAUGCCGCGAGAGGGAAGCUAGGAACUUCAAGAUGGAAGCCAACUUUGCAGCCUGGUGAAGAUAGCUUGGUCUUGCGAAAUAAUUUCGCAGCCCUCUUGGGUGUCUGCGAAAUUUCGCAGGCACCACUUUUUUCCUGCGAAAUGGCUCCGGAAGCCUCCCGAAGCUUGCUACCGACAUUGGGAGAUAUUUUCCAUUAGAUUUUUGUUGUCUAAAUUCCAAAAUACUCCUUGUAAACCACCAAUUACAUGAUUCCUUAGUUUUUAAGUUAGUAAAAAGACCAAAUAUCUAUGUAAUAAUUAGUUUUAUAUUAGUUUGCUAUAAAUACCUCUCGGGAGCAUGUUCUCAGAGAGGAGUUCCUUCUGUAACCAUUUUGGUAAGCAAGUAAAGUCUUUUCUUUCUACUGCCUUACCUUCUCACUUUGUAUUUUCAUUUUAUUUCUAAGUUAUGAAUUCUCUGAGGAGCUUUCCCCAGAGAAUGAGUAACUAAACCUCCAAUUCCUUGGAGCUAAGGUUGCCGGGGAAGGUUCCAAGUGCAAGAAUGCAAAGCUCUGUGGUUUUAGCUAGUAAUGAAGAGGAAGUGAAAUCCUUUAGUGAUUUCAAUGUUUUUAGUUAACUUAAAACACCUUGGAGUCACCUGGGCCAACACUUGGUAAGGCAAGUGAUUUCCAACCGUGGAAAUGCACUAGUUUACCCCUUGCGAGCCUCUGGUAGGUGACUUCAAGGUAGGAUUUUCUGGAAUUACCAACACUUGGUAAGCUUUUGGACUCCUAGGAGACAUCCAUUAGUUAUCUCUUGCGAGUUUGUGAAGGGGAAUCCAAGGUUAAAGAUCACCUUGAAUGGUAAGUGCUCGUGAGAGGCAUGAACCAUUGCAAGUUGUAUCAGUGAGAGAAUUAAAGUGAAAUCUAAUUGAAGGAGUCUCUGUACAUCACCGGUUAGAGAAUUGACUAUAAGUUGAAUCUCUAAUGCGAGGAAAUGAACCAUCUGACCGGAGCUAUGUCUUUUGCAUGAGGAACCACCCCAGUGAACCUAAAUCUCCAAGGAAUGCUUUUCUUCCUAAAUUAUUCCAAACUUCUGUUAAGUUAGUUAGUUUAAGUCUAAACCUUUACCAAUCAAACUUUGUGUUUUAUUCCUUAAGCUAACCGUGAAAUGAAACAAAACCAAUUCACUUGGAAUUGGUAUCCUUGAUUGCUUGCAAAUCAUUCCCAGUGAACGAUCCUUAGAGCCACUAUACUAUAGUAGCUUUGUAUUUGCUACCCUAGUGUAUGGUGUUAUAGGUAUAAAUUUUGUUGAUCACUUCCUCAAUCAAGGAACACCAGCUGAACACAAAUCAGCUGAGACACCAAUUGGGCAUGAGUCAGUGCGUUAGAGGAUCAAGAAGAAGAAAAAGAAGGAACUGUUGGAAUUAGUAUGAGUGUGAAGAGAAAAGUAUAUAAAUAAGGGGAAGUAAAAGCAAAGUUCAAAAAGCUAUAUUUUUUUAUUGUUGGUGUAUGGUUGCAUGAUUAUCCCUAUAAAUAAUAGGAGUUUUUUGGUAUUCUACUAGUAGUUGAAGCAUAAUUUCAUAAAUUAAUAUUUAGAGCGGGGUGGGGUGAGUUGUGACAAAAUUCAUACCCGUCCCAAACCUUGGUUCAGAUUUUUAAAAUAUUCUCAAACUUAUCAUAUACCCAACUUUUAUAUUUCAUACUUGUCCUAAUAGAGGCACGUUAGGCCGGGUUACUUGAGUAACCUACAUAAUUGUCAUCCCUAGUUGAAAUACACUUUUUGGCAGUGGCCACCAACUGAGCUAGAAGCUUGAUUGAUUGACCUACAAGAUUAGUUCUCAUCAUUUUAAAAAAAGUUCUGGCUUUGGUUGUGAGUGCAAUUGAAUCUAAACUGGCAUUUGCUUAAUGCAUCUACUUCAAUCCUAAACUUCUUACUUCUUAAGCCUCAAUUGUUGUUAGGAUUUUGGAAAACCCAUUUCCUUAAAUUGUAAAUUUAAGAUAAAAUAAAAUAAAAGUGAGACAUUUCUUGAUUGAAUAUUGUUAAAGGUCCCUUGGCAUUAAGACUUGGUUGAAGCCUUGGAAGAUUAGUGGAACUCUCAACAUGUGUUUGAAUCUUGAGGAGAGUGGAUGUAAGCCAAAAUUUUGUCAAACCAUUAUACAAAUUGAGUUUGAAUCCUCAUUUCUUGAUUUCUUAUUUAUUUGCUUUUUCUUAUUAUUACUUGAAUUGUCAUUUGCAUUCAUUAAUGUUAAAAUUGGUUAUAAUUAACCAACACUAAUUCUCUUUCCCCUUCCCUUUCUUGGGUGUAAACCUAGGUUGGAUUAACUAGAUAAAUCUAUUAAGAUGGUAAAAGAAUAAUUAUUCUUAACAUACAUAAGAUCAUCUUCAAUCAAAUGACUCAUUGGCUAAUAUGUUGAAUUUGCUUAUUACUUGCAACUCAAAAUUGUGUUCUAGUUGUGUCAAGUCCCCAGUGUAUGGACAUUAAAUUUGUAGUACGUGAUGAGUAAUUAGAUGGUCCAACUCCAAGAAAGUGAUUGAAAAGUAGUUCAAGAAAGGUGCAAAAGGGAAUUGUUUUGGUAUUUUCGUUUUUAUUCUUGAAGGUGGCAGAGCUAAAAUUUGAGAAAUCAAGCAAAACAUACUGAAAUUACAUUGAAAGAAAGAAGAUGGGAGUUAAUGUCUUGCAGUACAUGAUAAGGACUUCAUGCAUGUAGUGUGACCCAUGUCUUGGACUGAUGCCAACUCACGGUUACACUUAUACCCUUGGUUCUCUCUUUACUACCUUGGCUAACCUAGAUCAGGCUAUGAGAUAGGCUCCUCACCACACCAUUACUUGCCCAUUAAUUAGAGACAUUUUCAAGCAAUGAGGUAACAUGGUGACACCAAGAGGGUCUAUUCCUCGCCCGGAACAAGUCUAGACUUGGUCUCAAAAAAAUGGAGAAAAAUGAGGUGUCGUUAUGUAGAAAUACAACAACCAUGCCUUCCUCAUUACUUAGAUUCAGAAUGUGAAGGUGAAAUUGAGAAACAGAAACUCUUGAAACCAAAAUGAAAAUUGAUACUUUUACGAAGAAUUACAACAACAUUAGAGGAAGACUACAUUCUUCCUCUUUAUUCCUACAUUUCUACACUACUUCUACUCCACUCCAUAUUUCUACAUACAUCUUUAAUCAGUCUUCCCUCCUUUAUAUAGAGCCAUCUUCACACAAAUUUCGCAAGGUAGAAAAGAGGAAUGAAACUUGGAGCAAGGUUCGACUACUGGUUGUAGCUUGUCAAGGCUGGAAGUGAACUUUUCUUGGCUUUCUGGGCAUGGGUAGUAACUUGUGGGUUCCUGUUUGGCAUAAAAAUGGCUAGAACAUGUGGCACUAUCUUGUUGGAUGAUGUGUCAAGCAUGUGGCAGCCAUCUAGUGGCGAUUAUGUCAAUUUUGGGAUGGAGAGUUGGCAUCCAAUUGCAAAGAAAUAUGACGUCUACCAACAUGCAAUGUAAACCUAUGUAGAUCAUAUGAAGAUAGAGAGGAAAAAUAUAGAAAUGGAUAUAUACCUAGAACUAGCUUUUUAUUAAAUGAAACGGAGAGACAACAAUGAAGGAAAAUAAAAUUUUUUGGCUUAUAUCAAAGAGUUCACAUUGUGUUACCCUAGGUUUUCUUAAAACUUACUUUUAUGAUAACAAAAAAGAAAAAACCAUUAUUGUUUAAUCCUUUGUUUUAAACGCAUGUAAGGUGUAAUUAAGUUAGUUCAAUGCAUUAAUUUAAGAAACUUGACCUAUCAAAAGUACAAAAUUAGAUGAAAUCCAUUUCAAUGGUUAAAAUGAUCAAAAUCAAACUUUUUCUAAGUAUUUUUUAAAAGCAUCAAUAGUGAAAGACAAUUUUAUAUUUAGUCGGAGUUUGGACAAAACUGAAAAACACACAAAAUCCAAGCGACCAUCUCUAGCUUGGAUGGUCGCUUGAUCCCACCUAGAGAUGUGCAUGAGUAAAAGGAUUUGAAAAUGGAAAUUGACUAUGUAGUCGAUCAAUUAACUUUGCAACAUCAUAUGCAAUCCUAAUUGCUAGUCAUCUAAUCAAUUAGGUAGUCAAUCAACAGGCCAAAAAUAUGUUUAUAAUGACUAUUUUGUACAAAAACCACCUGUAUAGUUAAAUAUAAUGCAUUUCAUUUAUAAAUCUUCUAAUUCUUGAAUAACGAUCCUAUCAUCCUUUGAAAGUUUUUAUUACACUUUUUUUACUUUUGUUCUAAAACUUACACAUCACCCUUAAUUGUACCAUGAGAACCUAGCUAUUUUUUAUUUUUUUUUUUGUAAUUCAUCAAAGUUAGCUUUUGUAUUCAUUGUUGUAUUAUUUUUAGUAUAACUUAGAAAGCUAGUGUUUUCAAGUGAGUAAAAUUAACUUGUAAAUAUUGUAAAGAUUCAUCGACAUGUAUCUUAAACUAAGUGUACAAGUUAAAACAUUUGCUAGUAGAUUUUCUCAAAAUUUAGAAUAGAGCUUGAGACUAUUGAAAUAGGUGGGGUUGCACCAAACCACAUCACAUCGUUGUUUGCACCUUUUUUCACUCUCUUUUACUUAGUUGCUCUAUAUUUGUUGUCUAGUAAUAUCCUAUAGGCUUGAUGGGUUAGGGAGCAUCCCUUUGUGAAAAAAUUUUAUUCAAUCCUUAGUUGUAUCACGCAUAUAUAAAAUGCCUCAUUGUUUUAAUGGUAUUCAGUCGUGGCAUCACAGAUAUGGGCAUCUAAAUUUUAAAAGUUUGAAACUUUUAUCUAAAGAAAAUAUGGUGCUUUGCCUUUUUGUAAAGCAUGUUGAUGAAAUCCAUGAGAAUUGUGUACUUGGGAAGCAACACCGAGAUGACUUUUUUUUUUUUUUUAUAAUAUUGUUUGUCCAAAUUCCCUACAAAUUAGGCCACCAGAUGUUCAUAAUUCUCCCUUCUUGAAUUUGAAAACUCGGACAAUUGGACAAUGCGACACCUAAGUCCGGUUUCUAAAUGCUAAAGUGAAAGGGUAGGUAUGGACCAUUGAAAUGUGAUCACAACUUUUCUCUGUAGCCAUGUUGUCUCUUUUUUCUUUUGCAUGAUUUUCUUACCUUAACAGAAUCAUAGACUUGUUUAGUCUCUAAAUGGGAUUAAUUUCAUCCAGCUUUAAGCUACUAUAUUAUAUCUAGGUGGAGGACUUUUAAGAGUGCAACCGACAUAGAGCACAUGGAAGUGGGUAUAUGGGACAUGAAAUUUCUUCUUAUAAAGAUUGCAUGAUUUUUAUAUUAGAGUUGUUGAGGCGCUAUGUAUUUAGCUUGUUUUGCAGUUAAAUUAAUUGGAUAAGUAGACAUUGGCGUUUCUAAAUCUACUGUGAAGUGCUUCAUGUACGUGUGAAGUAUUAGAAAUUUCUUUCUUGGCAACUUGUUUUUCUUUGCGGUCUACUGAUAGGUUUGACUAAAAUUAUAUUCCCUGUCAUGCUAAUUAAUUUUCACGUGCAUGCUCAAAAGAAAAGUAUGACCUUAGUGCACCAAAAUCACUUUGAUUAAUUUGUGAUAGGUUUUUGUGCAUCAUGACAUUAGCCUUAUUCAUUUAGAUAAUGUUUAGUUUUUAGAAAGUAUUAAGAAAAGGAAAAUAAAUAUUAAGAAAAAUAUUCUUAUAUUUGAUUGUAUUAUGAAAAAUAUCAUAAAAAAAUCAAAUAUAAUUUAAAUUAAUUAAUAAUUUAUACAUUUUCAAAUUAUUUAAUCUUUAUAUUGAAGAUAUAAUAUAAAUGAAAUGAGUUUUAAGUAUUAUAUAAAAGUGAUUUAUUGAUCUUACAUAUAUAUAUUUCUUUUUUUUUUCCUUCUAUUUUUUCUCUUUAUUUUAUUUUCCUUAUGUUUUCCUCAACAUUUUCCGGAACCAAACAUAGCCUUAGGAAAUCCACAAUUACCUUCAACUGAGUAGAUUCUGUUGUUUUAGCAAUGUUAGGCUGCUAACUUGUGUUGGUACGAACCUAUUAAGCCUAAAGAUGUAAUUAGUUAGGAUAUUCUUUUCCCUCUAGUCUUGUAGCUCCACGUGUACAGUUGGUUAGGACCUCAUUGUAUAUAAUGCUUGCCCUGUUAUUGUAGAAGACAACAAAGAUAAAUAAUAUUAACAUUUUUCCUCUCAUCUCUCUCUGUUUCCCUCUGUUUUCAUCUCCUCUCUCAUCUUGGUAUCAGAGCCUCCAUGGCUUCUUUCAAAGAAACCUCCGAAUCACCUUCUGCUAGCAUUGUUAAUGUGCAAAACCCAUUAUCUCAAUCAAACAACCUUCCUUCACCAGUAGCCACACCCUCUUUUUCUUUCUCGUCUAUGAAUCAACCUCUCACAGUGAAGCUGGAUAAUGGGAACUACCUCAUAUGGAAGAAUUAGCUUCUAAAUGUCAUCAUUGCUAACGGACUCGAUGAUUUCAUUGACGGAUCUCGACCCUGCCCUCCUCGAUUUCUCGAUCUGCAACAACAAACCCUCAAUCCAGAGUACUCAGCUUGGCAGAGAUACAAUCGACUUCUGAUGAGUUGGCUGUACGCAUCCUUGUCCAAAGAUAUAAUGGCUCAGAUUGUUGGGUAUUCAACAGCUAUGGAGAUUUGGAAUGCCCUUAAUCAGAUUUACUCUGCCUCUUCUAUGGCGCGGUUUACUGAGCUUCGCACCAAGCUUCAAACGCUCAAGAAAGAUGGACUCUCAGUUGGUGAAUAUAUUCAAAGGCUCAAAUCCAUUUGCAAUAGUCUUGCAGCAAUAGGAGAACCAGUUUCUGAGAAAGACCAUCUUAUCUAUUUGUUCAAUGGAUUAGAUUGUGAGUAUUAUUCUUUUGUUACCUCCAUUCAAAAUCGAUCUGACCAACCAACUAUUGACAAAAUCCAUAGCCUAUUGCUUAGCUAUGACUUCCGGCUUGAACAACAAAACUCUGUUUCUCUCCAUUCUGCCCAAGUCCAUAUGGCUCAUCUGAACAAGAAACCUUAUAAAUCAACUCCUCAACCUACAUUCAAUCAUAUUCACAUUCAACCUAGAUACUCUUCUCCACCUUUUAAGCCAACCACUAGUCAAUAUCAACCCAACAUUUUGGGCAAACCACAACCACAACCAUGACAGCCUCAACCUCAAUGGAAACCACAUUUUUCAAUCUAAAAUCAAAAGCCUCAGCGCCAAAUUUGUGGUAAAUUUGGACACACUGCUCUUAUUUGCUUCCAUCACACAAAUUUGAACUAUUCACCCCAACCUUCUCCUAAAUCUUUCAAUACUGUUCUCACCACAAAUUCCCAGCUCCCUAAUCCUCCAAAAUUUUCUUACCCUACAAUGGCUCAUCCUGCUGCUACGCAUAACACGGUUCCCGAUACAAAUUGGUACAUGGACUCAGGUGCUACACAUCACUUUACUCUGGACAUCAACGUGCUUGACACUGUGACACCAUUUAGUGGUUCAGAACAGGUGACAGUUGGGAAUGGUAAGCAACUCUGUAUCUCACAUCUUGGUACUGCAAAACUACCAUCUUCGUAUUCUCCUCCUGUUCUACAUCAGGUAUAUCACACUCCAAAAAUUUCAAAUAAUCUUAUUAGUGUUAAAAAAUUGUGUUCUGAUAAUAAAGUUUUUGUUGAAUUUUAUGCCACUCAUUUUCUUGUCAAGGAUCAGGUUUCGAAGAGAGUUCUCCUUUAGGGUCAACUUGAUAAUGGCUUAUACAAAGUUCAGUCGUCAUGCUCUCCUUCUGCUGUUUCCUUUCCUCCUCAAGUUUUCAUAGCCAACAUCAAGUAUCCAAAUCUGUGGCACAAGAGACUAGGCCACCCAGCUUUAUCUGUUGUUAAUCAAAUCUUGGAUUCUUGUAACAUUGCUCGAACACAGAAAAUUUGUUUUAAUUUUUUAAAUUCUUGUCAAUUAGCAAAGAGCCACAGGCUUCCUUUUUCUCUGUCUCCAUCCAUUGCAGAAAAACCUUUUGAGUUAAUUCAUACAGACCUAUGGGGUCUUUCGCUCGUUCGCUCUAUUUCUGGUGCUCUUUAUUUUUUACUUUUCAUUGAUGAUCAUACUCGUUUUACUUGGUUUUAUUUGCUCAAAACAAAAGAUGAAGCAUAUCCUACUUUUCUCAAGUUUCAAGCUCUCAUUGAAAAUCAAUUUAAUACCAAGAUUAAGGCUGUCCAAUCUGAUUGGGGAGGUGAGUUUCGAUCUCUCUCCAUACCGUUUUCAAAUAUGGGCAUUGUCUAUUGUUUAUCGUGUCCAUACACCUCACAACAGAAUGGGCGAGUUGAGCGAAAAAAUCGCCAUGCGAUUGUCCUUUCUUGCUUGCUCUAUGCCCUUAUCUUAUUGGCCUUAUGCCUUUCAAACUGCCACUUACCUUAUUAAUCGUCUCUCUACCCCUGUGCUGCAUCAUCAAUCCUCUUACUUCGCACUCUAUCACAAACUCCCAACUUAUACUCAUCUUAAGGUCUUUGGUUCCUCUUGUUUUCCGUAUUUGCACCCUUAUAAUACCCAUAAACUCCAAUACAGGUCACUAGAGUGUGCUUUUCUUGGUUACAGUUCACACCACAAAGGUUAUCUAUGUCUUGACAUUCAUUCUAGCAGGGUGUAUAUUUCUCGCCAUGUGAUUUUUAAUGAAGAUUCUUUUCCAUUCAAGAAUUUGAAAUCUUCUCUCUCUCAGUCUAUUUCUUCUUCCUCUUCUUUAUAAGUUCCUCUGUUCAUUCUCUUGCCUCCCCUUUCCCCAUCUCCUCUUAUUUCUUCAUCUAUACCUCAUUCUUUUCCCUCUUCUUCUUCUACCUCUAGUACUUGUUCCCCUCUCGUUGCUCCUACCUCUCUUCCUUCCUCUUCACACUCUGUGUCUCCAUCUAUUCCACCUCCUUCUCCACCUUCUCCGAGUGUGGACCUGCUUGCACCUUGUGUGAAUACAAAUUUACAUACUUCUUCUCGCACUCACAAUAUUCAUCCUAUGGUGACUAGAUCUAAGGUUUGUAUCUAUAAACCUAAGUUGUUGUUGAGUGUCUCCAUAGGUUCUCUCACUAAGCCUACUUCCUUUCUUCAAGCUAUUAAAGAUCCUUCAUGGAAGCAAUCCAUGGAAUUCGAGUUUGCUACCCUUCAACACAACAAGACCUGGCAUUUGGUUCCUUCACCUUCCUCAGGCGAAGUAAUCGGUUGUAAAUGGGUCUAUAAGCUAAAGCUUCAGCCUGAUGGCUAAAUUGAGAGAUACAGCCUGCUUAGUAGCUAAGGGUAUCAUCAAAUUGAAGUAUGGACUACUUCGAAACAUUCAGCCUGAUNNNNNNNNNNNNNNNNNNNNNNNNNNNNNNNNNNNNNNNNNNNNNNNNNNNNNNNNNNNNNNNNNNNNNNNNNNNNNNNNNNNNNNNNNNNNNNNNNNNNAGCUUCAGCCUGAUGGCUAAAUUGAGAGAUACAAGGCCUGCUUAGUAGCUAAGGGUUAUCAUCAAAUUGAAGGUAUUGACUACUUCGAAACAUUCAGCCUGAUUGUCAAGCUUUCUACUAUCUGUAUUGUGCUCAGUCUUACUUUUUCCCAGAAUUGGUGUAUUAGACAGCUGGAUGUUCAUAAUGCCUUCUUACAUGGUGACUUAGCUAAAGACGUUUUCAUGGAACAACUGCCUGGAUUUGUUGAUCCUCUCUAUCCUACUCAUGUCUGCAAGUUGGAUAAGUCUCUCUACUGUCUUAAAUAGUCACCUCGGGCUUGGUAUACUAAGCUGAGUACUUCUCGCUACACUUGGGAUUUGUUACUUCUAAGAAUGACUCUUCCUUAUUUAUUUGUCAUUCGUCUCAUGGGUUACUUCUUGUUCUUGUCUAUGUGGAUGAUAUAAUCGUCAUUGGGAGCCACUCUCCUCAGGUUACUCACCUUAUCCAACAGUUGCAUCAUUAGCUUUCUUUAAAGGAUCUUGGUCCUUUACAUUAUUUUCUGGGCUUGGAGGUUCAUCACACCCCUACUGGUAUUCACCUCAGCCAAGCAAAGUAUAUCACUGAUCUCCUUACCCGGGCGGCUAUGUUGGAUGCCAAGCCAUGUCCCACUCCUAUGUCCUCCAACACAUAUCUCUCUUUUCAUGAUGGAGUGGCUCUUGAAAAUGGUUCAGAUUAUCGAAGUUUUGUUGGUGCCCUUUAGUAUUGUACCAUGACACGCCCAGAUAUAGCUUUUGCAAUAAAUAAAGUGUGUCAAUUCAUGCACCAUCCCUCUAAUGUUCACUGGCAGGCUAUAAAACGUAUUCUCCGGUACUUAAAGGGCACAUCUCAUUUUGGUCUCUUCCUACAGCCUUCCUAUGACUUCAACAUCACUUGCUAUACAAAUGCCGACUGGGCUUCCUGUCCUGAUGACAAGUGUAGCACCAGUGGCUACUGCCUCUUUCUUGCCUCUAAUCUGGUUUCUUGGUCAUCUUCCAAACAAAAAGUGGUCUCCCGCUCCAGCGCCGAAUCAGAGUACCGAGGGGUAGCAAAUGGGGCUGCUGAAAUUGCUUGGACUGAAUCUCUUCUUUGUGAACUUUCCAUUACUCCCCCUCCCCUCAUUCUCUGUGACAAUAUCAGUGCCACGUACUUAGCUGCCAAUCCUAUUUUGCAUGCCCGCACCAAACAUGUGGAAAUCGACUAUCACUUUGUCACGGAACGUGUUCUUCAAUGCUCUCUUUUUGUCCAGUUUACACCUUCUGAUGAUCAACUUGCUGAUUGCAUGACCAAGCCUCUCUCCACCCAACGUUUCAUCACUCUACGCUCCAAGCUCACUGUUCUCACUAGACCAAUGAGCUUGAGGGGGGAUGUUAAGCCUAAAGAUGUAAUUAGUUAGGAUAUUCUUUUCCCUCUAGUCUUGUAGCUCCACGUGUACAGUUGGUUAGGACCUCAUUGUAUAUAAUGCCUGCCCUGUUAUUGUAGAAGACAACAGAGAUAAAUAAUAUUAACAUUUUUCCUCUCAUCUCUCUCUCUGUUUCCCUCUGUUUUCAUCUCCUCUCUCAUCUGAACCAAAUGAUCCAUGUUAACCUUGGCUUGGUUUGAUUUGGCUCUAUCUUAGAGAGCUCAAGGAUCACGUCAACUCUGGUUUCUACUAUUCAGGUCCAUUCCCAUAUGAACUGGUUCAAAUUUGAGAAAAUGGUAACAGACCUUUAGUGAUGUUGGUUUGGAGCCAGUUGCCAAACCCGCCCUGAGCUUUACCACUAAUGUCAAGGGAGAAAGCCAUUUGAACAAAAACAAUAGCUUCAAGGGACUGAAUCGUGGAUGAAAUCUGAUCCACAUUUCUUCUCAUUUUGGAAACAAAUGAGAACUUAACUAAGAAGAUUCUACGGCCUCAUAGUGCUUUUCCUGAUCUAAGGUUGGUUCGUUUCCCAAACUGUGAGAUGCACGUGCCAGACUUCAGAACUCUCACGCUCAGGAGUGUAUCCACGUGGUGGACAUAAGAUGGUGGCUUAAGAUCUGGUGUCGGUGGCUUUACUUUACUAGGAGAGUAGUGUGUCUUCAUCUCAUUCACUGCCGGAGGGUGGCGUAAGCAGUGACGCUAAGGUGGGGCACAGUCAAUAUCAUUUGCAUUUGACCAUUAUAGUUUUCUCCCGGCUUUAAAGUAACCUUAUCGUGAUAAAGGAUUACUAGCACUAGUUCAGAUGAUAGUCAUGUUAAAUUCGGACCAUGUUUGUGUCACAUUAUCAGCAACCAUGUGUUUAUGGUUCAUGCUUUCUGCAACUAAAAUUGAUAUAUAACCAGGUGAACUUCAAUCUAAAUUCUGAAAGUACUCAUGUGAUAGAUGGUGCCCGUCUGCAGAGUCCAUCAAUUGAAAAAUGGAGUGAGUGUAUCUAUAAGAGGGAAGGCUUGGAAAAUGUUCAGUUUUCUGGGAAUUCAACAAGGAUCUAAAAUAGAUUGUUUUCUUUGCUGAUUUCAAUGGUUGAAAUUUGAGAAGAUUGUGUCCACAUAACACAACUAUUACUGGUCCUUCUGUUGCAAUUUAUCCUCUAAAGCUCUAGCAUGUCUUCCAAUUCCCACUUCCCUGUUACUCCAGGAAAGCUAUUUCUGUCAUUGUGAAGAAGAAAAGAGAAUGUACAUAUCGAUGCUUUUAAGUGACUGGAGCAUUUAUAUCAGGUGGUCUGCAGCCAUAUAUGCCACUUUGUGAAGAUUGGAACAGUCAAUCACUAGGCUAUAUAUUAGUGUGGCCCAGCCACUUUAAUCAAGGACAAGUCUUCAUACUUAAAGUCAAAUUCUGCCUUUAGUCUCAUUAUAAAUUUCUGUUUAAAUAUUAAGCAAACAUUUGUUUAAUGCGAUUAAGACAGUACUAACUCAAUACCUGUUCUAUUUUUGGAUGCAAAUGCUUGAUGGUUUCAUCAUUGGAUGGGAUAAAGGUGCAUUCAUGAUUAGGAAUACUAGUAGUUAUAUUUUAAUUCUCUUUUUUCUCAAUGAGACUUGUUGGCACAAUUUUGCUGUUGAGAAACCUACCUCUCCAUGGAAAAUAAGUUGUGAUUGAUAGUACUGGAUAUAUUCAAGAAAUCUAAAUAUAGAUAGCACAAAAUAUUAUCGACAUAAAUAGCAUUAACAGCGUACGUAUGUCUCAGUGCUCAUCAGCUAUAAGCAUGGGGCAAACACUUACUAUGAGCAACUUACGUCAAAAUUCCAGAAUAGGACAUAGAAGUGACAGAUAUAGAACAUUGCAUAUGAGUCACAAGAAAGGAAAUUACGGGUGCAUAGCAGCUCUUAUUUUACAUACUACUACUCAUACUGAUCAAAGUCACUCAGUUGGGAUGGGUGGGAGUAGGAGGUUUGUGGGGUGGCUUGUGCGGAGGAGUUGGCAGCUUCUUUCCAGGACCUGGUUGCUUCUCUGCUGGAGUUGAAGGAGGCUUAAUCUUCCGAGGUGGCUUGUAUGAGUCUUCAGCAUUCUCAGCUGGAGGGUGACCAGGGUUGUGACCAUAAUGUGGUGGCUUCUCUCCCUUAGGUGGUUUGCCAACUGGGGUUGGUGGCUUGUAUGAGUCUUCAGCAUUCUCAGCAGGAGGGUGACCAGGGUUGUGACCAUAAUGUGGUGGCUUCUCUCCCUUAGGUGGUUUGCCAACUGGGGUUGGUGGCUUGUGUUCUGGGAGUGGCUUCUCCCCCUUGGGAGGUUUUUCCAAUGGGGUUGGUUUGUGUUCAGGAGGUGGCUUCUCCACUGGAGGCUUGUGUUCAGGAGGUGGCUUCUCCACCGGAGGCUUGUGUUCAGGUGGUGGCUUCUCCACCGGAGGCUUAUGCUCUGGUGGUGGCUUCUCGAAUGGGGGAUGCUUAGGAUAAUCAGCAAGUGAGGGGGCGGUGAGAACCACCAGGCCAAGCAACACCACUAGCAAAUAUGUAGGAGACAUCUUUGGGUUUGGGCUCAGAUGGUGCAAAACUAGGAGAAUUGGCUAGCCUUUUAUAGCGGAUCGUACCCAAUAAUGAAAUGACACGUGUCAUUAUGACCCAUGUGUAAUGGGGUCGAUUUGGGUCCUACAGUGUUGAAAACUUCGACAUCCACUUUUGGCCUUUUGCUUUCUCUACAGCCGCCUUGCUUUUUCCCUCUUUCCUUUUGUUUUCCUCCUGCCCCAUUCUAUCAACUAAACACAAUUAUGUAGUUGUUUAAUUCUUAAAUGAGAUAUUAUCCGUCAAUCGUAUUAUAUUUUAUCAAGAGAGAACGGAGUGCAAUGUGGCUGUAAUUUUAUCGUUUAGUUUUAUCUCUUGGACCACUGCAUUUUUGUUAAGAGGUGCAAUAAUACACGUCUUUAUCUGCCAUUCAAUAUUUACAGUAAAGAGAGGGCACAAAACUCUUCACUUCGCACCAUAAUUAUUUUGUUUUCUGGACACCCCGGGGCCCUUUGGUUGGUUUGGGGGUCAGAAAGUGAACAUCAUAGGGGGUUUUUCCCUUAUGUGCAUUUGUAUCUGAUGGCUUUAACUCGCCUUGUUACUACAAAGAAACUGUCACAGAUAGGAACUUAUUCCAGGCUGAGUAUCUCCUCAUAGACCCUAUAAAAGAAGACAAGUCAUAAUGAACAUCUAACCUUUGUUCAAUUUGAUUCAAUGCCCCCAUUGUGUCCAUCUCACAAAUCUGAAUUAUUAUAUCCAUUGAAUACAUAAAUUAAUGAAGAAAAUAUGAAACCCAAGAUACAUCUCUGCACAACCUCAACCCUGGUUGCUAUGUUUCCCUUCUAUUCACAUGAUUUGAUGCUAAUUGCCAAACUUGCAACAAGCCCUGAGUUUGACACCUAGUAUCGAUGGGCGAAUUUAAAGUCUCCUCCAAACAUAUAUUCCACAGCUUGAAGCUCACAGAAGAUGUUACAGGCAGGGAAAAACCUUCAGAGUUCGCUACCAAAGAUAAUUAUUAAGGAGAUAUCACAAAGAGAAUUCCAAGGGGUCUGAAUCAAAGACAAAUUGGUCGUUCGUGGGGGUUCUUACUUUCUUUUGGGUAUAACUCACUGAGGGCACUGUCUUUGUUAUUUGCAUUUCACAUUUAGAGUUCUGUUCUGGAAACAUAUAAAAGGAGCAUCAUUUUGUUCUUGGGUAACCCAUAGUCGUGAGUGGGUCCAUUUGCAUGCUACUUAGUUGAAAAGUUGGACCAUUUGCUCCGACGCCUACCUCCCGGAUUCCAUGCUCGGAUAAAACAAGAAUAAAAAAAAUAUUUAUAAUUUACAAAUGGGGGAAAGAAAAAAAUGUCAACAACAAACCAGGAAAAAAGAGUAGUAAAAUUCAUGUCACAUGCUAGUGAGAGAAGGGGUUGUUACACUCACUCGAAGUUCUUUCCAAAAUAUCGCAUGGUAUUUUAUUUUAUGUGUCAGCGCAGUUGUGAAUGGAACGUGCAAAAGUCCAAAUUGGCGUUUUUCCUUUUCCCGUGUAGGAUGGCGACCUUUAAUAAAUAUUUAAAACAAAAAACGAAAAAAAGGAGGGAAAAGGGAUCAGAAAAGAUAAAACAAUGUGUACAAGAGCUCAAUUAGUUUGCAAAUUACUGUUUGGAUUUUGAUAGUAUUUUAUUUGUCCAUCUAUAUUUGAUGGAAAAGAGAAUUUAAGAUAUUUCUGAAACAAAAGCAUUAGUGUAAAACUAAAUUAAGGUAUAAUUAAGUUAGUUCAAUGCAUUAAUUUAAGAAACUUGAUCUAUCCAAAGUACAAAAUUAGAUGAAAUCCAUUUCAAUGGUUAAAAUGAUCAAAAUCAAACUUUUUCUAAGUAUUUUUUAAAAGCAUCAAUAUUAAAAGACAAUUUUAUAUUUAGUCGGAGUUUGGACAAAACCAAAAAGCACACAAAAUCCAAGCGACCAUCUCUAGCUUGGAUAGUCACUUGAUCCCACCUAGAGAUGUGCAUGAGUAAAAGGAUUUGAAAAUGGAAAUUGACUAAAUAUUUAGUUGAUCAAUUAAAUUUGCAAUGUCAUAUGCAAUCCUAAUAGCUAGUCAUCUAAUCAAUUAGGUAGUCAAUCAAGUGUUUGUAAUGACUAUUUUGUACAAAAAACCACAUGUAUAGUUAAAUAUAAUGCAUUUCAUUUAUAAAUCUUCUAAUUCUUGAAUAACGAUCCUAUCAUCCUUUGAAAAUUUUUAUUACACCUUUUUUACUUUUGUUCUAAAACUUACAUAUCACCCUUAAUUGUACCAUGAGAACCUAGCUAUUUUUUUUUUUUUUGUAAUUCAUCAAAGUUAGCUUUUGUAUUCAUUGUUGUAUUAUUUUUAGUAUAACUUAGAAAGCUAGUGUUUUCAAGUGAGUAAAAUUAACUUGUAAAUAUUGUAAAGAUUCAUUGAUAUGUAUCUUAAACUAAGUGUACAAAUUAAAACAUUUGCUAGUAGAUUUUCUCAAAAUUUAGAAUAGAGCUUGAGGCUAUUGAAAUAGGUGGGGUUACACCAAACCACAUCACAUCGUUGUUUGCACCUUUUUUCACUCUCUUUUACUUAGUUUCUCUAUAUUUGUUGUCUAGUAAUAUCCUAUAGGCUUGAUGGGUUAGGGAGCAUCCCUUUGUGAAAAAAUUUCAUUCAAUUCUUAGUUGUAUUACGCAUAUAUAAAAUGCCUCAUUGUUUUAAUGGUAUUCAGUCGUGGCAUCACAGAUAUGGGCAUCUAAAUUUUAAAAGUUUGAAACUUUUGUAAAGCAUGUUGAUAAAAUCCAUGAGAGUUGUGUACUUGGGAAGCAACAUCGAGGUGACUUUAUUUUUUUUUCCUUUUAUAAUGCCACACCUAAGUCCGGUUUCUAAAUGCUAAAGUGAAAGGGUAGGUAUGGACCAUUGAAAUGUGAUCACAACUUUUGGCCUUUUCCUUUCUCUGCAGCCAUGUUGUCUCUUUUUUCUUUUGCAUGAUUUUCUUACCAAAACAGAAUCAUAGACUUGUUUAGUCUCUAAGCUACUAUAUUAUAUCUCGGUGGACUUUUAAGAGUGCAACCGACAUAGAGCACAUGCAAGUGGGCAUAUGGGACAUGAAAUUUCUUCUUACAAAGAUUGCAUGAUUUUUAUAUUAGAGUUGUUCACGUGCAAUGUAUUUAGCUUGUUUUGCAGUUAAAUUAAUUGGAUAAGUAAACAUUGGCAUUUCUAAAUCGACUGUGAAGUGCUUCAUGUACGUGUAAAGUAUUAGAAAUUUCUUUCUUGGCAACUUGUUUUUUCCUUGCCAUCUACUGGUAGGUUUGACUAAAAUUAUAUUCCCUGUCAUGCUAAUUAAUUUUCAUGUGCAUGCUCAAAAGAAGAGUAUGACCUUAGUGCACCAAAAUCACUUUGAUUAAUUUGUGAUAGGUUUUUUUGCAUCAUUUAGAUAAUGUUUAGUUCUAAGAAAAAUUUAUAUAAAAAUGGUUUAUUUAUCUUACAUAUAUAUAUAUAUAUAUAUAUUUUUUUUUUUUUCAUUUUUUUUUCUUCUAUUUUAUUUAUUUAUUUUAUUUUCCUUAUGUUUUCCUCACAUUUUCCGGAACUAAACAUAGUCUUACGAAAUCAACAAUUGCCUUCAACUGAGUAGAUUCUGUUGUUUUAGCAAUGUUAGGCUGCUAACUUGUGGUGGUACGAACCAAAUGACCCAUGUUAAUCUUGGCUUGGUUUGAUUUGGCUCUAUCUCAGAGAGCUAAAGGAUCACGUCAACUCUGGUUUCUACUAUUCAGGUCCAUUCCCAGAUGAACUGGUUCAAAUUUGAGAAAAUGGUAACAGACCUUUAGUGAUGUUGGUUUGGAGCCAGUUGCCAAACCCGCCCUGAGCUUUACCACUAAUGUCAAGGGAGAAAGCCAUUUGAACAAAAACAAUAGCUUCAAGAGACUGAAUCGUGGAUGAAAUCUGAUCCACAUUUCUUCUCAUUUUGGGAAAAAAUGAGAACUUAACUACAAAGAUUCUACUGCCUCAUUCAUAGUGCUUUUCCUGAUCCAAGGUUGGUUCGUUUCCCAAAUUGUGAGGUGCACGUGCCACUCUCACGCUCAGGAGUGUAUCCACGUGGUGGACAUCAGAUGGUGGCUUAAUAUCUGGUGUCGGUGGCUUUACUUUACUAGGAGAGUAGUGUGUCUUCAUCUCAUUCACUGCCGGAGGGUGGCGUAAGCAGUGACGCUAAGGUGGGGCACAGUCAAUAUCAUUUGCAUUUGACCAUUAUAGUUUUCUCCCGGCUUGAAAGUAACCUUAUCGUGAUAAAGGAUUACUAGCACUAGUUCAGAUGACCGUCAUGUUAAUUCGGACCAUGUUUGUGUCACAUUAUCAGCAACCAUGUGUUUAUGGUUCAUGCUAUCUGCAACUAAACUUGAUAUAUAACCAGGUGAACUUCAAUCAAAAUUCUGGAAGUACUCUUGUGAUAGAUGGUGCCUGUCUGCAGAGUCCAUCAAUUGAAAAAUGGAGUGAGUGUAUCUAUAAGAGGGAAGGCUUGGCAAAUGUUCAGUUUUCUGGGAAUUCAACAAGGAUCUAAAAUAGAUUGUUUUCUUUGCCGACUUCAAUGGUUGAAAUUUGAGAAGAUUGUGUCCACAUAUCACAACUAUUACUGGUCCUUCUGUUGCAAUUUAUCCUGUAAGGCUCUAACAUGUCUUCCAAUUCCCACUUCCCUGUUACUCCAGGAAAGCUAUUUCUGUCAUUGUGAAGAAGAAAAGAGAAUGUACAUAUCGAUGCUUUUAAGUGACUGGAGCAUUCAUAUCAGGUGGUCUGCAGCCAUAUAUGCCACUUUGUGAAGGUUGGAACAGUCAAUCACUAGGCUAUAUAUUGGUGUGGCCCAGCCACUUCAAUCAAGGACAAGUCUUCAUACUUAAAGUCAAAUUCUGCCUUUAGUCUCAUUAUAAAUUGCUGUUUAAAUAUUAAGCAAACUUUUGUUUAAUGCGAUUAAGACAGUACUAACUCAAUACUUGUUCUAUUUUUGGAUGCAAAUGCUUGAUGGUUUCAUCAUUGGAUGGGAUAAAGGUGCAUUCAUGAUUAUGAAUACUUGUAGUUAUAUUUUCAUUCUCUUUUUUCUCAAUGAGACUUGUUGGCACAAUGUUGCUGUUCAGAAACCUACCUCUCCAUGGAAAAUAAGUUGCGAUUGAUAGUACUGGAUAUGUUCAAGAAAGCUAAAUAUAGAUAGCACAAAAUAUUAUCGAUAUAAAUAGCAUUAACAGCGUACGUAUGUCUCAAUGCUCAUCAGCUAUAAGCAUGGGACAAACACUUACUAUGAGCAACUUACGUCAAAAUUCCAGAAUAGGACAUAGAAGUGACAGAUCUAUAUAUAUAGAACACUGCAUAUGAGUCACAAGAAAGGAAAUUACGGGUGCAUAGCAGCUCUUAUUUUACAUACUACUACUCAUACUGAUCAAAGUCACUCAGUUGGGAUGGGUGGGAGUAGGAGGUUUGUGGGGUGGCUUGUGCGGAGGAGUUGGCAGCUUCUUUCCAGGACCUGGUUGCUUCUCUGCUGGAGUUGAAGGAGGCUUAAUCUUCCGAGGUGGCUUGUAUGAGUCUUCAGCAUUCUCAGCUGGAGGGUGACCAGGGUUGUGACCAUAAUGUGGUGGCUUCUCUCCCUUAGGUGGUUUGCCAACUGGGGUUGGUGGCUUGUAUGAGUCUUCAGCAUUCUCAGCAGGAGGGUGACCAGGGUUGUGACCAUAAUGUGGUGGCUUCUCUCCCUUAGGUGGUUUGCCAACUGGGGUUGGUGGCUUGUGUUCUGGGAGUGGCUUCUCCCCCUUGGGAGGUUUUUCCAAUGGGGUUGGUUUGUGUUCAGGAGGUGGCUUCUCCACUGGAGGCUUGUGUUCAGGAGGUGGCUUCUCCACCGGUGGCUUGUGUUCAGGAGGUGGCUUCUCCACCGGAGGCUUAUGCUCUGGUGGUGGCUUCUCCACCGGAGGCUUAUGCUCUGGUGGUGGCUUCUUGAAUGGGGGAUGCUGAGGGUAAUCAGCAAGUGAGGGGGCGGUGAGAACCACCAGGCCAAGCAACACCACUAGCAAAUAUGUAGGAGACAUCUUUGGGUUUGGGCUCAGAUGGUGCAAAACUAGGAGAAUUGGCUAGCCUUUUAUAGCGGAUCGUACUCAAUAAUGAAAUGACACGUGUCAUUAUGACCCAUGUGUAAUGGGGUCGAUUUGGGUCCUACAGUGUUGAAAACUUCGACAUCCAGUUUUGGCCUUUUGCUUUCUCUACAGCCGCCUUGCUUUUUCCCUCUUUCCUUUUGUUUUCCUCCUGCCCCAUUCUAUCAACUAAACACAAUUAUGUAGUUGUUUAAUUCUUAAAUGAGAUAUUAUCGGUCAAUCGUAUUAUAUUUUAUCAAGAGAGAACGGAGUGCAAUGCAGCUGUAAUUUUAUCGUUUACUUUUAUCUCUUGGACCACUGCAUUUUUGUUAAGAGGUGCAAUAAUACACGUCUUUAUCUGCCAUUCAAUGUUUACAGUAAAGAGAGGGCACAAAACUCUUCACUGCUCUGCAUGUGUCCCAAAAAUGCGAUUGGACAAAUUAUGAUUUGCAUGCUAAAAAGAGGCAAAUGAGGUUAAUUCGCACCAUAAUUAUUUGGUUUUCUGGACACCAUAAAAAGAUGUUAUACAGGCAGGGAAAAACCUUCAGAGUUAGCUACCAAAGAUAAUUAUCAAGCAGAUAUCACCAAGAGAAUUCCAUAGAGUCUGAAUCAAAGACAGAUUGCUCGCUCGUGGGGGUUCUUACUUUCUUUUGGGUAUAACUCACUGAGGUCACUGUCUUUUUUAUUUGCAUUUCACAGUUAGAGUUCUGCUCUGGAAGGUUUGUUCUGGAAACAUAUAAAAGGAGCAUCAUUUUGUUCUUGGGUAACCCAUAGUCGUGAGUGGGUCCAUUUGCAUGCUACUUAGUUGAAAAGUUGGACAAUUUGCUCCGACGCCUACCUCCUGGAUUCCAUGCUCGGUAAAACAAGAAUAAAAAAAAAUAUAUAAUUUACAAAUGGGGGAAAGAAAAAAUGUCGGAAAAAAUAGUAAAAUUCAUGUCACAUGCUAGUGAGAGAAGGGGUUGUUACACUCACUCGAAGUUCUUUUCAAAAUAUCGAAUGGUAUUUUACUUUAUGUGUCAGCGCAGUUGUGAAUGGAACGUGCAAAAGUCCAAAUUGGCGUUUUUAUUUUUCCCAUGUAGGAUGGUGACCUUUAAUAAAUAUUUAAAACAAAAGACGAAAAAAAAAAGGAGGGAAAAGGGAUCACAAAAGAUAAAAUAAUGUUUACAAAAGCUCAAUUAGUUUGCAAAUUACUGUUUGGAUUUUGAUAGUAUUUUAUUUGUCGUUCUAUAUUUGAUGUAAAAGAGAAUUUAAGAUAUUUCCGAAGCAAAAGCAUUAGUUUGCUCUGUGAUGUCCCACAUCGAAUAGGGGAGAAAGUUUCUGGCGCUAUAUAUGUAGAGGCUCCUCUUAACCAAGUAGAUGCGUUUUAAAACCAUGAGGGCCCCCUUAGGUCCAAAGCGGACAAUAUCUACAUGAUUGGGUGUAAGUCAUUACAAAUGGUAUCAGAGCCGAUCCCCGACCCCGGUGUGGGGGUUUGUUUGGCCCUGUAAGGGGUGUUUGUCUGUUUGACCCCACAAUCCCAUGGGACACAACGAGGACGUUGUGUCUGCAUGGGGGGGCGUUUGUGAUGUCCCACAUCGGAUAGGGGAGAAAGUUCCUAGUGCUAUAUAUGUAGAUGUUUCUCUUAACCAAGUAGAUGCAUUUUAAAAUUGUGAGGGCCUCUUUGGGCCCAAAGCGGACAAUAUCUACAUGGUUGAGUGUAAGUCAUUACAUGCUCCAUGUCAAUUUCAGCAUUUCUCAUAUGUUUCACACAUACACAGAAGAGCAUCGUUUUUUAAAGCAUGCAUUUAUGUUGGAUUAAUUUGGAUUUUGUGGGAACUGGGGCAAGGAUCACAUGGAAGAGAGGUUGACUUUUUUCAGUACUUCAAUGGUUGAAAUAUGUGAAGGCUUGAUUGAUACUAAAGCUUGAAAUUGCGACUCUGUCAUUUGUAAAAAAAUAUGACAGCUUCCAUGCUCUCGUUUGGUUGCAUUGUCCGGUCGAGAGGUGCAAAAAGCAUUCUCUCUCUUCUAAUAGUCUUUUCGUUUAAAUCAAGGGAUUUGCCUUCCCGGUCGAGGUCCAAUAGAGGGUAACGGUCACCUACUAAACAUUAAAUGCUCCAACAACUAGUGAACUGAUCGACCCCAGCUCGACUAGUUGAGGUUACUUUUUGGUUUUCUUGUCUCCCGAGGUUAGAAACCUAUAAAUAGAGAGCUUCACUUCAUUUAUGAGUAAGAGAACACCUAAAUUUAUUUGUUUACCUACUUGUUUUUGCCAUAAAAGCUCUCAUUUCUUUUCUUGGUGUAUUAAAUCUCCAUUUGCAUAUCCUUUAGUGCACCUUUGUGAUUCAUUCUAGCCUUGAGUUGUAUUUAAGCCUUUGUUGAGCUAGGUUGAGAGUUUCAUACUUGUUUAUUGAGUGUUAAAGCCUUCAAGUGAGUUAAAACUUGAAGAGAUUGUGUAAGAGCCCAUUGGAGUCGGAAUCCAAGUGUAAAGGUGAUUAAAAGCUUGGUUGAAGCUUCAAGUUAGUGGAACUCUCACUCGGUUAUGAGCUUGAGAAGAGUGGACAUAGACAAGGCAGUGUCGAACCACUAUAAAAUCUGAGUUUGAUUUCUCUAACCUUAUCUCUUUAUAUUUGCUUCUCUUGUGCUUAAAUUUUUUGUGUUUAAAAAGAAUUUUUAAAAACUCAAUUCACCCCCUUCUUGGGAGUUUUUCUCUUUUAAGAUCAGCUUUUAUUUUCUCAAUUGGUAUCAGAACUAUGCCUCUUGUUUAAGACUUAAUCGUCUAAGAGGAAAUGGCUAAUCCAUCAAGUUCAUCUCACAUUGAAAGUUUUGCAACCAAUAGACUUCUUUUUUUUUUUUUGCGGGAACUGAUUAUCCCUAUUGGAAAACUAAAAUGACUUGGUUUUUACAAUCAAUUGAUUUAGAUGUAUGAGAUGCCAUUGAAGAUGACCUAACUUUUCCUUCAAAACUAGUUGAUGGAGUCAUGGUUCCAAAACCUAAGCAAGAAUGGGAUGAGCGUGAUUGAAGAAAUUUUCAAUUAAAUGCUAAAGUCGUUUAUACUUUGCAAUGCUCUAUGGACAGAAAUGAAUAUAAUAGAAUAUGUCAAUGCAAAUCGGUUAAAGAAAUUUGGAGAUUGCUUGAAAUAACUCAUAAAGGAACAAAUCAAGUUAAAGAGUCAAAAAUCAAUUUACUUGUUCAUAGAUAUGAAUUGUUUUUUAUGAAAGAUAAUGAAACUAUUGUUAAGAUGAUCACUAGGUUCACCAACAUUGUUAAUGGUCUUAAAGCCUUGGGAAAGACCUACAAGGAAUCCGAAAACGUGAUGAAGAUCUUGAGGUCACUUCCAUCAAAGUGGCAUACCAAGGUCACCGCAAUUUAAGAAGCAAAAGACUUGAUCAAGCUACCUUUGGAGGAGUUCAUAGGGUCAUUGAUGACAUAUGAAAUCAAUUUGGCAAAGAAGUAACAAAAAGGUGAAGACAAAAAGAAGAAGAACAUAACUCUCAAAGCUACAACUAAGGAAGAAGAAGUUGAAGAAGAAAAACAAAUUGAAGAAGAUGAAGAUUUAGCCCUCAUCACAAGAAAGUUCAACAAAUUCAUGAGGGGUGAAAGGUUUAGAAGAAGAAGGUUCACUUCUAGAAGAGACUUUUCUAAAAAGGAAUCUUCAUCUAAUGGUGACAAAAAGAGAUGGGAAGAGAAAAGAGACUUGGUGUGUUUCAAGUGCAAGAAACCGGGACACAUUAAAUAUGAUUGUCCUCUCUACAAAAGUGAAGUCAAGAGGAAAAAGAAUAAGGCAAUGAUGGCCACUUAGAGUGAAAGUGAAGAUGAAUCAUCCGAAGAAGAAAAUGAGAAAGAAGUGGCAAACAUGUGUUUCAUGGCAAUAGAUGAACUUGAUGAGGUAAAAUCUAACCUUAGUGAUUAAGAUAUACAUGAUGCAUUUGAAGAAUUGUAUGAGGAUUUUUAAAAACUUAGUUUGAAAAAUAUUUCUCUUAAAAAGAAAGUUCAACAACUUGACAAAGAACUUAGAGAAGUAAAAGAAAAAUUUUCAAAUGUUAAAGUUUCUAAAACUCAUCUUGAAAAAGAAAAUGAGAUUCUAAGAAAGAAAAAUGAAUAGUUGAACUCCUCUCUUUCAAUCUUUUCUUCUAGACAAAAAUCUUUUGAAAUGAUUCUAACUAGCUAAAAAUGUGUUUUUGACAAACAAGGGUUAAGAUUUAAAUCUUCAAAAAAUCAAAAGUAUUUUAAAAACUAUUUUGUAAAGGAAUCCACAAGUGCAAGUCCUUCCACUACUUGCAACUUUUGUGGAAGAGAAUGGCACAUUAGUAGUACGCCCUUUAAGAAAUGGUUCUCAAAAGAAUUUAAAUGCAAAAACUAAAAAAGAUUUGGAUUGAGAAAUCCAAGGUCACUAACCCUCAAGGACCCAAAAAGAUAUAGGUACCUAAAUCAACUUGAGUUUUAUGUUGUAAGGUUCAAAGAAUGAUAAGUGGUUCUUAGAUAAUGGUUGCUCAAGACACAUGACCGGAGAUGAAUCCAAGUUUGCUUUUCUUAAAAAGAAAAAUGGAGGAUAUGUUACCUUUGGAGACAAUGCAAAAGAAAGGAUGAUUGGUCAAGGCAACAUUGGUAAUGGCACAUCCUCUCUCAUUGAAAGUGUUUUAUUAGUAGAUGGUUUCAAACAUAACCUUUUAAGCAUUAGUCAAUUUUGCGACAAAGGUUUUUAAGUGAUUUUUUAAGCAUCUCAUUGCAUCAUCAAGGAUAUUCAAAAUGAUAAAACCAUUUUCAUGGGCCAUAGAUGUGAUAAUGUUUAUGCUAUAAAUAUUUCAAAAUAUGAUGGCCAUGAUAGAUGUUUUUCAAGCAUGCAUGAUCAAAGUUGGUUGUGCCAUAGGAGAUUGAGACAUGCUAACAUAGACCUCAUUUCCCAACUCAACAAAGAUGAACUUGUUAGAGGCCUUCCCAAAAUAAUUUUUUAAAAAGAUAAAGUUUGUGAAGCUUGUCAAGUGGGAAAGUAAAUCAAAAACUCUUUUAAAAACAAAAACUUCAUUUCCACAUCUAGGCCACUUGAGUUGUUGCAUAUGGAUUUAUUUGGUCCCUCUAGGACACCAAGUCUUAGAGGAAAUUCUUAUGCAUAUGCUAUUGUGGACGACUUCUCUAGAUACACAUGAGUCUUGUUUUUUAGUCAAAAGAAUAAAGUUUUUUAUGAGUUUUCAAAGUUUUGCAAUAAGAUUCAAAAUGAAAAAGGUUUUUCAAUUACUUAUAUAAGAAGUGAUCAUGGGAGAGAAUUCGAAAAUAUUGAUUUUGAAGAGUAUUGCAAUGAGCAUGGAAUUGACCACAAUUUUUUGGCUCUUAGAACUCCUCAACAAAAUGGGGUAGUUGAAAGGAAAAAUAGAACUCUUCAAAAAAUGACAAGAACCAUACUAAAUGAAAACAACUUACCAAAAUAUUUUUAGGCCAAAACGGUUAACACUUCUUGUUAUGUUUUAAAUAGAGUAUUAUUGAGGCUCAUACUUAAGAAAACUCCCUAUGAGCUUUGGAAAAACAAAAAACCCAACAUUAGUUAUUCCAAAGUCUUUGGAUGCAAUAUUUUAUAAUAAACACCAAAGACAAUCUUGGAAAAUUUGAUGCAAAAUUGGAUGUUGGAAUUUUCCUUGGUUACUCAACUUCAAGUAAAGCUUUUCGAGUUUUAACAAAAGAACCAUGGUUGUAGAGGAGUCCAUCCAUGUUAUUUUUUAUGAAUCUCCAAGAAAGAGAGAGGAUUGAUGAUGAUUUAGGUUUGAAGACCUCUAUAGGAAGAUUGCAAAUCGAAGAUAGAAGACAACAAGAAGAAAAUGGAGAGAAUCCAAAGAAAGAAGGAUCACCAUUGGCACUACCCCCUCAUCAACAAGCGCAAGGUGAAUCAAGUCAAGAGCUUCCUAAAGAAUGGAAGUUUGUCAUCAAUCACCCACAAGAUCAAAUUAUAGGCAAUCCAUCUAGUGGGGUAAGAACUAGAUCCUCUCUUAGAAAUAUUUGCAAUAAUCUAGCUUUUAUCUCUCAAAUUGAGCCUAAAAAUAUAAAUGAUGUUUUAGAUGAUGAAAAUUGGAUAAUUGCAAUGCAAGAAGAGUUAAAUCCAUUUGAAAGAAGUGGAGUAUGGGAAUUAGUACCAAGACCUUCAAAUCAAAGUGUUAUUGGAACUAGAUGGAUCUUUAGAAAUAAAAUGGAUGAAAAUAGCAUAAUUGUUAGAAAUAAAGCAAGAUUGGUAGCCCAAGGUUUUAAUCAAGAAGAAAUGAUAGAUUAUGAAGAAACCUUUGCCCCCGUAGCUAGGUUGGAAGCCAUUAGGAUGCUACUUGCCUUUGCAUGUUUUAAAGACUUUGUUUUAUAUCAAAUGGAUGUGAAAAGUGCUUUUUUAAAUGGUUUUAUAAAUGAAGAAGUAUAUGUUGAACAACCACCCGGUUUUCAAAGUUUCAACUUUCCUAACCAUGUUUUUAAACUUAAAAAGACACUUUAUGGUUUGAAACAAGCACCUAGAUCAUGGUAUGAAAAAUUGAGUAAAUUUCUUUUGAAAAAAAUGUUUUAAAAUGGGAAAAAUUGACACAACUCUUUUUAUAAAAACCAAAGAAAAUGAUAUGCUCUUAGUUCAAAUAUAUAUUGAUGAUAUCAUUUUUGGUGCUACUAAUGUCUCUCUUUAUGAAGAAUUUUCUAAGUGCAUGCAUAGUGAGUUUGAAAUGAGCAUGAUAGGAGAACUCAACUUCUUCCUUGGACUUCAAAUCAAGCAACUAAAGGAAUGAACCUUCAUCAAUCAAGCAAAGUAUAUAAGAGAUCUUCUCAAAAGGUUCAACAUGGAAGAAGCCAAAACAAUGAAGACUCUAAUGAGCUCAUCCAUUAAGCUUGAUAAGGAUGAGAAAGGUAAAUCCAUUGACUCUAUUAUGUAUAGAGGCAUGAUAGGUUCUUUGCUCUAUUUGACCACUAGUAGACCUUACAUUAUGUAUAGUGUGUGUUUGUGUACUAGAUUUCAAUCUUGUCUUAAAAAAUCUCACUUAAGUGUCGUGAAAAGAAUCCUCAAAUAUUUGAAAGGGACAAUGGACAUAGGCUUAUGGUAUCCUAAGAGUGAUAACUUUGAAUUAAUUGGUUUUUUGGAUGCUGAUUUUGUCAGUUGUAGGGUUGAAAAAUAAAACACUAGUGGCACUUUUCAUUUCUUAAGACACUUACUUGUCUCAUGGCAUAAUAAGAAGCAAAAUUUGGUAGCUUUGUCAACAGCAGAAGCUAAAUACAUAGCAACUGGUUUAUGUUGUGCACAAAUCCUUUGGAUGAAAUAAACACUUAGUGAUUUUGAUUUAUCUUUUGAGCAUAUUCCUAUUAAAUGUGAUAAUAGUAGUGCCAUAAGUAUAUCAAAAAAUCUCGUGCAACACUCUAGGACUAAGCAUAUAGAGAUUAGACAUAAUUUUCUUAGAUAUCAUACACAAAAGGAUGAUAUAACACUUGAAUUUGUAAGCAUAAAAGACCAACUUGCCGAUAUCUUUACAAAACCUCUAAGAACAUUUUGUUGAUAUUAGAGGACAAUUAGGAGUGAUUUCUUUAUGAUCUAAUGUGAUGAAUUCUUGAUGAAUAUACUUUUUGAUUGCAUGAAUUUCAUGUCAUAUAUGCAUCAUAUAGAAAUAUACUUAGAUAAUGGUCAAAUUUCGACCAAAAAUCAAAAUUCCCAUGGCAUUAGGCAUAAAAAUUUUGGAAUUUCAACUGAAAAUGGUAGGAGGAGGAUCACAAAAUGAGAAAGUAUGCAAAAAUUGAAAAAUCAAAACGUUGACCAAGCGGUCAAUCGGACUAGACCGAUCGACUAGUUUGUCGAGAUUUAGGAUUUUUAAGAGACUCCAACGCUUCAAUUUUUGCACCGUUCUCCUCUAUUUCUUCACGGUUUCUCUGAUUUUGUCUUUUAGAGACUAAUUUGAGUGCGUUUUGGAUCAAUUGAAGCAUUUUGGAUUGGAUUUUAGGAAGAUUGAAAGUUAAGGUUUCGGAUUUGGGUCGCCUUCUCUUCCUCUCGCGUGUCACAAUCAGCUUUAGCAUUGUUCUCUUUCCAUUUUCACACACCUAGGGUUUCAGUUGUGAGCAUCUCUCUCUCUUUACCAACCACUACUCCCUUGCUUCUUCCAUAUGGCUCCUAGGCGAGAGUCCGCUACUUCUAGGGCACAAGGCAAGCACCCAACUGAGUCGUCUCAGUCAAAGGCACGUCGAAAAGUGAGAUUUGACAUUGCCUUGUUCAGUUCCAUGGAGGACUACCAACUAUACAAGCAACACUUUGCUUAGAGACGAGUAGUUCCCAAGAGAAAUAUUAAUUUUCCUCAACUUCAGCAUUUCGAAUUUAAGGGUCUAUUUACUAGGAUGGUUGGUUGUCUAUUGUCACAAUUUCGGAGCCGGUUUUCCUGACCUUAGUGCGAGUUUUUUACUCGAGGGCGACUUAUGGCAUGGGUGGCAUGAUCAUUUCUACUGUUGGAGGAGUUGAGAUCUGUCUGGACCCAGAGAGCAUCUGCCAUAUUUUCGAUAUUGCUCUGGUUGGACUCAAAGUAUACAAGUCCAAAAUGUGGCCCAUUGUGCCAGGAUUUGAGCUUAGAGAGGUCAUUCAGAGGAUUUGUGAACUUCCAGACGCCCAGGAGAUGGGCAAACCAUUGCCACACAGUUUGACGGUCAUCAACAGGGUGCUACACCAUAUAUUGUGCUCUAUCUUUCUACCACGAAGUGGACAUUGAGAUGAGGUCUCUUAUUAUGAGGCAUUCCUUAUUGACUCCAUUCUAACGGAGAGACGAAUUCAUCUACUAUGUCAUCAUUCACUAAGCCUCCUCACAGUGACAUACCACCUCAUCAGGCACCUCUUGCUCCUGACCAUGCUCCAUUGAUGGAUUUAUUUACUCAUAUUAGCUCUCUAGGCACUCGCAUGAAGGAGUUUGUUGUAGUUAGUGAUACAUGGUUCUACUCCAUAGAGGAUCGCAUGGAUCAGUAUCAGACUGGCUUCACGUCACAGUUUGAGUAUCUCCAAUAGAGGAUUGAGCAUAUUGAGGAUCACUUGAGCAUGAGAAGAUGAUGGCUUUUCUAUGCUCUGUGUUUCCACCUCCACCUCGUCAACCUUGAUUUCUUAGAGACCCAUUGUUUUCAUUUUGUAAUGUUGCCAAAAGGGGGAGAUAUUUAGGAUCUAGGACUCUAUAGGAGACUUACAUGCAUAUCAUUUUCAUAUCAUUGUUUGGAUCGUACAUAUUGGAUAGUGAUACUUUUUACUUAUAUAUGAUAUGCCUAUAUGUUUCAUGUCUUACAUUGUUUCUUAUUGCAAAUUAUCUCUAACAUGUCUUGAUUAUCUUUUUUUUAACUUCAUAAAUUUUGAUUGUUAACCCAUGAUUGGUUUGAGGGGAAGAUUCUUCUUCUCCUAGAUAACCAAGGUUUGUCAUCAUAAAAAAAUUGGAGAUUGUUAGCCCAAGGGUUCUCCUAAUCAUGUUUUGAUGAUAACAAACCAUGCUUAAGUUACUAAUUGGUUUGAAUUAUAAAGAAUUUCAAGUGUUAAUUUGAAAAUUCAUCAAAGAACCUAAUGGAUGCAAGAUCAAGAUUUUUGGAAGACCUUUAAUCAUAAGAAACAUAUGUAAGAUGAAUGCAUGGGUGCACUUAAGAUUUGCAUAUCAUUUCAUGCAUAUUUGGAAAACACGGUUUAUGCUUUAAAGUUACAUUUCCAUCAAAAUUUGAGAUCCAUCAAAUGAACCUUAGGAAAAAUGUUUUAAAAUUGGCAUAUAAUUUUACCUAAAGACCUUGCCUAAGUGUUAGAAGCAAAAGGACAAAAAAAAUAUAGGUUUUCUGGUCAAAAAUGGUGAACCAGUCAAGGCAUUGUCUAAAUCAGCUCAAUCGGCCAAGGUACCGGUCGAUCGGUUUCCCUUUCCCUGUCGAGAUCUAGUCAAGAGGUACAAAAAUCACAAUCUCUGUCUCUUUCUCUCUUUGUCUAUCUUCCAGUAGUCUUUCCUUCCCGGUCGAGGGAUUUGCCUUCCCGAUUGAGGUCCGAUUGAGAGUAAUAGUCACUUGCCAAAUAUUAAAUGCUCCAACAGUUAGUGAACUGGUCGACCCCCACCUUGCCCAGUUGAGGUUACUUUUUGGUUUUCUUGGCUCCCGAUGUUAGAAACCUAUAAAUAGAGAGUUCCACUUCAUUUAUGAGCAAGAGAACACUUGCAUUUAUUUGUUUACCUACUUGUUCUUGCCUUAAAAGCUCUCAUUUCUUUUCUUGGUGCAUUAAAUCUCCAUUUUGAUAUCCUUUAGUGCACCUUUGUGAUUCAUCUUAGCCUUGAGUUGUAUUUGAGCCCUUUUUUUAGCUAGGUUGAGAGUUUCAUACUUGUUAAUUGAGUGUUAAAGCCUUCAAGUGAGUUGAAACUUGUAGAGAUUAUGUGAGAGUCGAUUGGAGCCGAAAUCCAAGUGUAAAGGUGAUUAGAAGCUUGGUUGAAGCUUCAAGUUAGUGGAAUCCUCACUCAAUUAGGAGCUUGAGGAGAGUGGACGUAGCCAAGGAAGUGUCGAACCACUAUAAAAUUUGAGUUUGAUUUCUCUAACAUUGUCUCUUUAUAUUUGUUUAUCUUGUGCUUAAAUUUAUUGUGUUUAAAAAGAAUUUUUAAAUACCCAAUUCACCCCCCUCUUGGGUGUUUUUCUCUUUUAAAAUUAGCCUUUAUUUUCUCACAAACUAUUGUAGUAUAGUGGUUUUUAGGUGUCAUCCAUUAGGAUGAAUUGUUCUCGGUAAUUAAGGCGUGAAUGAGAGGAGAAUUAAUGAUUGUGAUUAAGUAAAAUUGAUUUGAAAAUUCAUGGUGAAAAAUCAAUUUAACAAUGGUUUCUAAUUGAGAAAAACAAUGAAAUGUGAAAUAAAAUAAAAUUAAUAGGAAAUGAAAUUCUCGAAGUUAGAAUUUUCUAAAAAACAAAUUCCAUGGUGAAUGGAUGUUGAGAUCUAAUUUUCAUCAAGUUAGAUUGAAAACCGAAAUUUUCAUAUAAACUGAUUUUUUAUUUAGUUUUAGGUCUAGAUUUAAUUUCCCUUAAAAUUAGGUUAUUUAAUCCAAGAAAUCAAUUCAAAUCAUAUAUUCAAUUCAUCUUAAAUUAUCUUCCAAUUAUUCACACAAUGCAACUAUUCAAUCUCAUCAAAUCUAGCUUUUAAGAAUUUAAUGAAUCUACCUAGUUUGCAUUGUAAUAGUCAUCCAUGACAAUUUGAAGAGAAAAAUAAUUCAAUUAAUCAAUCACUUGGAUCAAAUUACCUUUGCAAUUAAAGUUCAUUUCUCUAAUUCACCACAGAUUUUGUCUCUAGAUCCUCCUUUCUCAAAGAAAAAUGAGAUUUAGCCACACAUGAUUGGAGAUUUGGUCUCAUAAGGCAUGUUUAGCUAGUGAUAAAAUGAGAGAAAAUAAAGAAAAAUAGAGAAUUCGAUUAAGAAAGAAAAUCUAAAAAAUUCUACAAUUAGAAAUGUCCAAAAAGCUUUUUCAUGAGAAAAUCAAGUUUCUAUUUAUAGGCCAAGGUCAAGUGGACACUUGACAUCAUCUAAGAGGUCUUCCGGAAGCUUCUUCAUCAAGAAAUCUGGAGUUUAAUAAUAAAAUGGUCAUUUCACAAGAGCUCAAACAAUUUCGCAUGAUUAUGUGAAAUAAAAAAUGCAACAACAGCAAUUUACAUCUUCUUGGAGCAUUUCGCAUGACUGUGUGAAAUUUUCACAUGAUCAUGUGGAAUCGACUUGACAACUCUCAUUUAGCCUACAACAUAAUUCCACCUUUUGGUCCAUUUUUCAUAGUCAUGCGAAAUGGAAAUAUUUGAUUUUUAAGUUUUCUUUUGUCAUUUCUUUCAUUUCCUUCUCUUGAUUCCACUUCAACUACCUCCGAAUCCUGGUCCAAACCAAUUGCAUUACUUCUUUCAUUAUGCAUUUGGAUCAUCAUCAACAUUAUUUGUUCUCUUCAAUUUGAUUCAUCUCUUUUGUCACCAAUUUAUCAAAAUCAUACCUUGAAAUGACUCCAAAACUUCAUAAAACUUGUUAGUAACUCUUGCAAGGGCAACAACAUAUUAAUUAAGUGUUUUAGGCAUAGUUACUACUCAAAAGAUGCGAAACUCAUGAUAAUUAUUAUAUAAAAUAUGCUCUUUUUGAGUAGUAAUCAACUUUCUUGCAUAAGCAGACCUUUUAGGGUGGAGUACUAAAGACCAAUAUGCUUGUCCUUGUUGUAAUAAAGAAACUUGCUCUUAUUGAUUGCACCAUGGGAGAAAAUUUUGCUACAUGAGUUAUCAUCAAUUUCUUCCCACCAAUCAUAGAUUUAGACGUGACAAGAGGCCUCUUAAUGGCAAGGAGGAACUGACACUCACACUUAUACAAUUAUCGGGCAUUGAUGUGUUGCAACAAUUAGAAUAACUUACACCAAUUAUGUUGGGGAAGUCACAAAAGGCAAACAUGAAAACUAAAAGGAAAAAAGAAAAAUGUUACAUAUCACCACAACUGGAAAGAAAAAAGUAUUUACUUUCAUUUGCCAUAUUGGAAAGCACUUAUUUUACAUCAUAAUAAUUUAGACAUAAUGCAUAUUGAGAAAAAUGUGUGACAAUAUAAUUGAGACAUUGUUCAGUAUUGACGAAGAAACAAGGACAACCUAAAUAGUCAUCUCGAUUUACAAGCUCUAACUAUUAGAAAUGAGAUUCACCCAAUAGAAAGCAGGACCAAAUUUAUUUUGCUUGCAACAUGCUACUCACUCACCCCAAAUGAGAUUAAGGAAUUUUGCAAGUUUUUGAAAUCAAUAAAGGUCCCCAAUGGCUAUUCUUUCAAUAUCUCUCGUUAUGUGCAACUCAAUGAAAGGAAGAUAUAUGAGCUCAAAUUGUAUGAUUGUCAUGUCCUAAUGCAACAACUUCUCUCACUUGUAGUUCGUGGAGUUCUACAUAAGAAUGUUUGUGGAGUUAUCAUAGAAUUGCGUAAUUUUUUCAAGCAAUUGUGCUCAAAGGUGUUAGAAACAAAUCACUUACACCAACUUGAGAACAAUAUUAUUGUCAUACUAUGUAAAAUGGAGCAAAUAUUUCUUCCAUCAUUCUUUGAUAUUAUGGUGCAUUUACUUGUGCAUCUAGUAAGGCAAAGGUUGCAAGACUUGUGCAAUAUUGUUGGAUGUACCUAAUUGAACGAUAUUGUUAUAAUUUCAUAUGAAUCAUUUAAUUUUAUUUUAUAUUAUGUUCAGUUCAUUAACAUGUACAUUGGUCUACAUAUGGAUGAUGAUAGGUACCUAAGCACUUUAAAGUCAUAUGUGCGUAAUAGAACUUUUCUAGAAGGUUCUAUUGUAGAAAGGUACCUUGCAAAAGAAUGUACAACAUUUUAUUCUAGGUACUUGAAUGAUGUGGAAAUAAAGUAUAAUCACAAUGAUAGAAACUUUGUUGGUUUCAACACUAGAGGAGAUGAAAGGGGUUAUCUUUAAACAUAUUGGACAUGCAUUGGGAAAGCCCAUAUUUCAUUAACUUAGUUCAAAAGAGUGGUCACAAGCACAUUUAUAUGUGUUGACAAAUUGCGAAGAUGUCAUACCAUUCAUUGAGUAAAAAAUUUAUUUGAAUUUUAAUUAAAGCUCUAGUUUAUAUCCUUAAUCAAUGUUUUUUAAAUUCACAAGGAGCACAAGCAAACCAUCAAGGCUAGACCACAUAUACGUGUUUGAGACGUAGAUUUAAUUCAUAACAAGGAAUUUAUCAAGUGGUUUGAAAGACAUGUAAGUAUAUUCCUUAUUAUAAGGGAUUUAUUUCACAUUAUGUUUAUAUUGAAUCCAAACCUAUUAUUGAAUUGUAGGUUGAACAAUUACAUAAUGAAGGUCAUAUAUCUGAACACCUUCUCACAUUAUCAUGUGUUCCAAAUUCAUUAGUUACAUGCUUCAAAUGAUAUAUUGUCAAUGGAUUUAGAUCCCACAUUAAAGAACGUGAUAAAAAAGUUUUUAAAAAAAGACUCAGAAUAAUGGAAUUGUUGUAGUUGCAAAAACGUCAAGCUUUACAAGUGCAUGUGAUAUGAGUCCAAUUAUUAGUGAUGCUCUCUACUAUGGUGUUCUAACUAAAGUUGUUGAGUUACAUUAUCUUGGUGAAAAUAAGGUUGUUUUAUUCGAGUUUGAUUGGUGGGAUGUUACAAAUAUUGGAAAAUUGAUAAAAGAUGAUGAGUACAAUUACACAUUUGUUAACUUUGCAUGAAUUCUAACCACGAACGAACGAUUUGUACUUGCAUCUCCAGCAAAGUAAGUGUUCUAUGUGAAGAAUGCGAAUGAAUCAGAUUGGCAUACUAUCAUGGAGAUGCAACCUCAAGACCUCUAUAAGAUGAACGGGAUAGGAUCCAAUGGUGAUUUUGAACCAUUUCAACAAAGUGAACUACAUGAUCACUAAUAUAUCUCAGAUUUAGUUGAUGAAGAUAUAAUCAAGUGGAACAAAAGUGAUGUUUUAGGACUAAUCAUCCUAAAAAAUAUUGUAGUUUCUUAAAAAAAAAAUGAAAAUGAAGAAGAUAAUUGAACCUUUGUCAUACUUUAAAAAGCAACUAUGCAUUGUUCAUUUUGUAUGUUUUGGUUUUCUUCAUUUAAUUUCCUGAUUUUUGUGAUUCAAUGUCAUAUUAUUGAUCUUGAAAUAUUUUUCUAAUUUUUCAUUCUACGAUGGUUUCAACAAGGAUGACAUCAAGUCAAAAAAGGAAAUGUGGUCCCACACACAAUAUUGCAUUACAGGGAUUAAGGUCAGGGAAGAAGGUAAAAGUUGCAUUUAAUGAGUACAAUCAAUUGGUUAAACAGAAAAAUGGAAAACACUUAUCGAGCUACAUAGGGACACUUGUAUCUAACCAACACAAUGUACCUCUCCAAGCUAGUGAUUGGAAAAAUGUUCCAAAUGAUGCAAAAGAGAAAGUAUGGCCUUUGUUUUGGUAUGUUGUAUUUCUCACUAUAUGAUGUCAUUUCACUGUUAUUCUAUUUUGUGACUAACGUUUGAAUCAUAUGUAAGAAAAAUUUGAAGUAGAUAAAGACUGAAAAGAUUACAUGUUGGGUAUAGCCUCAAAUAAAUAUAGAAGCUAUAAAAAUAUGAUGAAUGCAAAAUACUAUGACCCUUGGCAUAAGGAUGCAUGAGGAGAGGUUAAUACAUAAAUCACCAUUUGUCUCUGAUGUUGAUUGGAAGUGGCUUGUCUCUGAUGCAUAAACCAAAUCCCCCACUGAAUGUUUGAUAUUUGAUAGCAGGAAAAACACACCCGCAGCUAUACACCUCCAUCAUUCAGAUAAUUAUAGUGGGGGAGAUGAUUCAUGGUUGCCCUUAUACCCUUUAUUUGCACCAUCUAUUGAGAUUCUUUAUCAUGGCCAGGUUUUACUGCAGCAAUAAGAUAUGGUGGCAACAAUUUUAUCUAUAGGUGCGGUUCCAGACCGCCUCCAUAGGUGCGGUUCCUGACUGCCUCCAUAGGUGCCUCUUCUUGUAAUGUUUGUUCUGGGAAUUACACUUGAAAGCCUUAUCGUGAUAAGGGAUUACAAACACUAGUUCAGAGGACAGCCAUGUUAAACUUCCACUAUGUUUGUGUCACAUUAUCAGCAGCCUAGUGUUUAUUGGUCAUGCUAUCUGCAACUAAUAUAACCCGGUGAACUUCAAUCUAAAUUCUGAAAGUACUCAUGUGACAGAUGGUGCCUUUCAGCAGAUAUCAUCAAUUUAAAAGUAGUGUGUGUGCCUAUAGGUGGGAAGGCCUUGGCAAAUGUUCAGUAUUCCGGUAAUUCAAGAAGGAUAUAUCUAAAAUAGAUUUUCUUCUUGCCCAUUUCAAUAGUUAAAAUUUGAGAAGAUUGUGUCCACAUCACACAAAUAUUAUUGGUCCUUCUGUUGCAAUUUACCUCUGAACAUGUCUUCCAAUUCCCACGGUCCUGUUACUCCAGGAAAACUAUUUCGGUCAUAUUGAAAAAAAAAAUAUUAAAGAAGGUACACAUGCUUUUAAGUGGACUGGGGCAUUCAUAUCAGGUGGUCUGUAUCCACAUAUGCCACUUCGUGAAAGGUGGAACAGCCUAAUCACUAGGCUAUUUAGUGUGGCCCAGCCACGUUAAUCAAGCACAAGUCUUCAUACUUAAAGUCAAAUGGUGUCUUUAGUCUCAUUACACAUCGCUAUUUGAAGAUUAACUCAUCACUAGUGUAAUGCGAUUAAGACAGUCCUAACUCAAUAUUUGUUCUAGUUUUGGAUGCAAAUGCUUGCUGGUUUCAUCAUUGGAUGGGAUAAAGGUGCAAUCAGGACUAUGAAUACGUGCAGUAAUACUUCAUUCUCUUUUUUCUCAAUGAGACUUCUUGGCACAAUUUUGCUGCUCAGCAACCUACCUUUCCAUGGAAAAUCAGUUGUGACUGAUAGUAAUGGAUAUAUUCUAGAAAGCUAAACAUAGAUAGCAUUCAAUAUUAUCGAUAUAACAUUAACAGCGUAUGUCUCAAUGCUCAUCAGCUACAAGCAAUGGACAAACACUUUGAGUAACUCACAGCAGUCAAAAUUCCUAAACAGGACAGACGUGACAGAUCUAUAUAUAGAACACUGCAUAUGAGUCACAGGAAAAGAUAAUACGGGUACAUAGAAGCUCUUAUUUUACAUAUUACUCAUACUGAUCAAAGUCGCUCAGUUGGGAUGGAUGGGAGAAGGAGGUUUGAGGGGUGGCUUGUGCGGGGAAGUUGGCAGCUUCUUUCCGGGAGCUGGUUGCUUCUUUGCUGGAGUUGAAGGAGGCUUAAUCUUCCGAGGUGGCUUGUAUGAGUCUUCAGCAUUCUCAGCAGGAGGGUGACCAGGGUUGUGACCAUAAUGUGGUGGCUUCUCUCCCUUAGGUGGUUUGCCAACUGGGGUUGGUGGCUUGUUUUCUGGGAGUGGCUUCUCUCCCUUGGGUGGUUUGCCAACUGGGGUUGGUGGCUUGUGUUCUGGGAGUGGCUUCUCCCCCUUGGGAGGUUUUUCGAAUGGGGUGGGUUUGUGUCCUGGUGGUGGCUUCUCUCCCUUGGGAGGUUUACCAAUUGGGGUCGGUGGCUUGUGUUCUGGGAGGGGCUUCUCUCCCUGGGGAGGUUUAGUGGGUGGCUUGUGUUCUGGAGGUGGCUUCUCCACCGGAGGCUUAUGCUCUGGUGGUGGCUUCUCGAAGGGGGGAUGCUCAGGGUAAUCACCAAGUGAGGGGGUGGUGAGAACCACCAUGCCAAGCAACAACACUAGCAAGUAUGUAGUAGACAUCUUUGGGUUUGGACUCAGACAGUGCAAAACUACGAGAAAUCGCUAGCCCUUUAUAGCGGCUCGGACCUAAUACUGACAUAAUAUAAAAUAAAUAUUAUAUUUUAUCAAGAGAGAACAGAGUGUAAUUUUAUCAUUAAUACCGAUCGAGGCCAAAGAAAGAAGACCCAUAAUCCAUUUCCCACAAGCAUACACAAUGCAGCUGUAAUUUUAUCAUUUACUUUUAUCCCUUGGACCACUGCAUUUUUGUUGAGAGACACAAUAACACAUUUUUAUCUGUCAUUCAACAUUUACAGUAAAGAGAGGGCACAAAACGCAAUUAGAUAAAUUAUGUUUUGCCUGCUAAAAAGAGGCAAAUAACUUUAUUUGCAACAUAAUUAUUUUGGUUUCUAGUGACCCCGGGGCCUUUCGGUUGGUUUGGGAUCGGAAAAUGAACAUCAUAGGGGGGGUUGUGCCCUUAUGGGCAUAUAUAUCUGAUAGCUUCAACUGGCCUUGUUCCUAGAAAGAAAUUGCCAAAGAUAUAAACUUAUUCCAGGCUGAAAGUAGAUGAGAGUCAUAAUGAACAUCAACCUUUGUUCAGUUUGAUUCAAUGCCCCCAUAGUGUUCAUUUCACAGAUCUGAAUGAUUAUAUCCGUUGAAUACAUAAAUUAAUGAAGACAAAUAUGAAACCCAAGAUACAUCUCUGCAUAACAACCCCAACCCUGGUUGCUAUGUUUCCCUUCUUCUAUUCACAUGAGGAUACUGGUUAUAAUUGUCAAACUUGCAACAAGCCCUUUGACACCUAACGUCAAUGGACGAAUUAAAAGUCUCCUUCAAACGUCUAUUUCACAGCAUGAAGCUUAUAAAGGAUGCUGACAACCUUCAGAGUUAGCGACAAAAGAUAAUUAUCAAGGAGAGAUAGUUCCAUGAGAAUUCCAAGGAGUCUGAAUCAAAGACAAAUUGCUCACUCAAGGGUUCUUAUUUUCUUUUAGGUACAAAUCUCUUGAGUGUUGUUAAAGAAACACGUCACUGUCAUUUUGAUUUGCAUUUAACAUUUCACUUUUGUUCUGGAAGGUUUGUUCCGGAAACAUAUCAAAUGAGCAUCAUUUUCUUCUUCGGUGACACAUGGUCGCGAGUACGUGGGUCCAUUUUCAUGCCACUUAGUUGAAAAGUUGGAAAGAAAAAACAUGCCAACAAGAAGAUAGUGAGAGAAGGGGCACUUCAAGCCUUUAACAUGAACAAACAGUAAAUAAAAGAUGUUUCUCCACUCAUAAAAGUGUGUUAGAUAGCAAUAUAACGAAUCACAUCCAAAAUCUUUACUAGGCUCAAACAUAAAGAAGACUCAUUUUUAAGAAAAGAUAAAAAUGGCAUUGUCUGAUAGUAUCCAAUACACGAGAUGGCACUUAAUUUGUACAAGAUCUGUCAAUGCUGACGCACAUUUUCUGAUUAAAAAAAAACUGAUCAGUCAAAAGCAAUGAAGAGAAGUGAUGACAAUGAAUGAUGCUUCCAAUAUUUUCACCCCUUAUAGUGUUCUUCAUGAUUCAGAUAUAUAAUUGGAAAUAGAACAACCCUAUGCCAUACAUUCGUCUAAGUAUGGUGUCUAAUUUUUUGUGUCAGCGGUUGCGAAUGGAGCGUGCAAAAGUCCAAAUUGGCGUCUCUCCAUUUCCACAUAGGAAGGUGACCUUUAUUGACAAAUACCCAAUAUUUGUAGACAUUCCUUAAAUAUCAUAACUUCUUGUUGAUUUGAAAAUCAUUUUUCAACUACCAUGUUUUAAUAAAUAUUUUUUAAAAUGUAUUUUUAUCAAAGUCCACCAUGAUGGAUAAUAUUCACCAUGCAAUAAUUAAUAAAGUACAAACUAAGCGAAAUGAAAAGCAUUUUCUUUGCUUUGAGUUGAUUUUGGUUGCAUUGAGUUGAUUUUGGUUUCAUGGUUUUUUCAACUCUUAUUUUGAUUGGAAGAUGUCAAGAAAAGAAAACAUAAAGAAAAAUUAAAAGGGAAAAAAGAAGAAAAAUAAAAAAAAAUAGAUUUAAAAGUUAAUAAAUUAUUUUUUAUAUUUAUUUUAAUUCAUUUCACUUAUUUUUCUUUUACUAUAUAAAAUUUAAAUAAUUUAAAUUUUAUAAUUAAUUUAAUUACAUUUCAUUUUCUUCUAUAUUUAAAUAUUGGAAAAAUAUUUUACUUAAUAUUUUUUUCUUUAAUUUCUUUGGCAUUUUGGGAACCAAACUUAGCCUUUAAAAUAAAAAACAAAAAAAAAAUGAAAAUAAGGAGGGAAAAGUGAGAAAAGAUAAAAACAAUAUGUAAAGGAUUUGAAAAGUAUUAGUUUGUAAUUACUAUUUGGAUUUCAAUAGUAUUUUAUUUGUCUUUCUAUAUUUCAUGUAAGAGAGAAUUUAAGAUAUUCCCCAAGGCAAAGCAUUAGUUACCUGCAAUCAGUGGUGAUAAGGCUCCAAGCCAAUUUUGGGCCCCAUAUCUUAAGACAGUACAAUUUCCAUUUCAACAUUUCUGAUUUCUCAGAUGUUUCACAUACCACAGAAGAACAUUGUUUGUGAAAAUAUGCAUUUAUGUUGGAUUUUGUAUGCUGUGGGGACUGGGGCAAGGAUCAUAUGGAAGAGUGGUUGACUUUUUCUGUACUUUAACGGUUGAAAUAGGAUAAGCACGGGCAUUUGUGAGGCUUAAUUGAUUUUGAAGCCUGAAAUUGCGUUUCUGUCAUUUUGUCAAAAAAAUGGCAGAUUCCAUACUCAUAUGUUUGGCCUGUGGCCAUGUACAGAUGCCAUUUAGUGACCAGUUUGUAACUGUCAAUCGUUGCGUUUUGACUCUGCCUCAACAACAUCUGCCAUUGACGGGUUUUCAUACUUGCAAAUCAAAUAGUCUUUCGUCCCAUCAGGAAUUUCGGUUUAAAUAUUAUUAAGCAUACGUUUGGCUGACAAUCAUUAUCCAGUUCAUGAUUUGGUUUCUUACCCUUAAUCAAUGGUUUCUAAGUGAAUAUAUGUAGAAGGAAAUCCGAAGUGUAGACAGUAGUAUCGAUAACUCUCAAUAUUCUCUAUAUAAUAGAAUAAACAGCGUCAUAGUGAUCGUCGCCUACAAGCAAGGUACAAAUACCAAAACGAGUGACUCACAUAGACAUCUCCCAACAAGAUGUAGUAGUGACUGACACAUGGACACAAUUAACUCGUAGAAAAGGAUAAGACCAUUGCACAGCAGCUCUUAUUUUACAUACUACUUAUGCUAACCAAAGUCAAUUAGUUGGGAUGGGUGGGAGAUGGAGGUUUGUGCGGUGGCUUGUGGGGCGGAGUUGAUGGCUUCUUUCCAGGAGCUUCUGGCUUUUUCAUCGGAGCUGAAGGAGGCUCAAUCUUAUGAGGCGGCUUGUAUGAGUCUUCUUUACUCUCGACAGGAGGGUGGCCAGGGUUGUGAUCAUAAUGUGGUGGCUUCUCUCCCUUAGGUGGCUUGCCAACUGGGGUUGGUGGCUUGUGUUCAGGAAGUGGUUUCUCUCCCAUGGGAGGUUUAGCAAUUGGGGUUGGUGGCUUGUGUUCUGGGAGUGGCUUCUCUCCCUUGGGAGGUUUAGUAGGUGACUUGUGUUCUGGAGGUGGCUUCUCCACCGGAGGCUUGUGCUCCGGUGGUGGCUUCUUGGUUGGAGGGGGCUUGGGGUAAUCAGCAAGAGAUGGGGUGGUGAGAACCACCAGUCCAAGGAACAACACUAGCAAGUAUGUGGGAGACAUUUUUGAGUUUGGGCUGAUCAGAUGAUGCAAAACUAAAGCAUUACGUGACCUUUUAUAGCAUGUAGCUCCCAAUACCCACUAAGUAUUGUGGGGUCCAUUUGUGCCCUACGGGGUUGAAAACUUAGACAAUUGGGCAAGGACCCACCUGACUAUGGAGGACUAGUGAGGUGUGAUCAUAGCUUUAGGAUUUUUCUUCCUCUGCAGCCGUCGUGCCGUUGGCAUGAUUUUCUUAAUCUUAAAUAAAGGCAUAGUUAUAGAGUUGUUUAAUCUCUAAAUGGGAUUUUAUAUAUAUCUUCAGAUAGCCAUUAAUAUAUUUGAUGAAGAAAGAAAGACAAGUGCAUACAACAUGUAUACGACUAGCUUUCAUGGAGUUCAUUUAUGAUCAGUUUUCCUGUACAUGUAAACCAGGAUCAUAUAUAUGUUUCUGUUCCACAACUAUUUUGGAAUCUUGUUUAUCAGUUUUUAUCAUUAUAAUGUCACAUAGGCUGCCAACUUGGGCGCUAAAAGAACCAGUUGGGCUAGUUCGUUUCAGAAUUUCAAUGUGGAUUCAGGAAUUGUUUUGUAAGAUAUGCGAAAUAGUAGAGGGAUGAAUAGUGUUUCAUUAAUAAAAGUGUCCUGUAAAUUAGAAGGUGUCAUAGAAACUAUAAUCAAUAAAUAACUUUUUUUCCCCACGGGUGGUGUUUCUUGUGGGGAUCAGUGACUGGUUUAGGUUCACCCAAAAUGAGUUCAGACUAAAAUUGGUUUGAGUCAAUGCCGUGUCUCUUUUUUCCAGAAAUCAACUAUUUUAUGCAUUGAAUAAAUCAUACAAAGAAAAUAUGAACGCCCGCAAAACCUAAACCCUGGUUGCUAACUUUCUAUGUUUCAGUUCUAUUCACGCAAGAAUAUUAGUUUAAGUUUGGGAAAAAUGGCAACUUACCUAGUGAUUACUUGGUUUUGGUUUGCGACUAUUUACGCAACCAACCAUGAGUUUGACUUUAACGUCAUGGGUUGAAGCCUCCUACAGGAAGGGAGAAAGCUCCACAGCUAGCUCCAAAAGAGAAUUAUCACAUUGAUAGCUCCAGAGAUUCCCAAGGGGACUGAAUCAAAGACAAGUUCCUCACUUUUUCUUCUUUUGAGGCCAAAUAUGAACCAAGGAUCACACAACCUCAUUCAACUUCAUAAGUUUGAUUUCAUGCAGUUGAACACUGGGUGAAGGCCAUGACAAGAAUUGAUUCAAAAAUUCUAUCACUCUUUUAAGUAAUGGAAGAUUAUUAUCUCUGAUUGGCAUCACAACAGCACAUGCUCCUAGAUCUUUCUAGACACUCCAUGCAAUGAAAGCACAAUGGAUCUUGUAACGAUAGAAACUAAGCCAUGCUACAGUACUAGAUGAUGAGGUAAAACUAGUAGACACGGGUGGCAGCCUAUAUGGGAGGGACACAAGUCUAAUUGAUUUGCAUUUCAGCAUUAUAGAUAGGUAUGUUUUGGAAGAUUUGUUCUGGAAAUACCGCACCAAGUAGGAUUCUUUUUCUCUUUAGUGGGUCCACUUGCAUGCCAAUUAACGAGUUGAAAAGUAUGAGCACCUACCUCGUGCUCGUGGAACCGAAGGUCAGUGAAGUGGGGCUCCUUUUGGCCUCGUGUAAACUUGAUUCAGAAGUGAAGUUAAUAGUCUUCCAUUCAGAUGGAUACAUGGGAAUUUUUCUCUUUUAUUUAUUUAUUUAUUUUUUUUUUGUGUGUGUAUGUCAAAGGAUAAUGAAUGAAGCGCGUUAGCUUGUUUUCUGACUGGAACCGCAGAUGUCCAAAUUGGAGUUCCUUCAUUUCUUACUUAGGAUUGUUACAUGUAUAAACAAGGUAUAAGAAAUAUGCCAACGUGUCUUGAGGAGUUAUUGAUUAGAAAUAACAAGUCACCCGACUGUAGAGUUCCAAGAUUUGAAUCUUCAGACCCUAUAGCAGCCUCUGGGGUACGUGGCAUCCUAUAGCAUAUUAAUGAAGGCUUUUUCGAUUUAGACUUCACAAUACCAAUUAAUAUGUAUGCACAAAAUGGAGAUGACCCCAAAAAAAACAGAAUCGCCAUAGUUUAUGAGGUUAAGGUGAUUCUCCACUUAAUAUCUACAUUAGCUAAUUAUGUAAAUCAAAUGAACUUCUAUUUUUCCUUUUUUUUUUUGGUUUAUGUCAAAUAGUAGCCCAUAAUUAACCCAACCAUUAGCCUGUUUGAAUUGAUUUCACAUGCACAAUGUUGUAGUAGUUCAUAUUUUGAAUUUUAUUUUUACAAAGGUAGUUAAGGAAAAUGAAGUAUAAUAAUUAUAAAAGCAGACUAUAUACACUACAAUAAUUGUUAGAAUGGUAUCUCAAAUUCUAAUUUAAAAUAUUAUUUUUUGUAAAAGAAAUAUUAUAUAGAAUAUUUCCUAAUUUUAUAAAUGAUUAUAAUUAGAUCUUUAUAAAAUAAGGAAAGUUGGUAAGAAUAUCUUUAUAAAUAUUUUAGGUCAUGAGAGAAAGAAAUGGGAUAAAAAUGUGAUGAAGAGGUGAAAUAAGAGAGUUGAUUAGGAUAUAGAUGUGAAGAAGAAAGGGAUUCAAUAUAUAUAUAUCUUUCAAUUACCACAUUAAAACCCUGUGAACCUUUUAUAUGGUUUACUUUAUUUUUAUAUUCCUCCUUUAAUAUAUUUACAUUAAUGCUUCCAUUGGCACAACAAUAACGAAUUACAAAUACAAGCAACAAGUCCCAUGUUUUAUUACCAAAAGCAGGUAAAAUCCACCUAAUAUAUUACAAUAUAUUCAUCCAAUAUUUUAGACCAAUUCUUCACCAUAAAUAUCAUAAUGUGGCUUUUGUUCUUUCUUAAAUUUAAAUUGAAUUGUCUUAUAUCAAUUUGUUUGUGAUUUUUUCAUUAACUUCACUUUCAUUUGGUUAUCUUUGGUUUUUGAAAAGUAUUAAGGAAUUAAUUAACAAAAUAAUGUUAAGAAAAAUAAUUUUCUCUCUUUUGAUUUUGAUUUUGUAGUAGAAAAAUAUAAUUAAAAUUAUUUAAAAAGUAUGUAAUUUUAAAUUAUUUAAUAUUUAGAUAAAAAAAAUAAGUCUAAUGAGUUUAAAAUAACAUAUAAAAAUAAUUUAUUUAUUUUAAAUUUAUUUUUUAUUUUCCAUUAUGUUCUCUUUCUCUUUUACUUUUUCAUAUUUUUUCUUACGAAGAAUCAAACACAACCUCAUAUUAUAUGUCAAGUGUUUGUCUAUAUUUGAGCAAUGUUAGAUACGGCCAUGGAUUCAUCAAACUAAACUGAUUUUAAUAGAUACUUCACAAAUUGAUUUAUACACUAAAUCAUUGGAUAGCAAUGAUGCAUUGGAAUUAAACGUAGGAUGAAGCUCGAAGAACACUGUUUGUGUAACAACAUAUUUAUGAAAUUAUGCAAAGGAUGAGCUUCGGGGUAGUAGUACAAGGUCAUUAAUGGAGAGCCGUGUUAAACCUUGAUUGUGAUUGGAUUCCGUUAUCAGCAACAGCAACCUUGUUUGUAACCUUGAAAGUCAUUCUGUCCACAUCGAAACUCCAAUUUGACGUUUGUAAUUACCAUUCCUGGAGUGUUCCUUGAUUGAAAUUUAAAUAAUAAUUGCGGCCCACAAGGAAUAUUUUCGAUUCUGUGGGAAUUUGACAAGGUUUGUUAGAGAAGACUGGUGACAUGUUGACUUCAAUGGUUCAAAUAGGAGACGUAUGUGGAUUUGGGGGGUUUAAUUGAAACUGAGUCCCUAUGGCUUUUUAAUAUUUGCAUUGAGCAGUCUCCAUGUGACUUCCUAAUUCCCACCAACCCUCCUGUCCAUGCUGUGAAACUAAAUUGUAAUUUAUCAGCCUUUGUCAAUGGUUUCUAAAUUAAAGAUAUAGACCAUGCAUGUACUUUAAUAAAAGCAAAUCUAAAGUGUAGAUAGCAGCAAUGGUGACACCCAAUAUUCUCCAUAAAAUAGAAUUAGAAUAAGCAGUGUUACAUUGUUCAUGAUCACCUACAAGCAUACAAGAACUUCCAUGAAUAACUCAUAGCAAUUGCCAACAGGGCGUCGUAGAGACUCAUACAUAGAACACUAUCCACCCAGAGGAAAGGACAAGACCAGUGCGCUGCAGCUCUUAUUUUUCACAUGUAUACCACCACUCGUAAUAACCAAAUUCACUCAGUUGGGAUAGGUGGGAGAUGGUGGUUUGUGGGGUGGCUUGUGGGGAGGAGUUGGAGGAGGCUUUAUUUUCUGAGGCGGCUUGUAUGAGUGUGCAGGAGGAUGCCCGGGAGUGUGACCAUAAUGUGGUGGCUUCUCUCCCGUAGGUGGUUUGCCAAAUGGGCUUGGUGGCUUCUCUCCCUUAGGAGGUUUACCAAUUGGGGUUGGUGGCUUGUGUUCUGGGAGUGGUUUCUCUCCCUUGGUAGGUUUGCCAAUUGGGGUUGGCGGCUUAUGUUCUGGGAGUGGCUUCUCUCCCUUGGGAGGUUUGCUAAUUGGGGUUGGCGGCUUAUGUUCUGGGGGCGGCUUCUCUCCCUUGGGAGGUUUGCCAAUUGGAGUUGGCGGCUUAUGUUCUGGGAGUGGCUUUUCUCCCUUGGGAGGCUUGCCAAUUGGGGUUGGCGGCUUAUGUUCUGGGGGUGGCUUCUCUCCUUUAGGAGGUUUGCCAAUUGGAGUCGGCGGCUUAUGUUCUGGAAGUGGCUUUUUUCCCUUGGGAGGUUUGCCAAUUGGGGUUGGCGGCUUAUGUUCUGGGGGUGGCUUCUCUCCCUUGGGAGGUUUGCCAAUUGGAGUCGGCGGCUUAUGUUCUGGGAGUGGCUUCUCUCCCUUGGGAGGUUUUGUUGGUGGCUUGUGUUCUGGAGAUGGCUUCUCCCCUGGAGGCUUGUGCUCCGGAGGUGGCUUCUGAAAUGGCGGGGGCUUGGGGUAAUGAGCAAGAGAUGGAGUACUGGUGAGAACCACCAUUCCAAGCAACAAUACUAGCAAGCAUGUGGGAGACAUCUUUGAGUAGUUGUAGCUAAGAUGGCGCAACACUGUAGGCAUUGGGUGGCCUUUUAUAAAGGGCUGGACCCAACAGCCAUAUGACACGUGUCAUGAUGACAAAUGAAGUUGAGGGGAUCCAGAUGGGUCCUACUGAGUCGAAAACUUGCACUAAUUGAUCUGGUGAGAUGACUAUUUCUGUCCUUUUGCCCUUCUCGGCCACCCUGUGCUGUUUUCCUUUUGCACGAUUUUCGUUGCCAAACAAGCAAAUAAUAUUUCGCCAAGAAAGAGGAGAGUGAAUGUGGAAUGCAUCAAGUCCCAUCAAGGAUGGCAGAGAAGAAAUAGAAGAUUGCCCAACUGUGAUAAACAUAGCAUACACGUAGCACCAGGAACUUCAUUUACUUCCAUCUAAUGGAACAUAACAAUCUUCUAAAGUUUUUGCAUGAUUUUGUUAUAUGUCUCUUAGCCUAAAGUUGGAAAUGCGCAACAAAUUUUGUCACUUCUCUAUUUCCCACUGAUGAUGUUAAUUAGCCUUCAUAGAUAUCAUCCUUUCUACAAAGUGCUUCAUUUGUGUGUUAUUGUAAAGUGUAAGAAAAGUAAUUGAACAUGUUCUUUUUCCUUUCAUAGAUGACUUUUGAUGUGCAUUUUAAAAGCAGCGCUGUGAGUCGGUGACCUUGAUUCACACGGAAACUAAGGCUCCUAUAGGACCCACUUUUAGCUGGUUAGGGGUGAAGAAAAUAUCAACUUUUCAGAGUGAUUUAAGUCAAGGCCAAGCCUCACUGUGUCAUUACUCGUGUGAAUUUUAUAUGCACAUACAUACAUAAAUAAAGUAUGAGACCCAAAUAACACCUUCCCUUUACAAACUUAACCCCAGCCGCUCUCUUUCAAUUCUUUUCACACAAGGGUAUUGACUCUAUAAAGGUCAAGAAAAUCAUAAUUUCCUAGGGUUUACAAGGUAAUUGGCUUAAUGCUAAUGUGAAAACAUAAAAGAUAAUAGUAUAUUGUAAGCUAACGAAUAUUCUAUAGUUAUAAUUAUUUGUGAUGUGCAUAAAUAAAUCUUCAUAUAUAUAAUGGAACAAUGAAUAAAGAACCAAUGAAAAAAUACUAUAUAUCAUUGCUUGGCAUUUAAACCGUAUAUGCUGCUCUUUCUAGCUACUCCAUCCACUGAAAGACAACAAGGUAAUCCAUGUUAUAAUGAUAGAAGAUACUGUCUCUAGGCUUUUUGUGAUGAAAAAUAUAAGAUAUGGGUAGGGUUGACCCUUGUAUGUUUGUCCUAUAAACACUUCAAAGUAACAUAUUUUUCUUCUUUAGCAACUCAUAAUGAUGGGGUUCAUUUGCAUGUCACUGAGUUGAAAAGUUGGACAAUUGCCCAUGUCGCCUUCCUCCUAGAUUCCGUAGUUCACGGGAAGGUAACUCAAGUUUGACAUAUUUUGAAUUCUUUUCACUCGGACGUCUUCAUAACCUGACAAAACAAAAAUGAAAAACAGAGGAUUGGUAUAUUAUUCAUGGUAAGCCUCAAAUUAUAGUAGUAUGAGAAAGGAGAAAAAGAUUUUGGGAACUCCAAUCUGGAUAAUUCUCGUUUCUUCUCUUGAAUAAAAAUUUCACUUACCUAACUUCGUUUGGAGAAAUGGCAUAUUUUAAUUUUGUACGUCAUUGCUAAUAAAUGGAGCAAUUUAGCAUGUUUUGUGACUGAAACUGCAAAUGUCCAAUUGGCAUUUCUUCAUUUCCCACUUAGGAUCUGAUCUUGUAGACCAUAUAACGAUAUGUAUCUGUGCAAGCAUUGAAAACUAAUGUGAACUAUGAGGAGUUACAAGCCACUGGACUGUAGAGCGAGUGCCAAGAUUUAAAUCUUCAGGCUCUAUCUGGGUAAGGGGAGGAUAGCGACCUAACCUUUUACCAAAGGCUUAGAAUUUAGACUUUUGGAAAAAAAUUUCUCAUGUUUUGGCUGGAUUUCUUGUGCUUGGCGCAAAAAGGAGAUGGCCUCAAGAAAUAGCAGACUCACUUUUGUUUUCAGCCCUUAAUAAUUCUCCACUGCUUUCCAUAACUACAUGGGUUAUACAUGCAGUCUGCUGCAAUAUUCCAGUUAUAUUUAUUAUUUCAAAGAGGGUGAAUGACUUCACAUGCAAUAUGUUGCAGUAACAACCCAAAUUUUGGCACACCAUCUUAAGAAUAGAAAAGUAUAAUAAAAGAAAUCAAUCAGAGAAUCACUUUGCAUGCAGUUCAUAGAGUUCGCCCAAAAUGGAGCCACAUGUACGGACAACCCCACAAUAGACAAUCUUCUCUAUACAGUAAUAAAAUACAGAAAUGGUUAAUGAAGCUCUGUAUUUCCUUAUCAUAUAUGACCGGUUGAAAACUCAGCAAGUCUUCCUCAAUCACAGACAGUUGGAGUUGCUUCAUCAAAAUCAUGCCUUCAUUACUGGCUUCAUUUUGGUUUCAAUGUCUGUUCUACCCUUAAAUUGGGUCUCUGCUUACUACCGGGAUAUCCUUUAGCGUCCUGCAAUUCUACUAGAUUAAAGAGAAUGACUUAAUUCUGCAUUCUGCCGUCCCUAGUCCAAGUGGUACUAGAAUUGAUGUUUCCUUUAGUGUCCUUUCUUCAUACUUUCAGGUUCUUCCCUUGUUUCAAUAAUGCUGUUUUCCUUCAUGUUUAACCUCUGUUGAACCACUUAAAACAACACAAUUUGCACACCAAUGUUUCUUUACAGAAAAGACUGUUUGCAAAAAUGCACAUGUUAUAAGGUUAAUGGAAGAAUUAAUUUGGGGAUAAGGGACUAGGAUUGGGCCAAUGAAGUUUGGUGUUAAAUUUUGAUUAUGAUUGCUUUUCAUUAUCAGGUACCUUAUAUUUGCUGAUGCUAUCUGGAACUAAAUUCAAAUCAGACAUUAUCCGAUUACUAACAGGACAUAUCAUGUCCCUCUGCAGAGUUUCUAAACUAACAUGUAUCGAAAUGUGGCCCCAAAAGGAAGGCUAGGAAGAUGGAGGAUUUUGUAGGAAUCGACCAGAAUCAGAUGGAAGAGAGAUAGUCCUGUUGACUUUAAUGGUUGUGAUAGGAACAUGCAUCAUUAUAUGAGAAGUUGCAUGAAUUUAUGUAUCCUGUUAUCGUUCCUUGACGAUUUCCCAAUGCAAUUUCACUGUCCACAAGACUAACCUCUCCAUGCAGUCAAAUGAAUUGUAAUUUCUCUAUUGGUACCAGUAGUACAUUUCAUACCAAACAUAUAGUAAAUAUAAAAUAUAAAUAGAUCAAGGAAAUCUGAAUUGUAGAUAGCACUGCAAGUAACACUCAAUAUUCUCUAUAUAUAAUAAAAUAAACAGUGUCACAAUACUCAUCACCCAGUGGCAAGGGAGAAAAACCUACAAUGAGUACUCAAAUCACCAUUCUCAAACAGAAACAUAGCAGUGACUGAUACAUAGAACCUAUAUGCUCACAGGGAAAGAAUAAGAUGACCAGUGCACAGCGGGCAGCAGCUCUUAUUUUACGUACAACUCAAAUCCCAAACUAACCAAAGUCGCUCAGUUGGGAUGGGUGGGAGAUGGUGGUUUGUGGGAUGGCUUCUGGGUAGGAGCUGGUGGCUUCUGUCCCUUUGGUGGUUUGCCUAAUGAGCUUGGUGGCUUGUGCUCCGGGAGUUGUUUCUCUCCCUCGAGUAGGUUUCGAGUCUUGUCAGAUGGCUUGUGUUCUGGUGGUGGCUUCUCUCCCUGGGGUGGUUUGCCGAAUGGGCUUGGUGGCUUGUGUUCGGGGAGUGGCUUCUCUCCCUGGAGAAGGUUACGAGUUUUGUCAUAUGGCUUUUGUUCUGGUGGUGGCUUCUCUCCCUGGGGUGGUUUGCCGAAUGGGCUUGGUGGCUUGUGUUCGGGGAGUGGCUUCUCUCCCUGGAGAAGGUUACGAGUUUUGUCAGAUGGCUUGUGUUCUGGUGGUGGCUUCUCUCCCUGGGGUGGUUUGCCGAAUGGGCUUGGUGGCUUGUGUUCGGGGAGUGGCUUCUCUCCCUGGAGAAGGUUACGAGUUUUGUCAGAUGGCUUUUGUUCUGGUGGCGGCUUCUCUCCCUGGGGUGGUUUGCCAAAUGGGCUUGGUGGCUUGUGUUCGGGAACUGGCUUCUCUCCCUUGGGAGGUUCAGUUGGUGGCUGCUGUUCCGUAGGUGGUUUCUUCACCGGCGGCUUGUGCUCCGGAAGCGGCUUCUCUACCUGGAGAAGCUUACGAGUUUUGUCCGAUGGCUUGUGUUGUGGUGGUGGCUUCUCUCCCUGGGGUGGUUUGCCAAAUGGAGUUGGUGGCUUGUGUUCGGGGAGUGGCUUCUCUCCAUUGGGAGGUUUAGUUGGUGAUUGGUGUUCCGUAGGUGGUUUCUGAAGUGGGGGAUGCUUGGGGUAGUCAGCAAGAGACGAGGUAGUGAGAACCACCAGUCCCAGCAGCAACACUAGCAAGCAUGUGGAAGACAUCUUUGAGUUCAGGCUGAGAUCUGUGCAAGGAUAACAGAAUUAGGUGGCCUUUUAUAGAGGCCUGGACCCAACACCCAUAUGACACGUGUCAUGCACUCAUGGUGACACAUAAUUCUAUGGGACCAUUUGGGUCCUACAGAAGUUGCAAAGUUGGACUACUGAGGUGUGAUCACAACUUUUGUCCUUAUUGCUUUCUCUGCGGCCAUUGCACGAUUUCCUUUAGCAUCAUUUUCUUGGCUAAAUAAGCGUAUUAUAUUUGUGGCAGACCGUCCACGUGUCAUAAACAGAUAUAUUAUAAUAAUGUAGUAUGCUUUUCUCCAAUGGAACAUGACACUCUUCUAAGUCUUGUUUUAAAUAUUGUGCAGGAUUACUUUAUACGUUGCAGUUCCAAGUCAAAAUUGGUGGGCAAACGUUGGCCUUUUUUCAUUUCACCUAAGAUUAAUGCUCACCUGGGAUAGGCACUACAUGACUUAUCUGCUCUUUUACUGUAAAGUUGCUUUGUGUAUGAGAUACACCUCCCCUGCACACCCUCAACAUUCGUUGCUCUGUUUUCCUUGUGUCCAGACGAGGAUAUUAAUUGGAGGCUGACAAAACGACUGCUAGCCCAGGAUUUACAAGGUCCUGGUUUGAGGCUUCGGUGAAAGUAUUUUUGAAAAGACACACAUAGAGAUAGUGCGUUUGGUGCAAUGCAGCACUGUGAGCCAUUCUGACGCGUUCUUAAUUUCAAAACUAAUGAAUGCUUCAAAAUUUUAAGAAGUGACAUUUCCAAAUAUUUGAGUUCGUUUAAUUGAACAUUGGAUAACUAGUGAUCAUAGAUUAUUAUCUGUGCUUGGCACUAUAAGAGGGUAUAUGCUUCUUUUUCUGGCCCCUCCUUCAAGGGAGGAGGGACAAUGUGAUCUGUAACGUUAGAAGCUAUUCCAUGUCAUCUUUGGGCUCAGUUCAAAACUAAAAGAUAAUGGGGGGGGGGGGGGGGGGCAUAUCAUUUUAUAUUUCUUCUAGAAGGUUUGUUCUGGAAAUAUUUCACAGGAGCAUAUCUUUUUCUUCUAUUACGUCAUCCGCAGCCUCCAAUAGGUCGGUUAACAAGCCACCGAGUUGAAAAGUUGGAAAAAUGGGAACACAGCCCGCCUCUUGUAUUCAGUAGUUAAAUAAAAGGUCACUAGAAGUGAGAUCCCUUUUGGCGUCUUGAUUUUCAAUCCAGCACCUCUGUGACCUGACAAACCAAAAAAACUAAAAAAUAAAAAACAGUACGUGGGUUGGUGUUAAGCAUCAAGACAUGUUAAUGAAAGAAGGUAGAGAAUAGGAUAUUGAAAUCCCAAUCCUGAUAACAUGAUUUUCUUUGCUAACAACCAUAUUAUAUUUUAUCAAGAAAGAGUAAUGCAUGUGGCGUCCAUCAAGACCCAUUAGAGUUCCGCUAAAGCUAUAGUUCUGUCAACGUUAUCAUUUACGUUUCCUCUAGAUAAUGGCAUUUUCCUCUAAAGCUCUUGCACCAUUAGGCUUCAAGUCAAAAUUUCACAUGUGAACUUUGGAAAUUUUCUCCAUUUGCCCCUAAGGAUACAGUUAGAAUUGACUUAAAAUCCUGAUUGAUAUGUACUAUUAACCAAAGAAUAUUGUAUAUAAUAAUUGAAAUAUUGUUGAUUCAUCGUGGAAAUACAUUUUGUAAGGAAAGUUGUUGAGAAUUUAGUAUGCUAUAUGGAGAAAAAAGUCAUGACUUAAGGUUGUGUAUGUAUAUUCUAUAUCAAAUAUUAGGUAGGAAUGUGGGAAAGAGCAGAGUGUAAUGAUAAGAAACAAAGAAAUAUAAGAUAUUCUUGAAAGUGGAAAAUAUAAAAUGGCUAACGAGUCAAAUUUAUGAUGCGUAAGGGGGAUCAUGUCACAUAAGAAAACCAUGGCAUACUAAAGACGUACGUGUGGUAUGGAGUAAUAAUUUUGUUAAAAUAAGUUUCUUGUUGGAGUACAUUAGGUGACUAUUCAUAACGUAUCAAAUUAAAGAGUCAAGUGCAUCAAUGAAGGCAUAUGUAGAAAAUUUGUUUGUGACAUGUACCAUAAAGAUAAGAUUGACUUGAUAGAAUUUAGUCUAAGUAGGAGUUGUUAAAGGUGUCUUAAAUUUCUAAUUGAUGUAUAUUUUUUUCUAAAAAAAUAUUAUAUAGAUAUUUUAAUAAAUGAUUAAUUCUUUGUAAAAAUACUUACAUAAUAAAAAACAUCAUUAAAAAUAUCUUUAUAAAUAUUUUAAGUUACAAGAAGGAAAAAAACCACUGUGAGAUAAUGAUGAACAUGCAACACUGUACCAAGUAAAUAAAAAUGUGAUAAAAAAAAAAGAGAAACACUCGAUAAAGGAAGGCUCGUAUAUAAAGAGUAAUAUUUUUAAUCAUAUGAUAGAAUGAUUUUCUCUCAUUCAUGAAUAUAGGCAAGAUUGGGGAACCAUUAUAAAAUUUUGUACACCUCGUGUAAAUUGAUGUUUGUCUUCAUAUUUUACACCAACAAAUGACAUUGAAGUUGUCAUUGAUAAAAGGGAAAAGGCAUGCCUCCACACCAUGUGCUUGAUUCGAAUGGUUCAAGUUUGAAGAAUUUUCUCCGGAAGAUCUAAAACAUUUUCGCCUUUAAAUUUCAUUUGAUUAUUAAUAUCCGAAAAAAUAGUUAAAUACUCUUUCUAUUUUUGAGUUGUUGAAUUUUUUGAAAGUUUUUAUAUUUGUUAUCAAGAAUUUCUAUUUUAUUAAGGGUGAAUAUUUAUAAAUAAGAUAUUAUAUAAUAUUUGGAUAAGAGAGAAUGGUGGAAUAUAAUAAAGUUUUAAUCCUUCCCAAUUUUGAACCUUUUUUUUUUUUUUUGAUAUAAUCGCCUUUCUCUUGCAAUCCUAUUAUCAGGUACCUUAUAUUUGCUGAUGCUAUCUGGAACUAAAUUCCAAUCAGGCAUUGUCCAAUUACUAAUAGGACAGAUCAUAUCUCUCUGUUUCUAAACUAACAUGUAUCGUAAUGUGACCUCAUAAGGAAGGCUAGGAAGAUGGAGGAUUUUGUGGGAAGCGACCAGAAUCAGAUGGAAGAGAGAUAGCCCUGUUGACCUAAUGGCUGUAAUAGGAGAAGCGUGUGGUUUUAUGGGACUUAACUGAUACUAAACCUGUAUGAUGCUUGGAGUGGUGUUUCUUUCAUUUUGUUAAGAAAAUAUGGCAGCAUACAUGCUUUCAACUGAGUGCAUCAGAGCAUCCAUAACAGAUGGUCUGCAACCCUAGGUGCAUGCCACUUUCUGACUGAUAAUGAAAUUGUCAGGUACCUGGCCUUGACUAAGCUCAACAGCAUCACAUAAAGAGAAGCUUUCAUACUUAGAUUACUGUUUAAAGUUUUUGCUUAUUUGAUUUCUUAAUGCCAUUAUGACAUUAUUGAUUCAAUUCUGCUUCCGAUUUUCGAAGUUCUGGGCAUCUACUGAUUGCAUCAUUAUAUGAGAAGUUGCAUGAGUUUAUGUAUCCUGUUAUUGUUCCUUUGCGAUUUCACUGCUCACGGGACUAACCUCUCCAUUCAGUCGAAAUGAAUUGUAAUUUCUUUACUGGUAGCAGUAGUACUUUUCAUAGCAAAGAUAAUAGAAAAUAUGAAAUAUAAAUAGAAGGAAAUCUGGAUUGUAGAUAGCACCAUAAGUAACACUCAAUAUUCACUACAUAAUAAAUAGACAGUGUUACAUAGGUAGAGAAACCUACAAUGAGUACUCAUCACCAUUCUCAAACAGAAACAUAGCAGCGACUUAUACAUAGAACCUAUAGGCUCGCAGGGAAAGAGUAACAUGAUAAGUUCACAGCGGGUAGCAGCUCUUAUUUUACGUAUUACUCAAAAUCUCAAACUAACCAAAGUCACUCAGUUGGGAUGGGUAGGAGAUGGUGGUUUGUGGGGUGGCUUCUGGGUAGGAGCUGGUGGCUUCUUUGUUGGAGUUGAAGGAGGCAUAUUCUUCUGAGGUGGCUUGUAUGACUCUUCGGCACUCUCUGCAGGAGGGUGCCCAGGGUUGUGACCAGAAGGAGGUGGCUUCUGUCCCUUUGGUGGUUUGCCUAAUGGGCUUGGUGGCUUGUGCUCCGGGAGUUGUUUCUCUCCCUCGAGUAGGUUUCGAGUUUUGUCAGAUGGCUUGUGUUCUGGUGGUGGCUUCUCUCCCUGGGGUGGUUUGCCGAAUGGGCUUGGUGGCUUGUGUUCGGGGAGUGGCUUCUCUCCCUGGAGAAGGUUACGAGUUUUGUCAGAUGGCUUUUGUUCUGGUGGCGGCUUCUCUCCCUGGGGUGGUUUGCCAAAUGGGCUUGGUGGCUUGUGUUCGGGAACUGGCUUCUCUCCCUUGGGAGGUUCAUUUGGUGGCUGGUGUUCCGUAGGUGGUUCCUUCACCGGCGGCUUGUGCUCCGGAAGCGGCUUCUCUACCUGGAGAAGCUUACGAGUUUUGUCAGAUGGCUUGUGUUGUGGUGGUGGCUUCUCUCCCGGGGGUGGUUUGCCAAAUGGACUUGGUGGCUUGUGUUCGGGGAGUGGCUUCUCUCCAUGGGGAGGUUUAGUUGGUGGUUGGUGUUGCGUAGGUGGUUUCUGAAGUGGGGGAUGCUUGGGGUAGUCAGCAAUAGACGAGGUAGUGAGAACCACCAGUCCCAACAGCAACACUAGCAAGGAUGUUGAAGACAUCUUUGAGUUCAGGCUGAGAUCUGUGCAAGGAUAAAAGAUUUAGGUGGCCUUUUAUAGAGGGCUGGACCCAACACCCAUAUGACACGUGUCAUGCACUCAUGGUGACACAUAAUUCUAUGGGACCAUUUGGGUCCUACAGAAGUUGCAAAGUUGGACUAUUGAGGUGUGAUCACAACUUUUGUCCUACUUGCUUUCUCUGCGGCCAUUGCACGAUUUCCUUUAGCAUCAUUUUCUUGUCUAAAUAAGCGUAUUAUAUUUGUGGCAGACCGUCCACGUGUCAUAAACAGAUAUAUUAUAAUAAUGUAGUAUGCUUUUCUUCAACGGAACUUGACACUCUUCUAAGUCUUGUUUUAAAUACUGUGCAGGAUUACGUCAUAAGUUGCUUGUUCCAAGUCAAAAUUGGUGGGCAAACGUUGGCCUUUUUUCAUUUUCCCUAAUAUUAAUGCUCACCUGGGAUAGGCACUACAUGAUUUAUCUGCUCUUUUACUGUGAAGUUGCUUUGUGCAUGAGUUACACCUCCCCUGCACACCCUCAACAUUUGUUGCUCUGUUUUUCUUGUGUCCAGACGAGGAUAUUAAUUGGAGGCUGACAAAACGACUGCUAGCCAAGGAUUUACAAGGUCCUGGUUUGAGGCUUUCACGAAAGUAUUUUUGAAAAGAUACACAUAGAGAUUGCGCGUUCGGUGCAAUGCAACAAUGUGAGCCAUUCUGAAGUCUUAAAUUUCAGAUUAAUGAAUGCUACAAAAUUCUAAGAAGGGCCGUUUCCAAAUAUUUGAGUUCAUUCAUCCGAACAUCGGGUAUAUGCUUCUUUCUCUAGCCCCUCCUUGAAGGGAGGAGGGACAAUGUGAUCUGUAUCGUUAGAAGCUAUUCCAUGUCGUCAUCUUUGGGCUCAGUUCAAUACUAAAAGAUAUGGGCGGGGCCCUUAUCAUUUUAUAUUUCUUCUAGAAGGUUUAUUCUGGAAAUCUUUCACAGAAACAUAUCUUUUUCUUCUCUACGUGAUCCGUGGUUUGAAAGUUGGAAAAAUGGGUCCGUUAACAAGCCACCGAGUUGAAAAGUUGGAAAAAUGGCAACACCGCCAACCUCUUGUAUUCGAUAGUUAAAUAAAAGGUCACUGGAAGUGAGAUCCCUUUUGGCCUCUUGAUUUUCAUUCCAGCAUCUCUAUGGCCUGAUAAAUUAAAAAACUAAAAAAAAAGACAGUACGUGGGUUGGUGUUAAGCAUCAAGAGUCAAGACAUGAUAAUGGAGAGAAAGGAUAUUCAAAUUCCAGUUCUGACAACAUGAUUUUCUUUGCUGAACUACCAUAUUAUAUUUGAUCAAGAAAGAGUAGUGCAUGUGGCCAGGAUCAAGACAUACAUUAAUUUCCACAUGAUGAAGACAGUUUCUGAGAGUUUCUUCUAAAGCUCUUGCGCGAGUAGGCUUCAAGUCAAAAUCUCCCAUGUAAACACUGGUUUUUCUUUCAUUGCCACUAAGGAUGCAGUUAAUAUUGACUUAAGAUCCUACGUGAUAUAUUUUUUUAAAAGAGCUAUAUUGUAGAUAAUAUUUGAAAUAAUGUUGAUUCGUUGUGGAAAUAUAUUUGUAAGGAAAGUUGUUGACAAUUUAAUAUAGUAUAAGAAGAAAAAAGUUAUCAACUAGCUAGAGAUGAGUAUGUAAAGUGAGGCUCACGAUUCAACGCGUAAAUAUAAGAUAUUUUAAGGCUCAAUAGUUAUGAUAUCUAUUUUAUUUUUUGUAUCUCAUAUAUUCAAAGAUAUAGUAAAAUGAUUUUACAUAUAUAUAUAUAUAUAUAUAUGAACAUAACUAUUUGUGCCAAUUGAUUUUUAUCUUUAUUUUGUAUAUUAGUAAUUAUAUUAAAGUUUUUACUAAUAUAAUAACUAAUAUAAAAGCUUUUUCUAAAAGAGUCAACAGAGCAAAACACUUAUUAUAAAAAAUAAUUUUGAUUGAAGGUGGAGUCAAUUAUUCUUUAUUUAACAUGUAAUGCAUACGGCGUGUACUUCAUAACUAAAGUAUAUAAGUGUAACAUCUCUUAUAUAUUCUCAUUCAAUCUCGAAAGUGGAAAUUUUAAAAAGAUUAAACGGUUCAAAUUUGUCGUGCAUAAAGGGGAUCAUGUCACAUAAGCAAACCAUGGCAUACCAAAGACAUAGGUAUGGACUAAGAAUUUUUUUCAAAUAAGUUUCUUAUUAGGGUACAUUAAUAGGUGACUUUUUAUGACAUAUCAAAGGAGUCAAGUGCACCAAUAAAAACAUAUAUAGAAAAUUCAUGCAUGACAUGUAUCACUAAGAGAAGAUUGACUUGAUAGAGUUUAAUCCAAAUAGGAGAUUGUUAAAAGGUGUCUCAAAUUCUUGAUUGAUAUAUAUUUUUUUUAUUAAAAAGGUUAUUAUAUAGAUAUUUCAAUAGACUAUUAAUUCUUUGUAAAAAUAGUUAUAUAAUGAGGAUGGUGAUUAAAAAUAUCUCUAUCAAUAUUUUGGAUUAUAAAAAGAAAAAAAAUGAGAUAAUGAUAAACAUAUAAAACUUGUACAAGUAGAUAAAGAUGUGAUGAAAGACACUUGAUGAAUGAAGGCUUUGUAUUUCAAGAUAUAAAUAUAUGGAGCAAAACUCUUAAUUAUAUGAUCAAAUGAUUCUCUCAUAUUCAUGAAUAUAAGCAGGAUUGGGGAACCAUGAUAGAAUCUUAUAUGCCUCUCCAUGUAGAGUGAUCGAUGUUUAUCUUCAUAUUUUACACCAGUGAAUGACAUUGAAACUCUUAUUGAUAAAAGGGAAAAGGCAUGGCCUCCACCCCAAGAAAAACAAGUAACCUCGGUUUAAAUCACUAGUCUACACCCCGAAGAGAGAACUAGCCAAACCUACUAAAAGAGAAACUUAACAAUUUAGAAAGAAACCGUCCAUGAUAAAGGGCCCCUAAAGGUCCAAUUCAGUGAGGUCGUGAACAAAAACACUUUCAUGUCAAAACAGAGAUAGGUACCACCAAAAUGUAAAGGGAAAGAUGUAAACCACGUCGAACUUUGGUAAUCAAUGGUAAAGAUAGCAUGAUAGCUAAAAGCACUAAAGCUGUGCUUGGUAUGCAAAAAUGAAAAGUGGAAAUCAGCGUCUUAUUCUUUUUCACCUUUAUUCACAUAUUAGGAUAACUAAUAUCUAAUGUUUUUUAUGUCUCAAAUUCUAUUCCAUGUUAUGGUAAACUUUCAUCUUGUUUAGAUCACUUUUGUCUGGUUUGGGCUCAAGACGAUAAGCCUAUAGAGACUUCAUAUUGGGUUGAAUCGAUGCCCUUGAUCUGAUCUGUUCGUUAGAAAAAUCUGAAUUAUUAUAAGCAUUUAGAUAAAAAAUAAAUAAAUGUGAAACACAAACUACUCCCUGCACAACCUUGACCCUAGUUACUCAGUUUCACUGCUCACAGGACUAACCUCUCCAUUCAGUCGAAAUGAAUUGUAACAAGAAGAUUUUUGACAGGAGGACGGUAGUUUAAAAUAAUAAUUUCUAAAGUACUUUUGUGAAAAAAAAUAAUUCCAAACGUGGAUUUUAUCAAGUAAAAAGAAAAAAAAAAGUUAUUUUCUUUUAAAAUCUGUUCUUCUAAAGAUGAUAUAUAUACCAAAAAAAAAAAUUGUUUUCUGAAGGUAAAAUUUUUAAAAUUCAUUUUUAAAAAAAUUUACACACUAAAAUUAUCUUUUCAAGAGAAGAUUUUUUUAAUUUUAAAUAAUUAUUAAUUUAUAAUUAAUUUGUUAUUAAUUAUUUAUUAAUUUUUUUAUUUGAAAAAUGCAUUUAUAAAAAACAAAUUUGUUAUUAAUUUAUUAAAUAAUUUUUACAAAAUAAAUAAUUUUUUUUUAUUUUAAUUUUAAAAUUAAUUUUAUUAUAUAAAUUUUAAAAUUAAAAAUAUUAAUAUUUAAUUUAAAAUUUAACUAUAAAAGGAAUAAAAUAUAGAAAAAUAAAUUAAUUUAUUAUUCAAUAAAUUAAUUUUCAAUAAAAUUUUCAGCAUUAAGAGAUAAAUUUUUAAGUAUUAAUCAAUUUAAAAAGAAAUAAUGAUCAUUUGUAUAUUAAGAUAUUUUAUUUAGUAAUUAUGAAUGAUAAACAACUAAAGUAAUUUGAAAAAAUAAUAAAAUAUUUAAAAAAUAAUAAUUUAAUACACGUAAAAUUAGAAAUGAUUAACUAUUUUUUAUUAAGAAAAAAUUGAGGAAAUAUUUUGUUAUUUAAAAUUUUUUAUUUGUUUUCAAUUUUUAAUGUUAUAGGUUUCAAGAAAAUUGAUCAAAUAAAAAUUAAGAAGUCAUUUUUUCAAAAACUAUAUAUCUAAAUAAAAGCCUUGAAAUUCAAAUACACAAUAUCAUAAAUAUAAACACCAAGUCAAUCCUUAAUUAUCAAAUGUUUUUAAUAUUAAAGAAUCAAAAUCACCUACUAUCAUGAUAAUAAGAAAACCAAUAAUAUUGUUCAUAUAAAUACUAAAAAGCUAACAAAUAUCCCAAACAAUUAAUAAAGUAUCAAACAUGAUAAAAAGUCAAUUAUUAUCAUGAAUGCAAAAAAUCAAUAAUUUUGUUUAUAUGAACCAUCAACAAAGAAAAAAAAAAUCAAUAUCUAAAUAUUAAACAUAAUUUAUAUUUUUAUAAAUAUUAUUGUUGAUAAAUAUCUUAACAAUUAUAAUUUUAGUAAAUAAAAUUAAUUAAUUUUAGUUUAAGAAUUAUUUUUUUAUACUUUCGUAUUCUUAUCAAAAAUCCCCAUUUUGCAUGUCUCCUUUGGCAUGACUUUCUUACCUAAACAAGCAUAUAUAUAUAUAUAUAUAUAUAAAAUAUUUGGUUAAGAAAGAGUACUAAAGUUUAUAUGGCACACAUCAAGAUAGAAACAGAAGUGGAAGAUAAUCCAAAUGUAUGAACAGAUAUAUUAUAUCCAUGUAGUGGUAGUGACUUCAUUAUUUACUUUUAUCUAAUGGAGCAUGACACACUUCUUCUGAAUAUUUUGCACGAUUAUGUUAUGUGUCAGCUUGUUCUAAGUCAAAACUAGUGAUAAAAAUCGGUUUUUUUUGCAUUUCCUUCAUGAAGAUGGCACCUGGAUGGGGCACUACAUGAGUGGCAUAGCACGAAGUGAUUUAUCUGCUCCCUUUACUAUAAAGUGCUUUGUGUAUAAGUUACACCUCCCCUGCACUGCCUCAACAUUUGUUGUUCUGUCUUCCGUCUGUCCAAACGAGGACAAACGUAUGUUGUAGGUUGACAAAACCACAGCUAGCCUAGGAUUUGCAAGGAUCUAGUUUGAUUCGUAUGCAAAAGGAUUGGUGAAAAGAUUCACAAAGAUAAUGCUUUUUGCAAUGCAAUCUUGUUCUAAUUCAACAGUGUGGACCAUUUUCAUGUAAUGCUUCAACUAGAUGUCAGUUUCAUGAAUUUUUGUUCAUCUAAUUGAUCACUGGAUAGGCCAUAACCCGAAGAAAUUCAAAAUUCCCUUCAGUACUGUAGCUAAGGAAAGAUCCCUAUCUACCACUGGGAUUUUAAGAGGGUAAAAAUGUAGGUGGGUGCCUAUAUCAUUUGCACUUCACUAUAGGCCUCUUUGGGAAGAUUUCUUCUGAAGACAUUUCAAAGAAACAUAUUUUUCUCUUCUCUCCGUAAACGGCAGCUGCAAGUCAGUCCAUUCACAGGCCACCGAGUUGAAAAGGCUGGAAAAUUGGCCAAAGCACCCGCCUCCUGGAUUCCAUGGGUAAGGAAAAGGUCACUGGAGGUGUGAUCCCUGUUGGCCUCUUGAUUUCCAUUCCGCCAUCUAUAUGACCUGAUAACCCAAAAACACAGAAGGAAAACGUCACCUGGGUUCAUAGUAAGCAUCAAGUCAUGAUAGAGACCAGACAACAUGACCAACAAAGAGUAGCGAAUGGGGCCAACAUCAAGCCCCAUUACGGUUAGAAGAUGGAAGAAGUAGAAGACAAUCCAAUUCUGAUAGAUUCGGGCAAAUGUAGUGCUGUUCAAACUUAAUCAUUUACUAUUUCUUCAUGAAUCACGGCAUUUUUCUUCUGAAAAUUUUCCAAGAUUAGGCCUCUGAAGAAAAAUUUCAUAUGUAAAUUGGUAUAUUAAGGAAAAGGCGUUACAAAGGUGAAAAAAAACCAAUCAAAUCUUAUAUAUGACAUCUCAAAAAUAUGAACUUGCUAUAAAUAUUUAAAAUCAAAAUCUUGCACAUCACCUCGUAGUACGAACUUGCUAUAAAACUUGAAAAUCAAGAAGAAAGGGGCAGUAUUGGACGAGACUACUUAGCACAUAUUAUUAUGAUGUUUUUUCAUUUUCUUAAUGUUGUUUUUAUGUCUUAAAUUCUAUUAUUCUAUGUUACGGUAAACAUUCAUCUUGUUUGUGUGGAAUAGGAUCACUUUUCUCUGGGUUGAGUCGAUGCCCUUAGUUAAUUUGUUCAUUUGAAUAAACUAAAUUAUUAUAAGUAUUUAGAUAAGAAAAACGUGAUACAUAAAUUACGCCUCUCGGCACAACUUCAACACUGGUUACUCUGUUUCAGUUUCCUCACACAAGAUUAUUGGUUCUAGGGUUUAUUUGGUUUUGGUUUGAUUCUAAUUGCUAAACUUUCUCAAGGAAGAUGUUAUAUAGGGAGUGAGAAACCUUCACUCUUGGCUACCUCCAAGAGAAGAGCAAGUGGUCUGAAUCAAAGAUAUACUGCUCACUUUUUCUUCUUCUAAGGACAGCUAUGACCUUGCUUUAAGGUUCGAAUAGCCUAAUGCAACCUCCCAUUUCUCAAGUCAGCUGAUGAUGUAAGUCACCUUGGCUUUCCACAUUCAUACGGUGAGGACGUUUGUGGGUGUAAUUCUCUUAACAGUUUUCAUUUUAUAUGGAAAAAUUCAUAAUUAAGGGUAAUUACUGAUUCCAUUUGACAGUGACCAAGUUUAAAAUAUUAAUUCAUAUAUUAAAUGCACAUUAAAAAAUCAUGGAAUAAAUAUAUUUACUAAUAUAUAGUUCUUUUGCCAUGUUCUGUCACAGAAGCAUCGAACUUUCCCUAGAAAUUUUUGCAUGGUAUUCUACUUAUGAUUUUGAAAACUCUAGGCACCUGAGGCCACUAAUUGCAUGGUUGGAUGAGGAGCUGCAUGAGAUUAUGUAUCGUGUUGUUCCUUAACUACAAAUAUCAGUUUUAAGUAGCAUCUCCAUGUGACAUUUUCCUGAUGCAAUUUCGCUGUCCACCAACAAAUUUCACCAUGCAGCAAGAUGAAUUGUAAUUUCUUUAUUGUUAUCAACAGCUUUAAUUAAUCUUGAUAUAUAUAUAUAACUUAGUAGAAGUAUAUUAAUCUAGAUUGUAGUUGCACUAAGAUAAUAGGCAAUAUUAUAACAGUGCCACAAUGCUCAUCGCCAAAUAGAAAGGUAGAAAAACUACAAUGAGUAACUCACAACAUUCUCAAACAGGACAUAGCGGCGACUGAUACAUAGAACACUAUUGGCACUCAGGAAAUGAUAAGAUCAGUGCCCAGCAGGCAGCACGUCUUAUUUUACAUACUACUUAAAACUAACCAAAGUCAUUCAGUUGGGAUGGGUGGGAGAUGGUGGUUUGUGCGGUGGCUUUUGGGUAGUUGGUGGCUUCUUUCCUGGAACUGAUGGUUUUUUUGUUGGAGUUGAAGGAGGCUUAAUCGUCUGAGGUGGCUUGUAUGAGUCUUCAGCACUCUCUGCGGGAGGGUGCCCAGGGUUGUGACCAUAAUGGGGUGGCUUCUCUCCCUUAGUUGGUUUGCCAAGUGGGCUGGCUGGCUUGUGCUCCGGGAGCGGCUUCUCUCCCUUAGGUGGUUUGCCAAAUGGGCUUGCUGGCUUGUGCUCUGGGAGCGGCUUCUCUCCCUCAAGAAGUUUACGGGUUUUGUCAGAUGGCUUGUGUUCUGGUGGUGGCUUCUCUCCUUGGGGUGGUUUGCCAAAUGGACUUGGUGGCUUGUGUUCGGGGAGUGGCUCCUCUCCCUUGGGAGGUUUAGUUGGUGGCUGGUGUUCCAUAGGUGGUUUCUCAACCGGGGGCUUGUUCUCCGUUGGUGGUUUAUGAACUGGGGGAUGCUUGGGGUAGUCAGCAAGAGACGGGGUGGUGAGAACCACCAGUCCCAGCAGCAACACUAGCAAGUAUGUGGAAGAGUACAUCUUUGAGUUCAGGCUGAGAUUUGUGCGAGACUUGAAGAAUUAGGUGGCCUUUUAUAGCUGGCUGCACCCAACACUCACAUGACACGUAUCAUGGUGACACAUGUGCUAUGGGUCCAUUUGGGUCCUACAGAAGCUGAAAACUUUUGACUAUUGAGGUGUGGUCACAACUUUUGUCCCUAUUGCUUUCUCCGCAACCGUUUUACAUGUUUCCUUUGGCAUAAUUUUCUAAGCUAAACAAGCAUAUAUCAUAUUUGGUUAAGAAAGAGUAAAGUGUAUAUGGCACACAUCAAGGAAGAGAAACAGAAAAAGUGGGAGACAAUCAAUUGUGAUAAACAGAUAUAUUAUAUUCAUGUAGUACUAGUGACUUUAUCAUUUACUUUUAUCCAAUAGAUCAUCACUCUUUCUUCUAAAUAUUUUGGAGGAUAAUGGUACAUGUUGCUUGUUUCCAAGUCAAAAUUGGUGGCAAAAAUCGGCAUGAUACGAAAGGAUUGGUGAAAAGAUUCACAUAGAUGGUGCUUUGUGCAAUGCAGUCUUGCUCUAAUUCAACAGAGUGGACCAUGGUGAUGUAUUUUAAAUUUUAAAUUUUAAAUUAAUGCAUGCUUCAAAGUUUUAACUAGAUGUCACUUCCAUGGAUUUUUGUUCAUUUAAUUGAGCACAGGAUAGGCUAUCAAACUUGAAGUAAUAUAAAAAUCCCUUCAUUACUGUAACUAAUGAAAGAUCAUUAUCUGCGCUUGGUAUUUUGCCAAGGUAUUUGCUGCUCUUUCUAGCCCUGUCUUACAGUUAAGGACAAUGUGAUCUAGUUAACCUUAGAAGCUAUUCCAUGUCAGAUACAAGAGAUCAAGCACAUUAUCUUUGGGCUCAGUUCAAAACUAUAAUAUAUGGGUGGGGUGGAGGCCCAUAUCAUUUGCAUAUCACCACUAUUGGUUUAGUUUGGAAGGUUUCUUCUGGAAGAUUGCUGCUUUCUGGAAUCAUUUCAAAGAAAUAUAUCUUUUUGUUCUCUUGGUGACGAGCAGCGGCAAUCAAGUCUGUUGACAAACAACCGAGUUGAAAAGUUUGAAAAUUGGUCACAGCCCACGUCCAUGGUUAAGGAAAAGGUCACUGGAAGUGAUCCCUUCUGGGCCUCUUGAUUUCCAUUCUGACAUCUAUAUGACCUGAUAAAUAGAAAGAAAAAAAAACAGAAGAAAAGCGGCACCCGGGUUCAUAGUAAGCAUCAAGACAGGAUACUGAAAGAAGGGAGAAAGGAGAUUGCAAGUCCAAUCCUGAUAAAAUGAUCAACAAAGAGUAUCAAAAUGGGGCCAACAUAAAGACCCAUUGAGGUUAGCAGAUGGCAUGGCAUUUUUCUCCUUAAGUUUUCCAUGAUUAGACUUGAAGUCAAAAUUUCACAUGUAAAUUUGUAUUUCUACAUUUCCCACUGACGACACCCAACUUCAACUUGAGUUAGAAUAACAUUGUGUGAACUUAUCUGGCCCUCAAAAUUUACUGUGAAGUGCUUUCUGCGUGUGAAGAUUCAGAAAAGCACCAAGGGAACAUGUAUGGUCUGCCUUUUUCUGAUGUUAUGUUUGUCUCUAAUUCUGUUCCAUGUCAUGGUAAAUGUUCACAUUGCUUGUAUGGAACACACCAGGAUCACUUUUUCGGGUUUAUUUUGAGGCUUCAUAUUGGGUUCAUAUUGGGUUCAAUGCUUUUAAUGUGUUCAUUAGACAAAUCUGAAUUAUCAUAUGCAUUUAGAUAAGAACAAUAAUGUGAAACCCUAGUUACACCUCCCCUGCAUAACCCCAACCCUGCUUACUCUAUUUCAGUUUACUCACACAAGUUUUACCGGUUCUUAUAAGUCAAGAAAAGGCAACUGAUGUUGGAUUGACUCUCUUCCAUGUAUAAAAAGCAACUUUUAUAUAUACAUAAAAUAACUUCUUCCCCUCACCAAUGUGGGAUAUCAUGGAUUUAUUCUGGAAACACAUCAAAGGAACAUCUUUUCUCUUGGGUGACCCUAAGUGGUGAGUCAGACCAUUUGCAUGCCAUUGAGUUGCACAGUUGGAUAAAUGCACCUACCUCCUGGGCUCCAGAGUUAAAAGGGUGGAUCCCUGGAUCGCAACCCUCUUGGCAUCUUGGUUUCCAUUCCAACAUCCACAUGACUUGACAAAACAAAAAACAGAAUAAAAUCAUCACUAUUUUCAUGCUAAGCACCAAUACAUGAUGGAAAUCAUUGCUUAAAGAUUUGGGGUCAUUUAGGUUUUGACUGCCUCCUAACACCUCACCUAAUCACAAGUUUUUAUGCUUACAAAUCAAAUAUCGUUCUUCAUUAUAUUAAAAUCAUUUUAAGAUUUCAGAUCCAUCUGCUAAUUAUGAUUAUGAUAACAUUAAUUCACCUGUGCUUCUCAUUUUCGACACACAAGGCAUCUAGGUUUGCAGGAUUUCCUUAUUAGAUGAGAUAAAUGAGUACGCAUGGUUAUGUAUGCAGCAUUCAUUAACCAUGGUAUGUGACAUUUAGAAUUAAGAUAGCAAGCAAACUUUCCCUGCAGCUUGAGUAAAUUGUGAUUUCUUAGCCUCUAUGAGUGGUUCCCAAAUCAAAUUAACAUAGUGAAAUAUACGUAGUCCAGUGAAAGGAAAUGUAAAUUAUAAACUAACAGCACUACACUACUGGUAACACUCGAUACUCUCUAUAUAAUGCAAUGAAAUAUACGUUAUACGUUGCUUGUUCCAAGUCAAAAUUUGUGGCCAAACGUUGGCCUUUUUUCAUUUUCCCUAAGAUUAAUGCUCACCUGGGAUAGGCACUACAUGAUUUAUCUGCUCUUUUACUGUAAAGUUGCUUUGUGUAUGAGUUACACCUCCCCUGCACACCCUCAACAUUUGUUGCUCUGUUUUCCUUGUGUCCAGACGAGGAUAUUAAGUGGGGGCUGACAAAACGACUGCUAGCCAAGGAUUUACAAGGUCCUGGUUUGACGCUUCCGCGAAAGUAUUUUUGAAAAUAUACACAUAGAGAUUGCGCGUUCGGUGCAAUGCAACAAUGUGAGCCAUUCUGAAGUUUUUAAUUUCAGAUUAAUGAAUGCUACAAAAUUCUAAGAAGGGCCGUUUCCAAAUAUUUGAGUUCAUUUAUCCGAACAUCGGAUAAGUAAUGAUCAUAGAUUAUUAUUAUUAUCUGACGUUCUUAUAAUGGUUGGCAUUAUAAGAGGGUAUAUGCUUCUUUCUCUAGCCCCUCCUUCAAGGGAGGGACAAUGUGAUCUGUAUCGUUAGAAGCUAUUCCAUGUCGUCAUCUUUUGGCUUAAGUCAAUACUAAAAUAUAUGGGCGGGGCCCCUGUCAUUUUAUAUUUCUUCUAGAAGGUUUGUUCUGGAAAUCUUUCACCGAAACAUAUCUUUUUCUUCUCUACGUGAUCCGUGGUUGGAAAGUUAGAAAAAUGGGUCCGUUCACAAGCCACCGAGUUGAAAAGUUGGAAAAAUGGCAACACCGCCAACCUCUUGUAUUCGAUAGUUAAAUAAAAGGUCACUGGAAGUGAGAUCCCUUUUGGCCUCUUGAUUUUCAUCCCAGCAUCUCUAUGUCCUGAUAAACUAAAAAACUAAAAAAAAAACAGUACGUGGGUUGGUGUUAAGCAUCAAGAGUCAAGACAUGAUAAUGGAGAGAAAGGAUAUUCAAAUUCCAGUUCUGACAACAUGAUUUUCUUUCCUGAACAACCAUGUUAUAUUUGAUCAAGAAAGAGUAGUGCAUGUGGCCAGGAUCAAGACAUACAUUAAUUUCCACAUGAUGAAGACAGUUUCUGAGAGUUUCUUCUAAAGCUCUUGCGCUAGUAGGCUUCAAGUCAAAAUUUCCCAUGUAAACACUGGAUUUUCUUUAAUUGCCACUAAGGAUACAGUUAAAAUUGACUUAAAAUCCUACGUGAUAUAUAUCUUUAACAAAAGUAUAUUGUAUAUAAUAUUUGAAAUAAUGUUGAUUCGUUGUGGAAAUAUGUUUGUAAGGAAAGUUGUUGACAAUUUAAUAUAGUAUAAGAAGAAAAAAGUUAUCAACUAGAGAUGAGUAUGUAAAGUGAGGCUCACGAUUCAACGCGUAAAUAUAAGAUAUUUUAAGGCUCAAUAGUUAUGAUAUCUAUUUUAUUUUUUGUAUCCCAUAUAUUCAAAGAUACAGUAAAAUGAUUUUAUAUAUAUGAACAUAGCCGAUAGUAUCAUGUUAAAACCUUAUAUGACUCUUUGUGCCAAUUGAUUUUUAUCUUUAUUUUGUGUAUUAGUAAUUAGUAUUAAAGUUUUUACUAACAUAAUAAUUGAUAUAAAAGCUUUUUCCAAAAGAGUCAAACAGAGCAAAACACUUAUUAUAAAAAGAAUUUUGAUUGAAGGUGGAGUCAAUUAUUCUUUAUUCAACAUGUGAUGCAUACAGCGGGUACUUCAUAACUAAAGUAUAUAAGUGCAACAUCUCUUAUACAUUCUCAUUCAAUCUCGAAAGUGGAAAAUUUUAAAAGAUUAAAUGGUUCAAAUUUUCCGUGCAUAAAGGGGAUCAUGUCACAUAACCAAACCAUGGCAUACCAAAGCCAUGAUAUGGACUAAGAAUUUUGUUAAAAUAAGUUUCUUAUUAGGGCACAUUAUGUGACUAUUUAUGACAUAUCAAAGGAGUCAAGUGCAUCAAUAAAGACAUAGAAAAUUCAUGCAUCACAUGUACCACUAAGAGAAAAUUGACUUGAUAGAGUUUAGUCCAAAUAGGAGAUUGUUAAAAGGUGCAUCAAAUUCUUGAUUGAUAUAUAUUUUUUUUAUUAGAAAGGUUAUUAUAUAGAUAUUUCAAUAGACUAUUAAUCCUUUGUAAAAAUAGUUAUAUAAUGAGGAUGGUGAUUAAAAAUAUCUCUAUCAAUAUUUUGGAUUAUAAAAAGAAAAAAAAUAUGAGAAAAUGAUAAACAUAUAAAACUUGUACAAGUAGAUAGAGAUGUGAUGAAAGACACUUGAUGAAUGGAGGCCUUGUAUUUCAAGAUGUAAAUAUAUGGAGCAAAACUCUUAAUUAUAUGAUCAAAUGAUUCUCUCAUAUUCAUGAACAUAAGCAGGAUUGGGGAACCAUGAUAGAAUCUUAUAUGCCUCUCCAUGUAGAUUGAUCGAUGUUUAUCUUCAUAUUUUACACCAAUGAAUGACAUUGAAACUCUGAUUGAUAAAAGGGAAAAAGCAUGGCCUCCACCACAAGAAAAACAAGUAACCUCGGUCUAAAUCACUAGUCUACACCCCGAAGAGAGAACUAGCCAAACCUACUAAAAGAGAAACUUACCAAUUUAGAAAGAAAUCUUCCAUGAUAAAGGGCCCCUAAAAGUCCAAUUCAGUCAGGUUGUGAACAAAAACACCUUCAUGUCAAAACAGGAAUAGGUACCACCAAAAUGUAAAGGGAAAGAUGUAAACCAAGUCGAACUUUGGUAAACAAUGGUAAAGAUAGCAUGAUAGCUAAAAGCACUAAAGCUGUGCUUGGUAUGCAAAAAUGAAAAGUGGAAAUCAGCGUCUUAUUCUUUUUCUCCUUUAUUCACAUAUUAGGAUAACUAAUAUCUAAUGUUUUUUUUAUGUCUCAAAUUCUAUUCCAUGUUAUGGUAAACUUUCAUCUUGUUUAAGUGGAAGAGUAGGAUCACUUUUGUCUGGUUUGGGCUCAAGACGAUAAGCCUAUAGAGACUUCAUAUUGGGUUGAAUUGAUGCCCUUGAUCCGAUCAGUUCGUUAGAAAAAUCUGAAUUAUUAUAAGCAUUUAGAUAAAAUAAAUAAAUAAAUGUGAAACAGAGACUAUUCUCUGCACAACCUUGACCCUAGUUACUCAGUUUCACUGCUCACGGGACUAACCUCUCCAUUCAGUCGAAAUGAAUUGUAAUUUCUUUACUGGUAGCAGUAGUACUUUUCAUAGCAAAGAUAAUAGUAAAUAUGAAAUAUAAAUAUAUAGAAGGAAAUCUGGAUUGUAGAUAGCACCAUAAGUAACACUCAAUAUUUACUACAUAAUAAAAGAGAUAGUGUUACAAAGGUAGAGAAACCUACAAUGAGUACUCAUCACCAUUCUCAAACAGAAACAUAGCAGUGACUUAUACAUAGAACCUAUAGGCUCGCAGGGAAAGAGUAACAUGAUAAGUGCACAGCGGGUAGCAGCUCUUAUUUUACGUAUUACUCAAAAUCUCAAACUAACCAAAGUCACUCAGUUGGGAUGGGUAGGAGAUGGUGGUUUGUGGGGUGGCUUCUGGGUAGGAGCUGGUGGCUUCUUUGUUGGAGUUGAAGGAGGCGUAAUCUUCUGAGGUGGCUUGUAUGAGUCUUUGGCACUCUCUGCAGGAGGGUGCCCAGGGUUGUGACCGGAAGGAGGUGGCUUCUGUCCCUUUGGUGGUUUGCCUAAUGGGCUUGGUGGCUUGUGCUCCGGGAGUUGUUUCUCUCCCUCGAGUAGGUUUCGAGUUUUGUCAGAUGGCUUGUGUUCUGGUGGUGGCUUCUCUCCCUGGGGUGGUUUGCCGAAUGGGCUUGGUGGCUUGUGUUCGGGGAGUGGCUUCUCUCCCUUGGCAGGUUCAGUUGGUGGCUGGUGCUCCGUAGGUGGUUUCUUCACCGCCGGCUUCUCUCCCUGGAGAAGGUUACGAGUUUUGUCAGAUGGCUUCUGUUCUGGUGGCGGCUUCUCUCCCUGGGGUGGUUUGCCAAAUGGGCUUGGUGGCUUGUGUUCGGGAACUGGCUUCUCUCCCUUGGCAGGUUCAGUUAGUGGCUGGUGUUCCGUAGGUGGUUUCUUCACCGGCGGCUUGUGCUCCGGAAGCGGCUUCUCUACCUGGAGAAGCUUACGAGUUUUGUCAGAUGGCUUGUGUUGUGGUGGUGGCUUCUCUCCCUGGGGUGGUUUGCCAAAUGGACUUGGUGGCUUGUGUUCGGGGAGUGGCUUCUCUCCAUUGGGAGGUUUAGUUGGUGGUUGGUGUUCCGUAGGUGGUUUCUGAAGUGGGGGAUGCUUGGGGUAGUCAGCAAGAGACGAGGUAGUGAGAACCACCAGUCCCAGCAGCAAUACUAGCAAGGAUGUGGAAGACAUCUUUGAGUUCAGGCUGAGAUUUGUGCAAGGCUAGAAGAAUUAGGUGGCCUUUUAUAGCGGGCUGGACCCAACAACCAAAUGACACGUAUCAUGAUACACAUAUGUGUUAUAAGAUCCUUGUGGGUCCUACAGAAGUUGAAAACUUUGACAAUUGAGGUGUGAUUACAACUUUUGUCCCUAUUGCUUUCUCGUCAGCCGUUUUGCAAGAUUUUUGACAGGAGGACGGUAGUUUAAAAUAAUAAUUUCUAAAGUACUUUUGUGAAAAAAAAUAAUUCCAAACGUGGAUUUUAUCAAGUAAAAAAAACAAAAAAAAGUUAUUUUCUUUUAAAAUCUUUUCUUCAUGAUUCAUAUACCAAAAAAAGAAUUGUUUUCUGUAGGUAAAAUUUUUAAAAUUCAUUUUUAAAAAAAAAAAAUUACACACUAAAAUUAUCUCUUCAAGAAAAUAUUUUUUAAAUUUUAAAUAAUUAUUAAUUUAUAAUUAAUUUUUUAUUAAUUAUUUAUUAAAUUUAUAUGUGAAAAAUGCAUUUAUAAAAAACAAAUUUUUUAUUAAUUUAUUAAAUAAUUAUUUACAAAAUAAAUAAUUUUGCUUUAUUUUAAUUUUAAAAUUAAUUUUAUUAUAUAAAUUUUAAAAUUAAAAAUAUUAAUAUUUAAUUUAAAAUUUAACUAUAAAAGGAAUAAAAUAUAGAAAAAUAAAUUAAUUUAUUAUUCAAUAAAUUAAUUUUCAAUAAAAUUUUCAGCAUUAAGAGAUAAAUUUUUAAGUAUUAAUCAAUUUAAAAAAUAAUAAUAAUCAUUUGUAUACUAAGAUAUUUUAUUUAGUAAUUAUGAAUGAUAAACAACUAAAGUAAUUUGAAAAAAUAAUAAAAUAUUUAAAAAUAAUAAUUUAAUACACUUAAAAUUAGAAAUGAUUAACUAUUUUUUAUUAAGAAAAAAUUGAAGAAAUAUUUUGUUAUUUAAAAUUUUUUAUUUGUUUUCAAUUUUAAAUGUUAUAGGUUUCAAGAAAAUUGAUCAAAUAAAAAUUAAGAAGUCAUUUUUUCAAAAACUAUAUAUCUAAAUAAAAGCCUUGAAAUUCAAAUACACAAUAUCAUAAAUAUAAACACCAAGUCAAUCCUUAAUUAUCAAAUGUUUUUAAUAUUAAAGAAUCAAAAUCACCUACUAUCAUGAUAAUAAGAAAACCAAUAAUAUUGUUCAUAUAAAUACUAAAAAGCUAACAAAUAUCCCAAACAAUUAAUAAAGUAUCAAACAUGAUAAAAAGUCAAUUAUUAUCAUGAAUGCAAAAAAUCAAUAAUUUUGUUUAUAUGAACCAUCAACAAAGAAAAAAAAAAUCAAUAUCUAAAUAUUAAACAUAAUUUAUAUUUUUAUAAAUAUUAUUGUUGAUAAAUAUCUUAAUAAUUAUAAUUUUUUAUAUAUUAAAUUUAGUAAAUAAAAUUAAUUAAUUUUAUAAUAUAAGAUAUAUAUAAUAAUUAAGAGACUAUUUGUCCCAAACAAUUUAUUUAUUUUUUUUUUAGGAAAUUGUCUCUUCAAGAGACGACUUCUCCCAACAUUUUUAAAAAAAAAAAAAAAAACAUCUAUUCAAAAGACGAUUUCUCCUCAUUUUUUAAAAAUGAAUUUUAGAAAUCAUAUUUUCAAAAAUGAAUUUUAGAAAUCAUAUUUUCAAAAGACGAUUUUUUUUUAUAUAAAUUAUUUUUUAAAAUGACGAUUUUAAAAGGAAAUAACGAUCUCUCUCCUACUUGGCAAAAACUAUGGUAAAUUUGGAAUUAUUUCUUCCACAACCAUAGUUUAAGAAUUAUUUUUUUAUACUUUCGUAGACUUAUCAAAAAUCCCUAUUUUGCAUGUCUCAUUUGGCAUGACUUUCUUACCUAAACAAGCAUAUAUAUAUAUAUAUAUAUAUAUAUCACUUUUGUCUGGGUUGAGUCAAUGCCCUUAACUAAUUUGUUCAUUUGAAUAGUCUAAAUUAUUAUAAGCUUUUAGUUAAGAAAAAUGUGAAACAUAAAUUACACCUCUCGGCACAACUUCGACACUGGUUACUCUGUUUCAGUUUAUUCACACAAGAUUAUUGGUUCUAGGGUUUAUUUGGUUUUGGUUUGAUUCUAAUUGCUAAACUUUCUCAAGGAAGAUGUUAUAUAGGGAGUGAGAAACCUUCACUCCUGGCUACCUCCAAGAGAAGAGCAAGUGGUCUGAAUCAAAGAUAUACUGCUCACUUUUUCUUCUUCUAAGGACAGCUAUGACCUUGCUUUAAAAUGUUCGAAUAGCCUAAUGCAACCUCCCAUUUCUCAAGUCAGCUGAUGAUGUAAGUCACCUUGGCUUUCCACAUUCAUACGGUGAGGACGUUUGUGGGUGUAAUUCUCUUAACAGUUUUCAUUUUAUAUGGAAAAAUUCAUAAUUAAGGGUAAUUACUGAUUCCAUUUGACAGUGACCAAGUUUAAAAUAUUAACUCAUGUAUUAAAUGCACAUUAAAAAAUCAUGGAAUAAAUAUAUUUACUAAUAUAUAGUUCUUUUGUCAUGUUCUGUCACAGAAGCAUCGAACUUUCCCUAGAAAUUUUUGCAUGGUAUUCUGCUUAUGAUUUUGAAAACUCUAGGCACCUAAGGCCACUGAUUGCAUGGUUGGAUGAGGAGCUGCAUGAGAUUAUGUAUCCUGUUGCUCCUUAACUACAAAUAUCAGUUUUAAGUAGCAUCUCCAUGUGACAUUUUCCUGAUGCAAUUUCGCUGUCCACCAACAAAUGUCUCCAUGCAGCUAGAUGAAUUGUAAUUUCUUUGUUGUUAUCAACAGCUUUAAUUAAUCUUGAUAUAUAUAUAACUUAGUAGAAGUAAUUAAUCUAGAUUGUAGUUGCACUAAGAUAAUAGGCAAUAUUAUAACAGUGCCACAAUGCUCAUCGCCAAAUAGAAAGGUAGAAAAACUACAAUGAGUAACUCACACAACAUUCUCAAACAGGACAUAGCGGCGACUGAUACAUAGAACACUAUUGGCACUCAGGAAAUGAUAAGAUCAGUGCCCAGCAGGCAGCACGUCUUAUUUUACAUACUACUUAAAACUAACCAAAGUCAUUCAGUUGGGAUGGGUGGGAGAUGGUGGUUUGUGCGGUGGCUUCUUUCCUGGAACUGGUGGUUUUUUUGUUGGAGUUGAAGGAGGCUUAAUCGUCUGAGGUGGCUUGUAUGAGUCUUCAGCACUCUCUGCAAGAGGGUGCCCAGGGUUGUGACCAUAAUGAGGUGGCUUCUCUCCCUUAGGUGGUUUGCCAAGUGGGCUGGCUGGCUUGUGCUCCGGGAGCGGCUUCUCUCCCUUAGGUGGUUUGCCAAAUGGGCUUGCUGGCUUGUGCUCUGGGAGCGGCUUCUCUCCCCCAAGAAGUUUGCGGGUUUUGUCAGAUGGCUUGUGUUCUGGUGGUGGCUUCUCUCCUUGGGGUGGUUUGCCAAAUGGACUUGGUGGCUUGUGUUCGGGGAGUGGCUCCUCUCCCUUGGGAGGUUUAGUUGGUGGCUGGUGUUCCGUAGGUGGUUUCUCAACCGGGGGCUGGUGCUCCGUAGGUGGUUUAUGAACUGGGGGAUGCUUGGGGUAGUCAGCAAGAGACGGGGUGGUGAGAACCACCAGUCCCAGCAGCAACACUAGCAAGUAUGUGGAUGACAUCUUUGAGUUCAGGCUGAGAUUUGUGCAAGACUAGAAGAAUUAGGUGGCCUUUUAUAGCUGGCUGCACCCAACACUCACAUGACACGUAUCACGGUGACACAUGUGCUAUGGGAUCCAUUUGGGUCCUACAGAAGUUGAAAACUUUUGACUAUUGAGGUGUGAUCACAACUUUUGUCCCUAUUGCUUUCUCCGCAACCGUUUUACAUGUUUCCUUUGUGGUGUUUAAUAGUGUUUUUUUCCUUAAUUCUAAAUAAACCUUAAUACUUAAUAAUGUUAAAUAUUAGGUUAUUUAUUUUUAUAAUAUUUUAUUUAUAUUAAGUAUUAAAAAGUAAAGAAAAAUCAAUAUAUUUAUUUUUCUAUUUAGAAAAAACUAUAUAUUUUUAAUUUUUUUAUUUAAUAAAAAAUUUAUAAUAAAUCAUGAAAAAAUAGAAAAACAAACAACCUAAAUUUUAAAAAUAAAUUGUUUUUAGUAAAAACCCAAAAAAACAAACACCACCUUAACUAAACAAAUAUAUAUUAUAUUUAGUUAAGAAAGAGUAAAGUGUAUAUGGCUCAAAUCAAGGAAGAGAAACAGAAUAAGUGGAAGACAAUCAAUUGUGAUAAACAGAUAUAUUACAUGCAUGUAGUACUAGUGACUUUAUCAUUUACUUUUAUACAAUAGAUCAUCACACUCUUUCUUCUAAAUAUUUUGGAGGAUAAUGGUACAUGUUGCUUGUUGCCAAGUCAAAAUUGGUGGCAAAAAUCGGCAUGAUACGAAAGGAUUGGUGAAAAGAUUCACAUAGAUGGUGCUUUGUGCAAUGCAGUCUUGCUCUAAUUCAACAGAGUGGACCAUGGUGAUGUAUUUUAAAUUUUAAAUUUUAAAUUAAUGCAUGCUUCAAAGUUUUAACUAGAUGUCACUUCCAUGGAUUUUUGUUCAUUUAAUUGAGAACAGGAUAGGCUAUCAAACUUGAAGUAAUAUAAAAAUCCCUUCAUUACUGUAACUAAUGAAAGAUCAUUAUCUGCGCUUGGUAUUUUGCCAAGGUAUUUGCUGCUCUUUCUAGCCCUAUCUUACAGUUAAGGACAAUGUGAUCUAGUUAACCUUAGAAGCUAUUCCAUGUCAUAUACAAGAGAUCAAGCACAUUAUCUUUGGGCUCAGUUCAAAACUAUAAUAUAUGGGUGGGGUGGGGGCCUAUACCAUUUGCAUAUCACCACUAUUGGUUUAGUUUGGAAGGUUUCUUCUGGAAGAUUGCUUUCUGGAAACAUUUCAAAGAAAUAUAUCUUUUUGUUCUCUUGGUGACGAGCAGCGGCAAUCAAGUCUGUUGACAAACAACCGAGUUGAAAAGUUUGAAAAUUGGUCACAGCCCACGUCCAUGGUUAAGGAAAAGGUCACUGGAAGUGAUCCCUUCUGGGCCUGUUGGAAGCAGGGGAGGUUAACACACCAAGCAACAAAGAACAGAGAUAUGCUGCUACUGAUCUAUAUUUUUUAUUUGAUCAUAAGGCUAAAUUUAUACAGAUUGUGUAACAGAUAUGACCUCAAAAAAAAGCAUCAAAUCAAGCUACUUGUUGAACAAACAACUACCUUCUACAAAAUAACAUCAAAAUUUAACUUAAAAGCAAAAACAUAAAAAUAGCAACAGCAAAAAUAGAAACAUAAAAAUAGCUUCAGCAUUCUAGUAAUCUCGUUGACUUCAAUUGCAUGUGGUUGACGAUUUCAGCCUUUUCCUCAGCAGCUACUAAGGCAUAACUCUCAACACUCCUCCUUGACUUAGGAGGUGCAAACUCCAAGUCUUUCUCAUAGAAACUCAAAUCUUAUUUUAGGAAGAGCUUUAGUCAGAAUAUCUACAUUUUGACUGUCUGUAUUGCAGUAGACUAGUUGUAUAUCUCCUUCUUUCUGUACUUCCCUCAAAAAUUACAAUUUAAUCUUGAAGUGCUUUGUUUUACCAUGAAAAACUGGAUCAUUUGCAAUAGAUAUAGUGGCCUGGUUGUCUACAAACACCUUUGUACUCACUUCUUGCUUCAUAUCCAAAUCUGUCAGCAACUUUCCAAGCCAUAAGGCUUGAUUUACAGCUGUAACAGCAGCAAUAUACUCUGCCUCAGCUGUGGAUUGAGCCACGACUUCUUGCUUCCUUGAACUCCAUGAAAAAACACCAGAACCAAAACUAAAACAAUAGCCUGAAGUACUUCUCAUAUCGUCAACACAACCAGCCCAAUCACUAUCAGAAAAUCCAUGAAAAUUGAAACUUUGAACUUGACUGAACUUAAUGCCAUAAUCCACAGUGCCUUUAACAUUUCUUAUCACACGCUUUGCUGCCUGGAAAUGAAUUUCACUAGCACAAUGCAUGUAUCUCGAAAGUAGACUUACAGCAUGCAUUAUAUCGAGUCUUGUUGCAGUCAAGUACAUUAAGCAUCCAAUCAUGCUUCGAUAAAGUCCUUCAUCUACCUUUUUAGCACCGUCCUCCUUACAGAACUUCUCUUUCUGGUUCAUAGGGGUAGAUGUAGGUUUGCAUUCCUCCAUUUUGAAUUUCUUCAUAAUUUCUUUGGCAUAUUUUUGUUGGCAGAUGAAAAUCUCAUUCUGCUUCUGGUGUACUUCCAUUCCCAAGAAGUAAGACAUCUCAUCUAGGUCUGUCAUCUCAAAAACCUGCUCCAUUUCAGCCUUGAAUUUGUUCACAAACCCUGCAUUACUUCCUGUUACAAGCAAAUCAUCAACAUAUAGAGAAACAAUUAAUAUAUCUUCUUCAAUCUUCUUAAUGUAGAGUGUAAAUUCACUCAAGCUCUUGUGAAAGCCUAAAGUUAGCAGGUGAGUGUCAAUCCUGCUGUACCAAGCUCUAGGGGCUUGUCUUAACCCAUACAAGGCCUUCUUAAGAAGGUAUACUUUUUCUUCUUUUCCUUUGAUAGCAAAACCUUCUGGUUGUUCGACAAAAAUCUCUUCCUCUAAGUAGCCAUUCAAAAAUGCUGACUUCACAUCUAGUUGAUAAAUCUUCCAUUUUCUUUGAGCUACAAGAGCCAACAACAUCCUGAUUGUAUCCAAACGAGCUACUGGUGCAAAGGUUUCCGAAAAGUCAACACCAAACAUUUGUGCAUACCCUUUGACAACCAGCCUUGCUUUAUGUUUGUUUAUAGAACCAUCAGAGUUGAGUUUGGUUCUGUAAACCCACUUAACCCCAAUAGGUUUUUUGUGUGAAGGUCUAUCUACUAGCUCCCAAGUGUUGUUCUUGUCAAUCAUAUCUAGCUCCUCCUGCAUUGCAACCCUCCAUCUUUUAUUUUCAGCAGCUUCAACAAACCCUGCAAGUUCAAGAACAGCUAUAUUACACCUUUGAUAAAUAUCAAAAAGUGUCAUGAAACCUCUAACUGGAAGUUCAUCAACAUCUUCAUCAAUAUAUUGCUGAUUCUGCUCAUCCCAACUCCAUUUCUCCGUUUCCAAAAACUUAACAUCUCUACUUACCACAAUUUUACUAUUUUGUGGCAAGUAGAUUCUGUAAGCUUUUGAGGUGCUGUUGUAUCCAAUGAAAAUUCCUGGUUCUGACUUUUUAUCUAGCUUGUCUCUUUUCACCUGAGGAACAUAAGAGAAACACAAGCAACCAAAGGUCUUUAAAUUCAUUAGCAUAGGCUUAUAAGCAAACCAGGCCUCAAAAGGUGUCUGUUUCUGCAAUGCUUUUGUUGGUAGUCUAUUUAGCAAAAAUACUACUGUAUUUGCAGCUUCAACCCAAAAACUUUUUGGCAGCUCUUUCUCAUGCAAAAGACAUCUUGUCAUUGAUUACUACUCAAAAAGUGCUAUUUGAUAGCCUUUAAUUAAUCCUUUUUAACACUUUUGAGUAGUAGUUUAGGCCUUUUAACUCAAUUGGCAUGUUAAGGAUCCUUUAAAGCAAUUUUGAUCACUUUGUGCAAGUUUUGGUGUUUUUGUUAGUAUUUCGAUCACCAAAGCAAGUCAAGAAUGAGGAGAGCUAUGAGGAAUCUUGGGCAAAGCUUAGAAUUCAAUUGCCAAGAGUGAAUCCGGAUUGCAAGGAGAAAAAGCAAAGAGGAUCAGUCAUGGAGCAUAUUCUUGAUGACAGUCGUAGCAGCCACUUUUGGAUCACUUUCUGAAGUCCAAAUGAUGCAAGCUAUAUACCAUUUCAAAGCUCAGGAAGUCAACAAUCCAAUGCUUCAAACGGUGUGCGAUUCGGAAUUGAAACGAAGAAGUUGCAGCCAUUACAAGCCAGACACUCUAAAGUGUUGCGGAAUCAGCCAUGUGUUGCGAGAAUUUCGCAGCACUUUUGUACAGUAAGGUGUUUCUCCUUCUAACGAUGCACGAACCAUGCCGCGAGAAGGGAGCUGGAAACUUCAAGAUGGAAGCCAACUUUGCAGCCUAGUGAAGAUAGCUCGGUCUUGCAAGAUAAUUUCGCAGCCCUCUUGGGUGUCUGCGAAAUUUCGCAGGCCUCAUUUUUCACCUGCGAAAUGGCUCUUGAAGCCUCCCGAAGCUUGCUACCGACAUUGGGAGAUAUUUUCCAUUAGAUUUUUGUUGUCUAAAUCCCAAAAUACUCCUUGUAAACCACCAAUUACAUGAUUCCUUAGUUUUUAAGUUAGUAAAAAGACCAAAUAUCUUUGUAACAAUUAGUUUUAUAUUUUGUUGUUAUAAAUACCUCUCGGGAGCCUGUUCUCAGGGAGGAGUUCCUUCUGUAAACGUUUGGUAAGCAAGUAAAGUCUAUUUUCUUUCUACUGCCUUACCUUCUCACUUUGUAUUUUCAUUUUAUUUCUAAGUUAUGAAUUCUCUGAGGAGUUUUCCCCAAAGAAUGAGUAACUAAACCUCCAAUUCCUUGGAGCUAAGGUUGCCGGGGAAGGUUCCAAGUGCAAGAAUGCAAAGCUCUGUGGUUUUAGCUAGUAAUGAAGAGGAAGUGAAAUCCUUUAGUGAUUUCAAUGUUUUUAGUUAACUUAAAACACUUUGGAGUCACCUGGGCCAACACUUGGUAAGGCAAGUGAUUUCCAACCAUGGAAAUGCACUAGUUUACCCCUUGCGAGCCUCUGGUAGGUGACUUCAAGGUAGGAUUUUCUGGAAUUACCAACACUUGGUAAGCUUUUGGACUCCUAGGAGACAUCCAUUAGUUAUCUCUUGCGAGUUUGUGAAGGGAAUCCAAGGUUAAAGAUCACCUUGAAUGGUAAGUGCUCGUGAGAGGCAUGAACCAUUGCAAGUUGUAUCAGUGAGAGAAUUAAAGUGAAAUCUAAUUGAAGGAGUCUUUGUACAUCACCGGUUAGAGAAUUGACUAUAAGUUGAAUCUCUAAUGCGAGGAAAUGAACCAACUGACCAGAGCCGUGUCUUUUGCAUGAGGAACCACCCCAGUGAACCUAAAUCUCCAAGGAAUGUUUUUUUCUUCCUAAAUUAUUCCAAACUUCUGUUAAGUUAGUUAGUUUAAAUCUCAACCUUUACAAAUCAAAGUUUGUGUUUUAUUCCUUAAGCUAACCGUGAAAUGAAACAAGACCAAUUCACUUGGAAUUGGUAUCAUUGAUUGCCUGCAAAUCAUUCCCAGUGAACGAUCCUAGAGCCACUAUACUAUAGUAGCUUUGUAUUUGCUACCCUAGUGUAUGGUGUUAUAGGUAUAAAUUUUGUUGAUCACUUCCUCAAUCAAGGAGCACCAGCUGAACACAAAUCAGCUGAGACACCAAUUAGGCAUGAGUCAAAUGGCGCCGUUGCCGGGGAAUGAAUGUCAAGUUCAUUGUGAUACCAUUGUUGAGCACUUGUGAUUUUCAUCACAAGUUGGUAAAGUUUCUUUCACUUUACUAAUUUUCAUUCUUUCUUUGUUUAUUUACAAUCUAAGUUUAUCUUUUUAAAUUUUAGUCUAGUUUAAUUUUGUUGUUGUAGCCCUGUUUUUCUUGUUGUCCUCUGUUUUCAUUUUUUUUUUCAGGUAGAUACUAGUUGUGUAUGCCCAAGUGGAUACGAGACAUAGGAGGUAGGCUUGUUAAGUGUGAUACACCUCAGAAAGGAGAAUUUGAAGUAAUCUUGAAUAUCAUGGAGGCUGCACCUGAAGAUCAGCAUAGUCACCAAGGUCGUCAAGACAAUCUCAAUGAAUUCAGAUCAAUGAGGGACCGUAUGCAUCCACCUCGUAUGAGUACACCAUCAUGUAUAGUGCCCCCUACAGAGCAGCUAGUGAUCAGACCAUAUCUUGUUCCACUUCUACCAACUUUCCAUGGGAUGGAAAGUGAGAAUCCGUAUGCACACAUCAAGGAAUUUGAAGAUGUUUGUAAUACAUUCCAAGAAGGAGGAGCUUCAAUUGACUUGAUGAGGCUUAAGUUAUUUCCUUUUACUUUAAAGGAUAAGGCCAAAAUUUGGCUUAAUUCUUUAAGGCCAAGGAGUAUCCGCUCUUGGACUGAUUUACAAGCUGAGUUCCUUAAGAAAUUUUUUCCUACUCAUAGAACAAAUGGCUUGAAAAGGCAAAUUUCAAACUUCUCAGCUAAAGAGAAUGAGAAAUUCUAUGAGUGUUGGGAAAGAUACAUGGAAGCUAUAAAUGCUUGUCCUCACCAUGGCUUUGAUACUUGGCUAUUGGUGAGCUAUUUUUAUGAUGGUAUGUCCUCCUCAAUGAAGCAACUCCUCGAGACAAUGUGUGGAGGAGAUUUCAUGAGCAAAAAUCCAGAGGAAGCUAUGGAUUUCUUGAGCUAUGUAGCUGAUGUUUCAAGGGGAUGGGAUGAACCAACUAAAGGAGAAGUGGGAAAGAUGAAGUCUCAGUUGAAUGCUUACAAUGCAAAGGCUGGGAUGUAUAAUUUGAAAGAAGAUGAUGACAUGAAAGCAAAGUUGGCAGCUAUGACAAGAAGAUUGGAGGAGCUGGAGCUGAAAAGAAUGCAUGAAGUGCAAGCUGUUGCUGAAGCACCAGUGCAAGUGAAGCUGUGUCCCAAUUGUCAAUCAUUUGAACAUUUGGUGGAGGAGUGCCCUGCAAUUUCAGUUGAAAGGGAAAUGUAUAGAGAUCAAGCAAAUGUUGUUGGACAAUUUAGGCCCAAUAACAAUGCUCCUUAUGGAAAUACCUACAAUUCAAGUUGGAGGAAUCAUCCAAAUUUCUCAUAGAAGGCCAGAGCAACUCAAUACCAACAGCCGGAUCCACCAUCUCAGCAAUCUUCAAGUAUUGAACAAAUAAUAGCCAAUCUCAGCAAGGUAGUGGGAGAUUUUGUGGGAAAGCAAGAAGCCACCAAUGCUCGAGUUGAUCAAAGAAUGGAUAGAAUGGAGAGUGUGUUGAACAAAAGAAUGGAUGGAAUGCAAAAUGAUAUGAACCAAAAGUUUGAUAACAUCCAAUAUUCAAUUUCAAGGCUUACAAAUUUGAAUACACUGCAAGAAAAAGGAAGAUUUCCUUCUCAACCUAACCAAAAUCCCAAAGGUGUCCAUGAAGUGGAAAGCCAUGAGGGAGAAUCAUCACAGGUGAAAGAUGUGAAAGCUUUGAUCACUCUAAGGAGUGGUAAGAAAAUUGAGCAGCCAACACCCAUGCCACAUGUUGAGAAAGAAGAAGGGAUAAAGAAAGGAAAGGAAAUAGAAGAUAAAGACAGUGAGAUCAGUGAAGAAAAGAAGGACUCUGAUUCAACAAUCAAAGCAAUUCCAGAGAAAGAGCUUCUGAAGGAAGAAAUGCUGAAGAAAUCAACUUUUCCACCUUUUCCUCAAGCAUUACAGGGGAAAAAGGGGGUUAGAAAUGCAGCUGAAAUCCUUGAAGUCUUAAGACAAGUAAAAGUUAAUAUUCCACUGCUGGAUAUGAUCAAACAAGUUCCAACGUAUGCAAAAUUCCUAAAGGACUUGUGUACUAUCAAAAGAGGGGUUGACUGUAAACAAGAAAGCCUUCUUGACUGAGCAAGUAAGUGCAAUCUUACAAUGCAAGUCUCCUUUGAAGUACAAAGACCCUGGAAGUCCUACCAUUUCAGUCAUGAUUGGAGGAAAGGUAGUGGAGAAAGCCUUGCUAGACUUGGGAGCAAGUGUGAAUUUGCUUCCAUACUCUGUCUACAAGCAACUGGGACUUGGAGAGUUGAAGCCAACAGCAAUCACUUUAUCUUUGGCAGAUAGAUCAGUGAAAAUUCCAAGAGGAGUAAUUGAGGAUGUAUUGGUUCAAGUGGAUAAUUUCUACUAUCCAGUAGAUUUUGUUGUUCUUGAUACUGAUCCAACUGUAAAGGAAGCUAAUUUAGUUCCUAUCAUCCUUGGAAGGCCAUUUCUUGCAACUUCAAAUGCAAUCAUCAACUGUAGAAAUGGGCUUAUGCAACUCACUUUUGGUAACAUGACACUGGAUCUCAAUAUUUUCUAUAUGUCUAAAAAGCAAAUCACUCCUGAGGAAGAAGAAGGUCCAGAAGAGCUAUGUAUUAUUGAUACUUUGGUGGAGGAGCACUGCAAUCAGCAUAUGCAAGAUAAGUUGAAUGAAAGUCUUGUGGAUAUUGAGGAAGGUUUUUCUGAAUCUCCUAUUGGGCUUGCUACUCUACAAAGUUGGAGAAAGAUAGAAGGAAUUCUACCUUUGUUCAAUGAAAAAGAGGAGGCAACUGUUGAAGAAGAAAUUCCAAAACUCAAUUUGAAGCCUUUACCUGUGGAGCUGAAAUAUACAUAUCUUGAAGCAAAUAAUCAAUGUCCUGUUGUGAUAUCCUCAUCUCUGACCAGUCAUCAAGAGAAUUGUUUAAUGGAAGUUCUCAUGAGGUGUAAGAAGGCAAUAGGAUGGCAAAUAUCUGACUUGAAAGGCAUUAGUCCUUUAGUUUGUACUCAUCAUAUAUAUAUGGAGGAGGAAGCAAAGCCAAUUCGUCAAUUUCAAAGAAGGUUGAAUCCUCAUCUACAAGAGGUGGUGCGAGCUGAGGUGCUGAAGCUACUUCAAGCAGGAAUCAUUUACCCUAUUUCUGAUAGCCCUUGGGUGAGUCCUACUCAAGUGGUACCAAAGAAGUCAGGGAUCACAGUGAUUCAAAAUGAAAAAGGGGAAGAAAUUACUACACGCCUCACUUCAGGUUGGAGGGUGUGUAUUGAUUAUAGAAAGCUGAAUGCUGUCACCAGGAAGGAUCAUUUUCCAUUGCCAUUUAUUGAUCAAGUGCUGGAGAGAGUCUCUGGACAUCCAUUUUAUUGUUUCUUGGAUGGGUAUUCAGGCUAUUUUCAAAUUGAAAUUGAUUUGGCAGAUCAGGAAAAGACCACUUUUACAUGUCCAUUUGGAACAUUUGCUUAUAGAAGAAUGCCUUUUGGUUUAUGCAAUGCACCUGCUACAUUUCAAAGAUGUAUGUUGAGUAUUUUCAGUGAUAUGGUGGAGAGAAUUAUGGAGGUUUUCAUGGAUGACAUCACCGUAUAUGGAGGUACAUUUGAGGAGUGCUUGGUUAAUUUGGAAGCAGUUCUUCAUAGAUGCAUUGAAAAAGAUUUGGUGCUGAACUGGGAGAAAUGCCAUUUUAUGGUACGUCAAGGAAUUGUCCUUGGCCAUAUCAUCUCUGAAAGAGGCAUUGAAGUUGAUAAAGCAAAGGUGGAGCUUAUUGCCAAAUUACCAUCUCCAACAACUGUGAAAGGAGUAAGACAGUUCCUUGGCCAUGCAGGGUUCUAUAGGAGGUUUAUAAAAGGUUUUUCAAGUCUUUCAAAACCUCUUUGUGAGCUGUUAGCUAAGGAUGCUAAGUUUAUAUGGGAUGAAAGGUGUCAGCAUAGCUUUGAUCAACUGAAGAAGUUUUUAACAACAACUCCAAUAGUGAGAGCCCCUAACUGGCAAUUACCUUUUGAACUGAUGUGUGAUGCCAGUGACUUUGCUAUAGGAGCUGUGCUUGGCCAAAGAGAAGAUGGGAAGCCCUAUGUGAUUUACUAUGCAAGUAAAACACUAAAUGAAGCUCAGAGGAACUACACAACUACAGAGAAAGAAUUGUUAGCUGUGGUAUUUGCUUUGGACAAAUUUCGAGCUUAUUUAGUGGGGUCUUUCAUCAUUGUCUUCACUGACCAUUCAGCCUUGAAGUAUUUAUUGACAAAGCAAGAUGCAAAAGCAAGGUUGAUUAGAUGGAUUCUAUUGUUACAAGAGUUCGAUCUUCAAAUCAAAGAUAAGAAAGGAGUGGAGAAUGUAGUAGCUGACCACUUGUCAAGGUUAGUUAUAGCACAUAAUUCCCAUCCCUUGCCUAUCAAUGAUGAUUUUCCUGAAGAAUCACUCAUGUUCCUAGUGAAAACUCCUUGGUAUGCUCAUAUUGCUAAUUAUUUAGUAACUGGGGAAAUUCCAAGUGAGUGGAAUGCACAGGACAGGAAGCACUUCUUUGCCAAAAUUCAUGCUUAUUAUUGGGAAGAGCCCUUUCUCUUUAAGUAUUGUGCAGAUCAGAUUAUUAGGAAGUGUGUCCCUGAAGAUGAGCAGCAAGGGAUUCUAUCUCAGUGUCAUGAGAAUGCAUGUGGAGGCCACUUUGCCUCUCAGAAAACAGCCAUGAAGGUAUUACAAUCAGGGUUUACUUGGCCAUCUCUUUUCAAAGAUGCCCACAUCAUGUGUAGAAAUUGUGAUAGAUGCCAAAGGCUUGGAAAGCUAACAAAAAGAAAUCAAAUGCCUAUGAACCCCAUUCUGAUAGUUGAGAUAUUUGAUGUUUAGGGCAUUGACUUCAUGGGACCUUUCCCAAUGUCUUUUGGUAAUUCUUACAUUUUGGUGGGGGUAAAUUAUGUUUCUAAAUGGGUUGAGGCAAUCCCCUGUAAGCAAAAUGAUCACAGGGUGGUUCUCAAGUUUCUUAAAGAGAACAUUUUCUCAAGAUUUGGGGUGCCCAAGGCCAUAAUCAGUGAUGGAGGAGCUCAUUUUUGCAACAAACCUUUUGAAGCUCUGUUAUCCAAGUAUGGAGUGAAGCAUAAGGUAGCCACACCUUAUCAUCCUCAGACAUCCGGGCAAGUUGAGCUAGCUAACAGGGAAAUAAAGAACAUUUUGAUGAAAGUGGUGAAUUCCAACAGAAAAGAUUGGUCUAUUAGGCUUCAUGAUUCAUUGUGGGCAUAUAGAACAGCUUAUAAAACUAUUCUUGGGAUGUCUCCCUAUCGUCUUGUCUAUGGCAAAGCAUGCCAUCUCCCUGUGGAAGUUGAAUACAAAGCUUGGUGGGCAAUAAAGAAGCUGAAUAUGGACUUGAUCAAGGCCGGAGAAAAGAGAUUUCUAGACCUUAAUGAGAUGGAGGAAUUAAGAAAUAAUGCUUAUAUCAAUUCCAAAGUUGCAAAACAGAGGAUGAAGAAGUGGCAUGAUCAACUCAUCUCCAACAAGGAAUUUCAGGAAGGGCAAAAAGUUUUGAUGUAUGACACAAGACUCCAUAUCUUUCCUGGGAAGCUCAAAUCAAGGUGGAUUGGUCCAUUUGUUAUUCACCGAGUAUAUUCCAAUGGAGUGGUGGACUUAUUGAAUUCCAAUGGCAAGGAUAGCUUUAAAGUCAAUGGAUAUCGUCUCAAGCCGUUCAUGGAGUCAUUCAAAUCAGAAAAGGAGGCAAUCAACCUCCUUGAACCUCAAAAAGCCUAAGUGAAAAGGGUUUGCUGGACGUGGCUUUACCACAGUCCAAAAUUUUUGUAAAUUUUGUAAAUUUUCAAGUUGUUUCUAUACUUUUGAUUUUAGUUUUUGAUCUUAAAUCAUGUUUUUAGGUGUGUUUUAAUCGUUUUAAAUGAUCCCAGGUGGAAGAAAUUUCAAGGGGAUUGAAAGAAAAAAAAUCGGGUCGAAAUUGGAGCCGAAACAGAGCAAAAACAGGGGAAAAACAGAGCUCUGCGAAAUUUCGCAGGGUGAAGGAAACCUCUGCGAAAUGAGCAUUUUGUUGCGAAACCAUUCCGCAGCACUGUAGAAGCCUCUGCGAGUGUAUUUCGCAGCUGCGAAAGUGAAUUUGGCACACGAGUGCCACUUCGCAGUACAGUAGCAUCCAUUUGGCAGCUGCGAAACUCAUUGCGAAAUGGAAAAGCGUGAUUUCGCACCAAAAGUCCCAUUCCGCAGGGUAUUUCGCAAUUGCGAAAGUGGUUUUGGCACACGAGUGCCACUCCGCAGCACAGUAACAUCAAUUUCGCAGCUGCGAAACUCACUGCGAAGUUGCUGCGAAAAUGGCAAGUUGCUGCGAAAUUGGCGUUUAGUUGCGAAACUUAAACUGACCCCUGAGCUUCCGUUUUUCCUAUUUAUACCGGUCAAAAGUGCUGCGAAAAGGGUUUCAAAAAUCAGAGCACCAUUCUCGCAGCCCCUUCAUCUUCUUCGCCAAGCCACGCCGUCCGAACCUCCGGUCGUCUUCUCCGUUUAGCAGCGCCGGCCAAAGAUCGAUAUUCCAAAAUGGCACGAACGCGAGGGGCAAAAUCUUCAUCCCCUUCGAAUCGCAAAAGGAGUCUGCGAAAGGAGCCAAGUCCAGGUUCUGCUCCAGAACCUGCUCCAAAGCCUUCGCCGUCGAGACCACAACCUUCUCCAGUGAAGCCGGCGCCACUAAAGCCGCCGGCAAGACGAUAUUUGACAAGGUCAGGCGGUUGGCCAUUGAAGAAGAAGCCCAGGGUUGAGAGCUCUGAACCAAUUGAUUUGACUGAGCAAUCCCCUGAGCAGUCCCCAAAUCCUUCACCAGUUCAAACUCCAGUGCCGUCACCGGUUCCCUCGCCAAUUCCCUCACCUGAAGCAACUCCAAUUCCAUCGUCGGUACCAUCUCCGGCACCCCAAGAAAAAGCUCAGGAGCCUCAAGCGCCAAUUCCAGAGCCCCAAAUUGCAGCUGAAGCACCUCUGGAAGAAGUGAUCCGAAGGCCAAUGCUGCCCCAGCCCCCAAUCGAAGGAAACUUGGAUUGUCGAACACGGGCAUUCCAUUCUGAGCUUUGCUUCGAUUUAACAGCAUUCAGAGUGAGGCCAGAGCUUGCCCAAUCCUUCCAGCUGCUGAGGAGAUAUCAUAUGGAGCAUCUGCUAGCUCCAAGGGAUUUUUUCUAUCCCCGGGUAGUCACGGACUUCUACCAGACCAUGACAACCAAAGAAGUAAGAAAUCCAACUCUGAUCCAUUUCAUAAUUGAUGGAAGGCAUGGUAUUUUGGGAGCAAGACACAUUGCUGAAGCUCUGCAAAUUCCUUUUGAGCCAACCCAAUUCGACAAUUUUAAAGCUUGGGUAAAUCCUACUGAGUUAGAGAUGGUUCGCACACUAACCAGAGGAGCUGCAAAUCGAUCACACCUGUUGAGGGGGGAGCUACCUCCAGUGAUGUUUUUGAUUGAUGCCUUUUUGAGGCAUAAUAUCUAUCCCCUGCAGCAUUGGACCCAAAGAAGGGGAAUUCUCCUGGAAGCUUUGUACAAGAUGUCAGAAGGAUUCUUCUUUGGGCCCCAUCAUCUUAUCAUGGCAGCCCUUCUAUACUUUGAGGAAAAGGUUCACAAGAAGAAACUUCAAAGAGCAGAUUGCAUUCCACUCCUCUUCCCAAGGCUGCUAUGCCAAGUUUUGGAGCAUCUCGGAUACCCCUCUGAGCCUCAGCAGGAAAGAAAGAGAAUAUGCCGUGAGCCAUUUACUCUUGAUAAAUGGAAUAAUAUGACGGCCUACAAAAUUGAUCAGCCUGGGCAGCCUCAGCCAGCAGCAAGGAGAGCCUCCCCAAGACAUGCACCUGAAGGUAUAACACUUGCUACUCCUGCCAUCCCUCGAGCUUCACCAGCUGCACCUGCUGCAUCACAGCCAUCCACAUCAGCUGAGCCGAGGAUGGCCAUCCCUAUAUCCGAAUAUCGAGAGCUGUGCCGAGCAUUGGAGACUCUUACAGCUUCCCAGAGCAAUCUUGCUCAAGAGUUGGCAGCCAUCAAAGCAUGCCAGGAGCAGAUGUUAGCCUCUCAGGCUCAACAAGCUGCCAUCCUAAGGCAGCUUCAAGUCCAUUUCGAUCUGCCACAAGCUGUAGAGCCCUCCACUGAGACUCCACCAGAGCCACACUCUCAGCCUUCAGAGUCUCUUCCUCCAGAGCCAGAAGCCCCAACUGAUCCACCUACAGAGGAGGCGGAUCCUUCUGCUUAGCACCAUCACCCCACUCAUCAGACAUUAUAUAUAUUUGCUGUUUAUGUUUUUAUGCAUGUUUGUUUUGUUUUAGUUGAAAUGAAAUCCCAGUAUUUUGGUACUAUAUAUGGGAUUCCUUGUGAUUACUUGUCCUUAGCAUUGUACUCGAAUGAAUUGAAAGUAAUACAAGUUGAAUUUUUCUUGUUAAAAGUUAGCAUUAAAAUUCUCCUUAUUUCCUUUUCUCACAUAUUCUAUUCUUUUUGAAACAUGUGGUUUUCCCCAAUCAAUAUUCGAAUUUGAUAUCAGCAUGGAGGUACCACUUCCUCCCUUUUAUUACAGUCACUCAAAUCACAUUGAGGACAAUGCUCAGUUCGGUUGGGGGGUAUGAGGAAGGAAGUAUUCUAAAUCUUUUUGGUAUUGCAAUUAUAUUGGUUAAUUAGUUGUAGAUUUUACGUUUUACUCUUGUUACUCUAUUCUCCAUGAAUUUUGAGGAAAAAUUUUCAAAUUAAACCAAGAGAAAUUGAACUGUUGUUUUUCACUUGACUUAGAGUAUGGAUUAUGCUUACUAAAGUGGUUCAAUUGUUGAAACUUCUACUGAAAUUGAAUUGAGUUCUUCCAUUUUAAGCUAUCCACACACUGUGCACAUUAGUUUCUGAUUAUAAGAUGAAAAGCUAUUUCCCUCUUGACUUAGGAUAAUUUUGGGACUUGGUAUAUUUGACCUCAUUUGAUAAAAAUUGAAACACCCUGCAAAAGGCCAAUGAGCCUUUGAAAUAAAGAAAGAUGUUUGCUUGCCUUGAAACCCGAGCAAGGUCUGAGGGGCAUAUGGUGAAAGCCUUUAAAGCCUGGUGCCCUAAGCCUUAAUUGGUUGGGAGUCACCGACCUCAAUGCUCGUUACAAGGGUGAAUAGGUAGAGCUAGCAUAUGGUAGAUGCUUGGGUAUUAGAAAUUCAUUCUUAAAAGUCCAGGGAAAAAUCCGAGGAGUUAGUGGUUGAAAGAUCCUUAAAACUUGGUGCCCUAAACCUUAAUUGGUUGGGAGUCAUCGAUGGACCCCCAUUACAUGGACAAGUCAGAAAGAGUACCCCAUAAAGCUACUUUAAAAAAAAAAAAAAAAAAAAAAAAAAGAUGAUGAAAGUGUGUUCUUUUCUUAUUGAUUUUGGUCAGAUUGCUAAAGUGUUGAAAAGAGAUAGGUUGGGGGGGGAGACUAGUUUAGCAUAUUAUUCUCGGAAUCUAAGGAACCAAUACACAUAGAUUUUUGUGGAAGAUUGAAGUUUAGUUCUUAGAAAGUGAAAUGAUUUUAAAACUUCAGUUUGCAUAAUGCACUCCCUUGAUUGACAGUGUUUAGCAUAGGUGUUAUGACUCUUGUUGAGAUUUGGGUUUGUAUUUCUUUAAUGAUUCAUGUGAGAAGUAAAUCAUCAUGCCACUUAAGAAUUAUUUUCCUUUCAGCAUGAUGUUGUAAAUUUUAGAUUAGUUUGCUAUUUAUUUUUAUUUUUCUCUCCUUUAUUGCUAAGGGACUAGCAAUAUGUCGGUUGGGGGGAGUGAUUACUACUCAAAAAGUGCUAUUUGAUAGCCUUUAAUUAAUCCUUUUUAACACUUUUGAGUAGUAGUUUAGGCCUUUUAACUCAAUUGGCAUGUUAAGGAUCCUUUAAAGCAAUUUUGAUCACUUUGUGCAAGUUUUGGUGUUUUUGUUAGUAUUUCGAUCACCAAAGCAAGUCAAGAAUGAGGAGAGCUAUGAGGAAUCUUGGGCAAAGCUUAGAAUUCAAUUGCCAAGAGUGAAUCCGGAUUGCAAGGAGAAAAAGCAAAGAGGAUCAGUCAUGGAGCAUAUUCUUGAUGACAGUCGUAGCAGCCACUUUUGGAGCACUUUCUGAAGUCCAAAUGAUGCAAGCUAUAUACCAUUUCAAAGCUCAGGAAGUCAACAAUCCAAUGCUUCAAACGGUGUGCGAUUCGGAAUUGAAACGAAGAAGUUGCAGCCAUUACAAGCCAGACACUCUAAAGUGUUGCGGAAUCAGCCAUGUGUUGCGAGAAUUUCGCAGCACUUUUGUACAGUAAGGUGUUUCUCCUUCUAACGAUGCACGAACCAUGCCGCGAGAAGGGAGCUGGAAACUUCAAGAUGGAAGCCAACUUGGCAGCCUAGUGAAGAUAGCUCGGUCUUGCAAGAUAAUUUCGCAGCCCUCUUGGGUGUCUGCGAAAUUUCGCAGGCCUCAUUUUUCACCUGCGAAAUGGCUCCUGAAGCCUCCCGAAGCUUGCUACCGACAUUGGGAGAUAUUUUCCAUUAGAUUUUUGUUGUCUAAAUCCCAAAAUACUCCUUGUAAACCACCAAUUACAUGAUUCCUUAGUUUUUAAGUUAGUAAAAAGACCAAAUAUCUUUGUAACAAUUAGUUUUAUAUUUUGUUGUUAUAAAUACCUCUCGGGAGCCUGUUCUCAGGGAGGAGUUCCUUCUGUAAACGUUUGGUAAGCAAGUAAAGUCUAUUUUCUUUCUACUGCCUUACCUUCUCACUUUGUAUUUUCAUUUUAUUUCUAAGUUAUGAAUUCUCUGAGGAGUUUUCCCCAAAGAAUGAGUAACUAAACCUCCAAUUCCUUGGAGCUAAGGUUGCCGGGGAAGGUUCCAAGUGCAAGAAUGCAAAGCUCUGUGGUUUUAGCUAGUAAUGAAGAGGAAGUGAAAUCCUUUAGUGAUUUCAAUGUUUUUAGUUAACUUAAAACACUUUGGAGUCACCUGGGCCAACACUUGGUAAGGCAAGUGAUUUCCAACCAUGGAAAUGCACUAGUUUACCCCUUGCGAGCCUCUGGUAGGUGACUUCAAGGUAGGAUUUUCUGGAAUUACCAACACUUGGUAAGCUUUUGGACUCCUAGGAGACAUCCAUUAGUUAUCUCUUGCGAGUUUGUGAAGGGAAUCCAAGGUUAAAGAUCACCUUGAAUGGUAAGUGCUCGUGAGAGGCAUGAACCAUUGCAAGUUGUAUCAGUGAGAGAAUUAAAGUGAAAUCUAAUUGAAGGAGUCUUUGUACAUCACCGGUUAGAGAAUUGACUAUAAGUUGAAUCUCUAAUGCGAGGAAAUGAACCAACUGACCAGAGCCGUGUCUUUUGCAUGAGGAACCACCCCAGUGAACCUAAAUCUCCAAGGAAUGUUUUUUUCUUCCUAAAUUAUUCCAAACUUCUGUUAAGUUAGUUAGUUUAAAUCUCAACCUUUACAAAUCAAAGUUUGUGUUUUAUUCCUUAAGCUAACCGUGAAAUGAAACAAGACCAAUUCACUUGGAAUUGGUAUCAUUGAUUGCCUGCAAAUCAUUCCCAAUGAACGAUCCUAGAGCCACUAUACUAUAGUAGCUUUGUAUUUACUACCCUAGUGUAUGGUGUUAUAGGUAUAAAUUUUGUUGAUCACUUCCUCAAUCAAGGAGCACCAGCUGAACACAAAUCAGCUGAGACACCAAUUAGGCAUGAGUCAGUCAUCUCCAUUAUUGUUUUAUUUUUUCUUUCCACCACCCCAUUUUGUUGUGGGGUGUAUGGUGCAAUGAGCUGGUGAUCUAUGCCUGCAUCUUCACAAAAUUUGUUGAAUUUUUCUGAAGUAUAUUCUGUACCAUUAUUCGACCUUAUAACCUUGAUUCUGUAUUCACUUUGAUUUUCAACCAUGGCCUUAUAUCUCAAAAACACAUCAGCAACCUCAGCUUUGUAAGUGAGAAAAUAAAUCCAACAAAAUCUUGUGAAGUCAUCAAUAAAUGCAAUAUAGUACUUACUCCCUUUCAAAGAUGGUGUCUUUUGAGGUCCACUCACAUCUGUGUGAACCAAUUGUAGUUUCUGUGUUGAUUUCCAUGCUGCUUUUUGAGGAAAAGGAAGUCUUGUUUGCUUCCCAUAUUGAUAGGCUGCACAUAUAGGAAGUUCUUCUUCCAAAUCAGGGAGUCCUUCUACAAUCUAAUUCUUCUUCAUGUAGAGCACGGUAUUGUGGUGGAAAUGCCCUAAUCUUUUAUGCCAAAGCAUUGUAUUGUUCUCGUGUUGUGCAGCAGUAAUUUGCUCAUCUUCUAACAUAUUUAAGGCAAAACUUUUGCCUUUCAUUUUUAUGUUGAACACCUCUUUGCCUUCAGCAUCCUUGAUUAUGCAAUUUUUGUCUUCAAAACAAACUUUAAACCCUUUCUCAACAAGCUGUCCAACACUUAGCAAAUUUUGGUCAAUGUCAGGCACAAACAAAACAUCAGAAAUGAGCUUUAAACCUGUUAGGCUUUCAAUAGCUAAUGUUCUUUUACCUUUUACUGGAAUAUACUCACCAUUUCCUAUUCUAACUUUGGAAAUAGUUGUCCUAUCAAUCUCCCUAAAGCGAUCUUGAUCAUGUCAUGUGGUUUGUGCAACCACUGUCCACGAGCCAGCUUUCAGAGGUGCUACCGUUUGCAAAACAUGUUGCUGAAAAUAGUUGUUCCUCCUGGUAUUGUUCAGCUGCUACAUUGGUUUCUCCCUGCUGCUGCUGAGUUCUACAGAUCCUUUCUAUGUGUCCAUGUCUACCACAUUUGUUGCAUUUCACAUCUGGUCUCCACCAACAUUUUUGUUGAGGAUGAUUUGUUUUCUUGCAAUGAGGACAGGGUGGAUAGGUUCCAGUUUUUUUAUUGUUGUUGUUGCUUGGCUUAUUGUUGUUCUUUUUGUUCUUCCUCCUUCUUGUGUUACCUUCAUUGGUCUGUGUCUUUGCUUGAAAAGCUCCUUCUACAGAACUUCCUUGCCUCAUGAGUCUUCUUUGUUCCAAAGCUUGUAAAGCAUUUAGUAGUUCUGCCAAGGUGAUACUUGACAAAUCUUUUGUGUUUUCCAAAGAAGAAAUUGUAGCUUCAUAUUUUUCAGGAAUUGUGACAAAAUUGUUUUGAACAACUCUUUCAUCAGAAAACUCUUUACCUAGCAACCUCACCUUGUUUGCUAUGGUAAGAAGUUGUUCUGCAUAAUCUUUUAUGGUUUGAGACUCUUUCAUCCUCACCAUUUCAAAUUCUCGAAUUAGAUUCAUUACCUGCACAUUUCUGACUCUUUCAUUGCCUUGAUAUUCUUCCCGUAGAUGCUUCCAGAUUUCUGCAACAGAUUCAAGUUGCAUGAUUCUGGUGAGAAUUAAUGGUGAGACUACAGAAAAUAAGCAAGCCUUGGCCUUAGCCUUCCUCGUCUUUUUCUCCUUAUGGUUUUUCAUCUGUGACACAGUUGGAUUGGCUCCAAGUGGAGAAAUUUCAUAAUCUUCCUCUAUUGCUUCCCAGACAUCAAGAGCCUGUAGAUGAACAGUCAUCCUGACAGCCUAAGUUUGGUAAUUUUCUCCAUUGAAGACUAGUGGUGCUGCUGUGAAGCUUGCUUCUUCCAUUUCUGCAAGGUUUUCAGAUUCAGGUUUGGUAUACGGUGUUUAGGCUCACACACCUCACUGGUCCCUCAAGACAAAAAUUGCUCUGAUACCAAACUGUUGGAAGCAGGCGAGGUUAACACACCAAGCAACAGAGAACAGAGAUAUGCUGCUACUGAUCUAUAUUUUUUAUUUGAUCAUAAGGCUGAAUUUAUACAGAUUGUGUAACAUAUAUGACCUCAAAAAAAGCAUCAAAUCAAGCUACUUGUUGAACAAAAAACUACCUCCUACAAAAUAGCAUCAGAAUUUAACUUAAAAGCAAAAACAUAAUAAUAGCAACAGCAAAAACAGAAACAUAAAAAUAGCUUCAACAUUCUAGUAAUCUCAUUGACUUCAAUUGCAUGUGGUUGACGAUUUCAGCCUUUUCCUCAGCAGCUACUAAGGCAUAACUCUCAACAGGGCCUCUUAAUUUCCAUUCUGGCAUCUAUAUGACCUGAUAAAUAGAAAGAAAAAAAAACAGAAGAAAAGCGGCACCUGGGUUCAUAGUAAGCAUCAAGACAGGAUGCUGAAAGAAGGGAGAGAGGAGAUUGCAAGUCCAAUCCUGAUAAAAUAUCAACAAAGAGUAUUAAAUGGGGCCAACAUAAAGACCCAUUAAGGUCAGCAGAUGGCAUGGCAUUUUUCUCCUUAAGUUUUCCAUGAUUAGGCUUGAAGUCAAAAUUUCACAUGUAAAUUUGUAUUUCUACAUUUCCCACUGACGACACCCAACUUCAACUUGAGUUAGAAUAACAUUGUGUGAACUUAUCUGGCCCUCAAAAUUUACUGUGAAGUGCUUUCUGCGUGUGAAGAUUCAGAAAAGCACCAAGGGAACAUGUAUGGUCUGCCUUUUUCUGAUGUUAUGUUUGUCUCUAAUUCUGUUCCAUGUCAUGGUAAAUGUUCACAUUGCUUGUAUGGAACACACCAGGAUCACUUUUUCAGGUUUAGGGGGAUACAAAAGGCUUCAUAUUGGGUUCAAUGCUUUUAAUGUGUUCAUUGGACAAAUCUGAAUUAUCAUACGCAUUUAGAUAAGAACAAUAAUGUGAAACCCUAGUUACACCUCCCCUGCAUAACCCCAACCCUGCUUGCUCUAUUUCAGUUUACUCACAAGUUUUACUGGUUCUUAUAAGUCAAGAAAAGGCAACUGAUGUUGGAUCGACUCUCUUCCAUGUAAAAAAUGCAACUUUUAUACAUAUAAAAGAACUUCUUCCCCUCACCAAUGUGGGAUUUCAUAGAUUUAUUCUGGAAACACAUCAAAGGAACAUCUUUUCUCUUGGGUGACCCUAAGUGGUGAGUCAGAUCAUUUGCAUGCCAUUGAGUUGCACAGUUGGAUAAAUGCACCUGCCUCCUGGGCUCCAGAGUUAAAAGGGUGGAUCCCUGGAUUGCAACCCUCUUGGCAUCUUGGUUUCUAUUCCAACAUCCACAUGACUUGACAAAACAAAAAACAGAAUAAAAUCAGCACUAUAUUCAUGCUAAGCACCAAUACAUGAUGGAAAUCAUUGCUUAAAGAUUUGGGGUCGUUUUAGGUUUUGACUGCCUCCUACCACCUCACCUAAUGACAAGUUUUUAUGCUUACAAAUCAAAUAUCGUUCUUCAUUAUAUUAAAAUCAUUUUAAGAUUUCAGAUCCAUCUGCUAAUUAUGAUUAUGAUAACAUUUAUUCACCUGUGCUUCUCAUUUUCGACACACAAGGCAUCUAGGUUUGCAGGAUUUCCUUAUUAGAUGAGAUAAAUGAGUACGUAUGGUUAUGUAUCCAGCAUUCAUUAACCAUGGUAUGUGACAUUUAGAAUUAAGAUAGCAAGCAAACUUUCCCUGCAGCUAGAGUAAAUUGUGAUUUCUUAGCCUCUAUGAGUGGUUCCCAAAUCAAAUUAACAUAGUGAAAUAUACGUAGUCCAGUGAAAGGAAAUGUAAAUUAUAAACUAACAGCACUACACUACUGGUAACAAUCGAUACUCUCUAUAUAAUGCAAUAAACAAUGUCACAAUUGCCUACAAGCAAGGCACAAACACUAGAACAAGUAAAGCACAAACCUUUCCCAACAGUUCCCAGUGACUGAUGCAUAUCAUACCCUCAACUCACAGAAGGGGAUGAUAUCAGUGCACUGCAGCACUUAUUUUACACAUACUACCACUACUACUACUACUACUACUACUCAUUAGCCAAAGUCACUCAGUUGGGAUGAGUGUGAGGUAGAGGUUUGUGGGGUGCUAUGUGGAAAGGAGUUUGGCUUCUUCUCAGGAGAUGGUAGCUUCUUUGCAGGAGUUGAAGGAGGCUUAAUCUUCUGUGGUGGAUUGAUUGUAUGAGUCUUUGGCACUCUCUUCUCUAGUACAGGUGAAUACCCAGGGGUGCAUCCAUAAUGCGGUGGCUUCUAUCCCUUAGGUGGUUUGCCAAAUUCAAAAUCGAAGGAUUUUUUUUUUUUAAGUAUACGUAUCUUUGAAAGCUUUUAUUUUGUAUGGCAAAUGGAAUGAGAGGAGCAGUCAUAUUCUAUUUGGCCAGAGCAACAUAUCACAAAUGAACAAGCUAUUUACUGCCACACUGGGCAAAACAUACAUAAUCCUUGUACUUCAAACAUCCAUGAAUUCUCAUCAUUUUCAGGACACGUUGCAUGGUCUAUCAUUCUAUAUGUCGGCAUAGUAAGUGCAGCUAAUAAGCCUAUUCAGAGCUGAAAUUCAAAAUCUAUUCACAGGAUAAUGACCUUAUUAUUGGAUUUUGCUCACUGUCAUACACACAUAUCAGAUAAAGCCCCACAUGCUCAUAAGCUACAAGCAACCUACAAGCACUAAAAUGAGUGUUAGACGUAUGAAACAUUCCCCAAUACUAGUAGUAUUACCUGUUCCAUAGAACACUAAAUUAGAAGAGAGAAGAUGUGAGACUCCAGCUUUUCUUUCUACAUAUUACUCAUAUCAAGUUGGAAUAGUUAGGCGGUAGAGGCUUGGGGUGGCUUGUGUAGGGGACUAGGCAGCUUCUCUCAGGAGUUGAUUUCGUCUUAUUCUGGAUGUCCAGGUUUCGUCCUUUCGAAUUUCCCAUGCAAAUCAGCAUUCUCCUUGGGAAACUUCACUCCGUUGGGAAACUUGUGUGAAUCUUUGGCAUUCUCUACCAGAGAAGGCCCAGGGCAGUGACCAUAAGGUGGUGGCCUUUUUUCAGGUGGUGGCUCCUCUCCCACUGGAGGCUUGUGGUAAUCAGCAAGAGAGGCAGUGGAGAGAAUCAUCACCCCAAGGAACAGCACUAGCAAGUAUUUGUGAGCCAUAUUUGGGAUCUGAUGAUGAAGACUAGAAGAUAGGAGUUGCCUCAUAUAAUGGGUUGGAGACUAUAUCUCAAGGGGACGUGUAUUUAUGCAUAUGAUCUAUAUAGGACCAUCCUCCUAAUAUUUUCAAAAUAAUGUUAUUGUCUCUCUUGGGUGACAGUUUGAUUUGGUCUAUUUCCAUGCCACUGAGUAGAAAAGUUUGACAAUUGGCUACACCACCUACCUGGAUUACAUGGUUGAAAGUGAAGAUCAGUACAGUGUGAUCACACUUGACCUCUUGUUCCCCAUUCCAGUAUCUAAUUAACCUGACAAAAGUAAAAGGAAAGGAAAAAGGGAAAAAAUAGAAUAAUGUUCAAAUAAAAACGAGAAAAAAUAGCAUAAUGUUGAUGAAUCAUGAUAAGCAUCAAGGCAUGAUAGUGAGAGAGAGGAAAGAAGACAGUGUAAUUUGCAAUCCUGAUAAUCAUUAUAUAGCAGUAACUUUAAUCAUUUUUCUAUCACAGGGAACAUGACACUCAUCUUCCUAUGGAGAUAUUGCAUAAGUUUUUUUCUUUGUAUGUCAACACUAACCAAUGAAGCAUGUUAGCUGGUUUGAAACUGAAACUGUAGCCCUCUGUUUGGUUCUUGAAAAACUUGAGAGAAAAUGGAAGUAAAGUUAAAAGGAAAGAAAAAGUGAAAAAAAAUAAAAAUAGAUUGAAAGUUAACAAAUUAUUUUUACAUGUUCCCUCAAAUUUCUUUCACUUAUUUUUCCUUUUCUAUAUAAAGAUUAAAUGAUUUAAAAAUCAUAAAUUUCUAACUAAUUAUAACUAUAUUUGAUUUUCUUUCAUAUUUUCCAAGAUAAAGUCAGACAUGAGAAAAUCAUUUUCCUUAAAAAAGAAAUUCUUUCCUUUACAGUUUCUUAGAACCAAACCUGGCACAAAAGUCCAAAUUGGGGUUUCUCCAUGUUCCAUUUUUUAUGGCUACCUUUAUGGACCAUAUAAUAUAGAAUGUACUUCUGCAUACCUUCAAGAUCAAGCUGAACUAUAAGAAAAAGACAAGCCAUGGCCCACGGAGCAGGGAUACCAAGCUGCCUUCUCCUAGAUUAAGUUCCAAGAUUUCAGUCUUCAAACCUGCUAAAAGCUAAAGGCAUGUUUCCAGCCUGCGGCAGAUAACAUGCACUGUCCAACAAUAAAUUGCAAACACAUUCGAUGCAGUUUAUUAGUACAAUAAGAUUAAAUCCACCAAAUCUUUUACAGUUCAACCAACACUUGAACUAGUAGCUAGCUUCACUACUGGGUAAUAAUAUAUAAACCAAACUCUUGAUAGGAACCAACCUAUCGCAGAUCGAACUUCUUACAUCCACCAUGAAUUACUGAACCAAAAGAAGAAUCGAAGAGACUGCCAAGGAGGAAAGCCUUCCUAUAACUAGAUAUUUAUAUUCCAAAUUAGGGAGAGCACCCACUGCCCAGGCCUCGCCCAGCAUAAACAGAUAGUAUACAUAUACAUGCAAAAAGCUCCAACCUUCAAGAUUUUAACUAUUAACUUAACACAAUUAAAAAUGUAUCCAAAAAGCAAAUCCCCUUGAACUCCUGAAGCAAUUACUCCAACCAAAUAAAGAUUUUAAGAGUUCCAUGUUCAUAUCCUGCAAGGAAAUCAUUCAAUGUUCAGACCUCUAAUUUCUGUCUUUCUAAAUGCCCAGCCAAAAGGCAUAAAGUAUCAUCCAAAUUGGAUGCACAGCAUAUGUUCUUAAAUCAUGGGAUUUCACCAUAAGUUACUACACUCUAACAGGGCCCAGAAAUUGACCUCCAGAUAUGCCUAUCAAAAAAUUAUCCCCACAUACAUUUUUCUGCUGAAAAGACAAUAUUGUUACAUUUGACAUUCAACCACUACUUGAACUCAACAACCAGGGAAAAGAAUAUAGUAUUUCUACCAAUGAGGAUGAGAGGGGCUGGUGAAUUAACAGGUAAAAGUUUGUUUUGGGUUCAUUGUUUGCAUAAUAAUGUAAAAAUGGAGUAGUAUAUUAUAAAUUAAUGUAAAAAUGGAUUAGCAUAACAUAAAUUGCCAUAAGAGAACCACAAACUACAAAGAAACUUAUUUUCCAAACAAGGAAAAUUAUUCAUAGCCAUUAUUACAUAAGAAAGGAAAUUGAUAAAAUUAUUAUCCAGUUCCCCAUCAGGAAAUAUGAAAGUACUCCUAAAAGCCUCAAUUCUAACCAGAAAACCAUAGAAAUGUAUUAGAAAUAUUGUACAGGGUUCUCUCCAAUAUUAGCUUCAGUUGCUAAGGAGAUCAGAACCUUGAAAGUAAGUCACAAAGGUCGUGUGGGUUUCCCAGAGUCUUCAACAACCAGUAUUCACAUAUGUACACAUUAAAAUUAAAUAAAGCAGGUAUCAAUUCCACAGGCUUUAAGAUUUGAAUUGCUUCUCCCUGGAAUCAUACACCACUCAUAUUGUCACUGACUUUCAAUUACUUCUCCCUGCGAUCAUAUGCCACUCAUAUUGUCACUGCCUUAGGGAACAAAGUGAAAAUCUGCAAUUUCAAUUAAUUCCAACAUAAAAAUAAAAAUCAAUCCUCAAAAAAUGGAUUGCCAGGAGGUAAAUAUAAUAGAAGACGAACAACUCUCACAACCAAGUUAAAGAAACCAGCCGCUAGGUACCUUUGAGUUCUAUACUACCAGGAACAAAUUGGAUGAGAUUAUUUAAAGGCUAUUCCACAGUGGAAAUUCAUUCGUUCAAAAAACAUUUGUCAUGCAUAUAGGCAAUCUAUCCUAUGCAUUCAUACAUCAUGGUCUCAUGCAAUCUUAAUAAAAGUGGUCCUGGAAAAAGAGAGAAAAAAGUAAUUACAAGCCUGUGCGACCAGAUUUCUUUUGUUUUUUUUUUUUUUUUCCUUUGCCAAACAACCAUGUUCAUAGUUUCAGAAGUUCAUUCUGUCUUUAAGAGACCAUGGCAGUGACUUGGCCAUUCAGCUAAGANNNNNNNNNNNNNNNNNNNNNNNNNNNNNNNNNNNNNNNNNNNNNNNNNNNNNNNNNNNNNNNNNNNNNNNNNNNNNNNNNNNNNNNNNNNNNNNNNNNNUCACCAAGGACUCCUCAACCUCAAAAUAAUAGAGAAAGUCUAGGACACCAUGUCACUACUGAGGACAACCCAACACCACAACAUUUCAGUCCGUUCAAAAAGAGUAAUUGGAAUUGUUGCAAAAAAUGUUCAACUAGUCCCAACAGGAGGCAAAUUCCUCCAUUUCUUCAUCGGGUCCGGAUCCUUUGCUCAAAAAGGUAAUUUUCUUACUGCCCUAAAAGAAAAAGGGAAAAUGUGAGUCAUUGGAUUGUUGACUCAGGAGCUUUUGAUCACAUGACUAGAGUGCCACAAUUUUUCAAAAUUAUACACCUUGUUUUGGGGAUGAUACAAUUCGUAUGGCUGAUGGUUCUCUCUCAAAGGUGACUGGUACAAGUUUUAUUGUCAUCUCUAAGGACCUAACUCUUGACUCUAUUCUUUUGGUUCCAAACUUGGAUUGCAAUCUAUUGUCCAUUAGUAAACUCACUUAUGAAAAGAACUAUGUUACUAAAUUUUUCCCAAACCAUUGUGUUUUUUAGAAUUUGAAUUCGGGGAAGACGAUUGGCAAUGUUGAAGUGUGUUUAGGACUCUAUGCCUUCAAAGUGAAUUAUUAUAUUGAAAGACAAUCUUAACCAACAGUUGGUGAAAAAUGGUGUCUUUUUGUCUUUAGUUCUAAUAAAGAUAGUGAUGUUAUGUUAUAGCACUAUUGUCUAGGACAUCCUAGUUUCUUAUAUCUCAAAAAACUCUUUCCAUGGUUUUCAGUGUGAAAUUUGUCAACUAUCCAAGCAUCUUUGCAAGCCCUAUCCAUAGUUUUAAAAGACUUAAGGCACACCAAGACGCAAAGUCCUCUUGGAGCCUUAGGCGCAAGGCACACCUAAGGCGCGAACUUUAGUAAAGUGAGGUGCAUCCUGUUUUACAUAUAUAUUUUUAUAUAAUACAAUCAAGUGCCCGAAAAUUUUCCUCUAAUUUUCCCCUUCUUCUUCAUCCUCUUCUCUUCUUCACAUUGUUCGGGAGGCUAGGACAUUUUUUUUUUUUUACAUGUCUAAAACAAGCAUAUAUUGGGUUUUGGAAGAAGAACAAGCCAAAAUGACAUCGUUUUGGAGCCUAAUCUUUUAAAUAAAUAAAUAAAUAAAUAAAAACCAGCCAAAAAUGACACCGUUUUGGCCCCUGUUCUUUUAAAAGAACAAACCAAACAACGUCAUUUUGAUCUCAGGAAAUUAAAAAAACAAAACCCUCGUCAUUCUCCCUUUGCUACUCUACAACUCAUCGUCAAAGGGUAAAAAGAUGACCAAAAGAAGAAGAAGAAAAAAAAAAAACGACGACAGAGGAUAGAGGUGCACCUGUUGAGGGCGUUGCGCCUAGCCAAGAGGCGAGCGCCUUGCACACUUAAUCAACGCCUCUGUGAAGGGGCGGCUCCUGCAAUCAGGCGAAGCGCUGAAGGGUGAUGUCACAUCGUCUAGAGCCUAGGCGCACCUUUCACAACUAUGACCCUAUCCAACUCAACCAUACAAACCAUCUCAUCUUUUUUCCAUACAUAGUGAUGUUUGGAGGUCAUCUAAAAUAAAGAACAUAACAGGGACUAGAUGGUUGAUGAUCAUACUAGAAUUUCUUAGAUAUUUCUAAUGAAAAAAAAAUCAAAAAUUAGUCAAAUUUUCUAAAAGUGGACCAGAAUUUCUUUAUUGAAUUAAAAAGUUGAAAUUAAUAUUUUGGAAAAGUUAGGGCCGCUCAAGAGGUAGAAAUAGCGCUCGAGUGGUAGAAAUAGCGCUCGAGUGGUAGAAAUAGCCCUCAAGUGGUAGAAAUAGCGCUCAAGCGCUAGGACCGCUCAAGCACUUAACUAGCGCUUGAGCGCUCAUAUAGAAUCUGCCAGAAUAUGGAAGAAUAUUUUUUGGAUAAUCAUGAAAAUUGGAUUUGGAAACUUUAGAAUAUCAAUCUCCUUCGGCCUAGAGGUUUAUAUAAACCCUAUUAUAACCCUUUAGGGUUAAGAAAUUCACCAAGUGGUUUACCCUAACUUGUCAUACCAUUCCCGAUCUCUCAUCAAGGAAUCAAAGUGUUUAAUCUUGGGUUGUUUGAAGACCUGCAUCCCUUCAACAAGGCUAAGGUGUAUUCACUAGAACAAUUGAAAUUGUUGCAUUGCGGACAUGAAUCAAGUUGCAGGUUCUAGAGAGUAAGUCUUUAGAAUAAAGCAGACAAAGAGUUCUAUGUGACUUUAUCUCAUAUAGUGGAUUUAGCUUUGAGGUCUUAGACCUCGUGGGUUUUUAUCUCCAUAGUUAGUGUGGGGGUUUUCCACAUAAAAAUUAUUGUGUCUCUUGAUCUUAUGUUUGAUUUUAGAUAUUCUAUUUAUCCCUGAUAUCUCACAGGUUAACUUUAGGUUAAAAAUUCAACUCCCUAUUUAAUAAUUUUUAAAAUACACCCAUUCACGAGUGUUAUCCUACUGGACAUUGGUUUUUCACCAUAUAUAACACUCAUACCAAAACCCAUGCAACAUGGACUCCAACCUUAAGCUUAACUUUCUACGAAUGGAAAAAAAAAAAGACAUAACAUAAAUAGACAGAUUUAACAACAUGCUCCUAAUCAAGGUGAAUGUCCCUCUUUUUGAAAGAUAUGACCUUUUCCAUACGAGGAGCUUUCUUUAAAAUUUCACCUCUACCAAUUCCCAUGCCUUUACAAAGUUGUGGAAAGCUCCAAAGAGAAGGCCCAGACAUGUAAUGGGUAGAUUCCCUACCUUAGAACCUUACACCAAAGCUAAACCCCUAAUAUUUGUGACUUCUAUAAGAAUCAAUUCAUUUUUUUCCAUAUUUAUUUCUAAAUCAGACAUUGCCUCAAACCACAUGAAGUUAUAACUUGGAUGUUACAGAUGCUCUUAAUUAGUGUCACAAAAAAAUAGGGUAUCAUCAUCAAACAAGAAAUGUGACACUUCCAUCCCCUCCUCCUGUCUUCCUCCCACUUUGAAACUUGAGAUGUAACCCCUUUUAUCUAAUUCUCCUCAAAAUUCAAUUGAAAGCCUUCAUUGCCAAUAUGAAAAUGUAAGGGGAGAGAGGAUCUUUCUACCUCAAAUCCCUUGAGCUCUCAAAGAAACUGAAUAGGACACUAUUUACUAGAAUAGAGAAUUGAGUAGUGGAAAUGAACCAUUUGAUCCACCUCACCCACUUAUGAUCAAAGUCCAUUUUAUCCAACAUCAUUAACAAAAAGUUCCAAUUUACAUGGCCAUCGUCCUUUCCAAUGUCUAACUUGCAAAUUACCCCACUAUUGGGACUCUUUAACCUUGAAUCUAGAGCAUCAUUUAUGAUUAGAACUGCAUCUAGAAAUUGUCUGUCUUCCACAAAAGCAUGCAAAUAAACUAAAACUAUUUUACCCACCACAUUUUUUAGUCUUUUAGCCAAGACUUUUUCCAAUAGCUUGUACAAAAAAACCCCCAACUAAGCUAAUCAAUGUAAAAAAUUUUAGGUUCUCUGCUGCACCUAUAUUAGGGAUCAAGACCAAGAACAUGACAUUUAAAUUUUGCUCAAAGGAACAAUUAUCAAAAAACUCCCCAAGCUCAUUUGCCAAAAUAUUAUAAUAAAUCCAUUUGGCCCCUACAGCUUUAUCCCCACUCAAGCUAGACAAGGCAACAAGAAAUUCCUCAUCAAAGAAAGGUAACUCCAAUUUCCUAGAAUCAGCACAUAGCAUAACUUCAAAGGUCAUCCCAUUAAUGUUGAGUCUCCACUCGCCCAUAUCAGAUAGGAGAUUUUGGAAGGCCCUAAACUCCCCUUCCUUUAUAUUUGCUUCCCAAGCAACCAUUUUGCAUUCACUCAAAUUUUAAACAUGAAGUUUUUUAUUCUUUGGGCAUUGACCAUUUCAUGGAAAAUUUUGGUGUUUUUAUCCACCCCCUCUUUUAACCAAAUUUCUCUUUAUUUUUGCCCCCAUACAUAUAGAUUCUUCUAACAAGGCCCACUUGCUAAACUCAAUCACCACUAACCUUUGGCCUCAACGAUUUCAAGAGAUAAGGUAACUGCUCUCUACUUUGAGUCCCAGAAGUUGAUCCAGUUUAGCACCUCUAGGUUUUUUGUUGAGACAUUCCCAAAACCUUCUUCAUUCCAAGAUUUUAAAUCUCGUUUGACAGCCUUUAGUUUAACUUCCAAAAUAUGACCAUACAAGCCAUCCACAUUAUAACCAUCAACCAACUCCUCACAAAAUCUUUUAAGCCUUUUGUUUUAGGCUACAUAUUUUAAAAUGUAAACUGUGUUUUCCCACUCCUUAUCCUACCUCCAUCUAAAACUAUGGGGUAAUGACCAAAAAUUGGUUUAGGUAAAAUACUCUAGAUUAAAGUAGAAAAACGAUUCUACCAAUCAUCUGACACUAGGAAAUGGCCAAGCUAGCCUUGAAGAAGACAAAAGAUUAUGAACACCACUCCAAGUGAAUAGCCCUCCAACUAGCGAAAGAUCCCAAGGUCAAGUCCUCUAUGUCCUCUGAAAAGAACCUCAUAUCAAACAACAUUCUAAGGCAAUUCCUCCUUUUCAUGGGGAACUUGACCAUAUUAAAAUCCCCUCUGAAGCACUAGAGGUCAUCCCAAAGGCCUCUUAUGGCACCCAACUCUACCCAGAAAUCCACUCUUUCUCCCCUUUAAACCAACCCAUAAACUCUUACGUAUACCUAGACAAAGCUAUCUUCACAAUUCAUAGACAAGCAAUAGAGAAUGCUUCCACCUCCUUACCAAUUAACUCUAAUACCCUACUAUCUUGGAAAACCAAAAUGCCUACUAUCAAGCUUCUAACUUCCAAUACCAUUUCAAAAAUUUUCCUACUCCUAAACUCCUUACCAGUUGAACGAACAUCUAUCGAACCUUGGUUUCUUGUUAACAAACUAGAUCAACCCCUUGAGACCUUAUCAAUGACUUUAUUAUCAUAUACUUUUCCUCAUCAUUUGCUCAUUUGACAUUCCAAGACAGGAUUUUUAGCUUCAUCAUGCAACCUAUGUUGGAUCCUAACUGCUACUCUUGGAGCCCUUUUCCUUUUUGUUGAGCUUUUAUAAUUGACUAAGCAUCCCAACUUGUUGAGGUCCCUCUCAAACCAAGAUAUCGAGGUUAACUUCCUCUUCACCUCCAACGAAAAAACAGAAACCCCUCUCCUUAGCCUGCCACACAAGGGAAAAGAUCUCUUUUUCAAAUCCAUCAACUGGCAUUCUUGAGAAACUAUUGAAAUUUGCCAACUUACAAGAUAUACAAUUGGAGGAGUGCUUCUCUACCAAACAACUACUAAAAUUCACCUCAAAGGUGACCUUUUCCCCUGAUCUCUCCCCGGCCUCCAUACCCACUGACCCUUUCACAAAAUUUUCUAGAAUUUCCACUAUCAAGCCGUUACGGAGAACCAUCCUCAACAAACUCCUUUGACUAAUGUGAAAAACCCCACCCAAGAGCAUCUUCCAGAAGUUAACUUACAAGAUUAACUAUAAUCUUGUGAAGACUCGUUACCUAAUGGGUAAAAAAUUUGAAAUUCUAUUAGUAUAAUUCUUUUUAGGCACAAAAGCUGUGAAAAUAGCAUUGGUGCUCUAAUUAAUAACCCCAUAAUUAUUAAGCAAUAAAACAACUUUUAAUAAAUUCUCUUUCACCACAUCCCACCAAUCCUAAUGCAAAAAAGCUAGGAAAAAGUCAUCAUUGCUCUAAGCAUUUCUCCUCACUAGUUGAAAGACUGCUUUAUGAACUUCCUCUUCGACAAAAGGACAAUCCAACCAAUUAGCACCAUUUUCCAAAAUGAGAGACCAACCCCCACUCUUCUAUCCUCUAAGGAUCUUCAUAUAACCAUUAAUGCCUUUCUAUACCAGCUAGUAUAUAUCGGGUUUUGGGCAAGUCCUAUAAAUUGGUUUGAGUAAGAUUUUUAAUUACCCUGUUCUUUCUUUUUAGUUGAUAAAUAUGCAUAUAUGUAGUAAUUCAUACAUCAGAAAAGAUUUUGCUAAAACAAAAGAAUUGACAUGCAGAUAGUGACUUCUUGAUAAGAGUAAUAGCUUAAGGGAGGAAAAUGAACUCCUCCAGUGGCCCCAAAGUGGUAAGUUCCUUCAGAUCCCAUGUUGCUAUUCUGCAUUUCUUUGUGUUUUGGCAUCAGCCCUCUUAAUUAAUUCACUAUCCAGCUUCUCAAAUUCCUCGGAUUCUUCCCUUGUUCUUGUGGAAACAUCUGCAUCUUGUCCUUGCAUUGUUAUGGAUUGGUGAUUAUCAUUCUUUGAGAACUGUGUGGCAGCUGCUCGUGCACCAGCUAUGGCUGCAAGGAGACCUUCUGGUUUCUUGUCUUCAGCAGCUUUGGAGCCAUCAAAGCAAGAAACAAGUAAUCCUGGUUUCAAAGAGAGGGGAUCUUGUGGUUCUGGAAGCAGAAACUUGACAGGUAGUGGAGCUUGAACAGGACGAAGACCCCUAACUGCUGCCUCAUAUAUCUGCAACAAUUUCAGGGGGGAUAAGUAAUUAAAAAUCAGUCACUCUAUUGCAUUAGUUAGACUUGCUUUCAAUGCGAUAGCAAAGAAAGAAUCAUCAAUGAAAAAAGAAAAAAUAAAUGAAAAAGAACAAAAAGGAGAGGGAAAAAAAAAUGAUGGGUGCUCAAUUUGUACUUUUCUUUCCAGGUUAUAAAUACGUUGGUACCCGCGCAUCUCAAAUGGUAUGAUUAAUUUCUGCAUCAGGUCAGGAGAACUAAGUCCAUCAAUAUACUAAAAAGCAAAUAUACCAAAAGGCAAGCAAAAAUGUUUAACCAUCUUGAGUGUCAAACUCUCCAAGAAACUAUAUACUUUUAGCUGAAUGAAAACACAUGCCUGUGGUUGCUCACAGAGCCAGCAAAACUCUGUUUGCGCUUCUAGCCUUACCUACAAAUAGAGUUUAGGUUAUCCAACCAAAAUGGAGAUACAUCACACAAAACAAACUGUACCUAAUCAGUUUACGAAGGGGACGGGGGGAAGCAAAAAGCAAAAGUAAAUUUCUAAGAUGCCCACCCCUUCAGGUACCUCCUUCCAGCACGCCAGCUCUUCACAUUUAACACAACCAACUACUUCAAUACAACCUGUGGCAAGAAUAGAGUUUGUUGGAUUUAUUGUAGCAUGCCAUACAGAAAAAUUUAGCAUUUCAGUAAGAAUAAGAAUAAGAGAGCUACUUUCCACUAAAAUACGAAUCACCCAUCAACUGUUGCAAACAGACAACAAUGUGAAUAACAGGUUUUAUAUAUAUAUAUAUAGAGAGAGAGAGAGAGAGAGAGAGAGAGAGAGAUAGAUAGAUAUAGAGAGAGAGAGAGAGUCAAAUAAUAAUAAAGGACAAAAAUAUUUCUUUGAGAAAGACUAAUUAGAAAGAAGAAACAAAGAACCCACAUGAAAUCAAUUUAGAUAAGAGAAAUACCUUUAAGAAUCUAGUUCUUUUUGCAAAUUGCAACUUAGAAUUGGAAUGCCACAUAUUAUUAUAAGGUAUCACAAGAGAUUAUUGCUUCAUUUUUUUUCUUUGCCAGAUCAGUUUUAAUAAAUAUAAAUAUAAAAAUAUAAGCAUGUACACACACACACGCAAACACAUUAUGUGUGUAUGUUUAUGGAUAUGUAGAUAUAGGUUUUUAAUAAUAGAGCAUGAAAACAUAUCUAGUCAGAAAUUCCAAAAAUCCAAAACCAUUAGCAACACCUAACAGUCUUGAAACUGGGUAAUGUUCUGGAAACUUGAGGUCUGCUAUCCCAUUCACAGCAUAGAUCUCCCUGUAGAAAUUCUCCAUUGCUUUGAUUGUGUCUGAAUCUGGGACCUUACUAGCAGCAUGAAUCCAGAGUCGGCCUUCAUAAAACAAAACAUGUAUAUUAAGAAAUAUCCUUGUAGAACAGUAACAUUUUUGCCAGCAUGCAAUUCGUGUUAAUAAUCCUUGGUUCUCACCACUCAUUGUACAUUACAAUGUAAAGACCUAAUAAGCCCUAAUAUAGGUAGGUGUCUGUGCAGAGAGAGAGAGAGAGAGAGGGGAGGGGGGUGAAAGGAAAGAUGAUUAUAGAACAAAUACAAGUUGAAUCUCCUGAAAUAAUGUCCAUCAAGUUAUUUCCUAGCAACAAGUACUGAUUAUGCUUUUCCUGAUAACAUGAUUUUCUUUGCUAACAACCAUACUAUAUUUUAUCAAGAAAGAGUAGUGCAUGUGGCGUGCAUCAAGACCCAUUAGAGUUCCGCUAAACCUAUAGUUCUGUCAACGUUAUCAUUUACGUUUCCUCUAGAUAAUGGCAUUUUCCUCUAAAACUCUUGCACCAUUAGGCUUCAAGUCAAAAUUUCACAUGUGAACUUUGGAAAUUUUCUCCAUUUGCCCCUAAGGAUACAGUUAGAAUUGACUUAAAAUCCUGAUUGAUGUAUACUUUUAACCGAAGAAUAUUGUAUAUAAUAAUUGAAAUAUUGUUGAUUCAUCGUGGAAAUACAUUUUGUAAGGAAAGUUGUUAAGAAUUUAGUAUGCUAUAUGGAGAAAAAAGUCAUGACUUAAGGUUGAGUAUGUAUAUUCUAUAUCAAAUAUUAGGUAGGAAUGUGGAAAAGAGCAGAGUGUAAUUAUAAGAAACAAAGAAAUAUAAGAUAUUCUUGAAAGUGGAAAAUGUAAAAUGGCUAAAAGUCAAAUUUAUGAUGCAUAAGGGGGAUCAUGUCACAUAAGAAACUCAUGGCAUACCAAAUACGUGUGGUAUGGAGUAACAAUUUUGUUAAAAUAAGUUUCUCGUUGGAGUACAUUAGGUGACAAUUUUUUAAUAUCAAAUUAAAGAGUCAAGUGCAUCAAUGAAGUCAUAUGUAGAAAAUUUGUUUGUGACAUGUACCAUAAAGAUAAGAUUGACUUGAUAUAAUUUAGUCCAGGUAGGAGUUGUUAAAGGUGUCUCAAAUUUCUAAUUGAUAUAUAUUUUUUUCUAAAAAAAUAUUAUAUAGAUAUUUCAAUAAAUGAUUAAUUCUUUGUAAAAAUACUUACAUAAUAAAAAACAUCAUUAGAAAUAUCUCUAUAAAUAUUUUAAAUCACAAAAAGAAAAAAAAAAUCACUAUGAGAUAAUUAUAAACAUGCAACAUUGUACCAAGUAAACAGAAAUGUGAUAAAAAAAUUUUGAGAAACACUAAAUAAAGGAAGGGCUUGUAUAUCAAGAUGUAAAUAUAGAGAGCAAUAUUUUUAAUCAUAUGAUAGAAUUAUUUUCUCUCAUUCAUGAUUAUAAGCAAAAUUGGGAACCAUUAUAAAAUCUUGUACACCUCGUGUAAAUUGAUGUUUGUCUUCAUAUUUUACACCAACAAAUGACAUUGAAGUUGUCAUUGAUAAAAGGGAAAAGGCAUGGCCUCCACACCAUGUGCUUGAAUCGUAUGGUUCAAGUUUAAAGAAUUUUCUCCAUAAUUUGAAGAUCUAAAACAUUUUCACCUUUAAAUUUCAUUUAAUUAUUAAUAUCUACAAAAAAUAGUUAAAUACUCUUUCUAUUUUUGAGUUGUUGAAUUUUUUGAAAGUUUUUAUAUUUGUUAUCAAGAAUUUAUAUUUUAUUAAGUGUGAAUAUUUAUAAAUAAGAUAUUAUAUAAUAUUUGGAUAAGAGAGAAUGGUGGAAUAUAAUAAAGUUUUAAUCCUUCCCAAUUUUUAUCUUUUUUUUUUUUUUUUUUUAUAAUCGCCUUUCUCUUUCAAUCCUAUUAUCAGGUACCUUAUAUUUGCUGAUGCUAUCUGGAACUAAAUUCCAAUCAGACAUUGUCCAAUUACUAAUAGGACAGAUCAUGUCUCUCUGUUUCUAAACUAACAUGUAUCGUAAUGUGGCCUCAUAAGGAAGGCUAGGAAGAUGGAGGAUUUUGUGGGAAGCGACCAGAAUCAGAUGGAAGAGAGAUAGCCCUGUUGACCUAAUGGCUGUAAUAGGAGAAGCGUGUGGAUUUAUGGGACUUAACUGAUACUAAACCUAUAUGAUGCUUGGAGUGGUGUUUCUUUCAUUUUGUUAAGAAAAUAUGGCAGCAUACAUCCUUUCAAUUGAGUGCAUCAGAGCAUCCAUAAUAGAUGGUCUGCAACCCUAGGUGCAUGCCACUUUCUGACUGAUAAUGAAACUGUCAGGUACUUGGCCUUGACUAAGCUCAACAGCAUCACAUAAAAAGAAGCUUUCAUACUUAGAUUACUGUUUAAAGCUUUUGCUUAUUUGCUUUCUUAAUGCCAUUAUGACAUUAUUGUUUCAAUUCUGCUACCGAUUUUCGAAGUUCUGGGCAUCUACUGAUUGCAUCAUUAUAUGAGAAGUUGCAUGAGUUUAUGUAUCCUGUUAUUGCUCCUUUGCGAUUUCACUGCUCACGGGACUAACCUCUCCAUUCAGUCGAAAUGAAUUGUAAUUUCUUUACUGGUAGCAGUAGUACUUUUCAUAGCAAAGAUAAUAGUAAAUAUGAAAUAUAAAUAGAAGGAAAUCUGAAUUGUAGAUGGCACUAUAAGUAACACUCAAUAUUCACUACAUAAUAAAAUAGACAGUGUUACAAAGGUAGAGAAACCUACAAUGAGUACUCAUCACCAUUCUCAAACAGAAACAUAGCAGCGACUUAUACAUAGAACCUAUAGGCUUGCAGGGAAAGAAGGGAAAGAGUAACAUGAUAAGUUCACAGCGGGUAGCAGCUCUUAUUUUACGUAUUACUCAAAAUCUCAAACUAACCAAAGUCACUCAGUUGGGAUGGGUAGGAGAUGGUGGUUUGUGGGGUGGCUUCUGGGUAGGAGCUGGUGGCUUCUUUGUUGGAGUUGAAGGAGGCGUAAUCUUCUGAGGUGGCUUGUAUGAGUCUUCGGCACUCUCUGCAGGAGGGUGCCCAGGGUUGUGACCGGAAGGAGGUGGCUUCUGUCCCUUUGGUGGUUUGCCUAAUGGGCUUGGUGGCUUGUGCUCCGGGAGUUGUUUCUCUCCCUCGAGUAGGUUUCGAGUUUUGUCAGAUGGCUUGUGUUCUGGUGGUGGCUUCUCUCCCUGGGGUGGUUUGCCGAAUGGGCUUGGUGGCUUGUGUUCGGGGAGUGGCUUCUCUCCCUGGAGAAGGUUACGAGUUUUGUCAGAUGGCUUUUGUUCUGGUGGUGGCUUCUCUCCCUGGGGUGGUUUGCCAAAUGGGCUUGGUGGCUUGUGUUCGGGAACUGGCUUCUCUCCCUUGGGAGGUUCAUUUGGUGGCUGGUGUUCCGUAGGUGGUUCCUUCACCGGCGGCUUGUGCUCCGGAAGCGGCUUCUCUACCUGGAGAAGCUUACGAGUUUUGUCAGAUGGCUUGUGUUGUGGUGGGGGCUUCUCUCCCUGGGGUGGUUUGCCAAACGGACUUGGUGGCUUGUGUUCGGGGAGUGGCUUCUCUCCAUUGGGAGGUUUAAUUGGUGGUUGGUGUUCCGUAGGUGGUUUCUGAAGUGGGGGAUGCUUGGGGUAGUCAGCAAGAGACGAGGUAGUGAGAACCACCAGUCCCAGCAGCAACACUAGCAAGGAUGUGGAAGACAUCUUUGAGUUCAGGCUGAGAUCUGUGCAAGGAUAAAAGAUUUAGGUGGCCUUUUAUAGAGGGAUGGACCCAACACCCAUAUGACACGUGUCAUGCACUCAUGGUGACACAUAAAUUCUAUGGAACCAUUUGGGUCCUACAGAAGUUGCAAAGUUGGACUAUUGAGGUGUGAUCACAACUUUUGUCCUUCUUGCUUUCUCUGCGGCCAUUGCCCAAUUUCCUUUAGCAUCAUUUUCUUGGCUAAAUAAGCGUAUUAUAUUUGUGGCAGACCGUCCACGUGUCAUAGACAGAUAUAUUAUAAUAAUGUAGUAUGCUUUUCUUCAACGGAACAUGACACUCUUCUAAGUCUUGUUUUAAAUACUGUGCAGUAUUACGUUAUACGUUGCUUGUUCCAAGUCAAAAUUGGUGGGCAAACGUUGGCCUUUUUUCAUUUUCCCUAAGAUUAAUGCUCACCUGGGAUAGGCACUACAUGAUAUAUCUGCUCUUUUACUGUGAAGUUGCUUUGUGCAUGAGUUACACCUCCCCUGCACACCCUCAACAUUUGUUGCUCUGUUUUCCUUGUGUCCAGACGAGGAUAUUAAUUGGAGGCUGACAAAACGACUGCUAGCCAAGGAUUUACAAGGUCCUGGUUUGACGCUUCCGCGAAAGUAUUUUUGAAAAGAUACACAUAGAGAUUGCGCGUUCGGUGCAAUGCAACAAUGUGAGCCAUUCUGAAGUUUUUAAUUUCAGAUUAAUGAAUGCUACAAAAUUCUAAGAAGGGCCGUUUCCAAAUAUUUGAGUUCAUUUAUCCGAACAUCGGAUAAGUAAUGAUCAUAGAUUAUUAUCUGACGUUCUUAUAAUGGUUGGCAUUAUAAGAGGGUAUAUGCUUCUUUCUCUAGCCCCUCCUUCAAGGGAGGGACAAUGUGAUCUGUAUCGUUAGAAGCUAUUCCAUGUCAUCAUCUUUGGGCUUAAGUCAAUACUAAAAUAUAUGGGCGGGGCCCCUGUCAUUUUAUAUUUCUUCUAGAAGGUUUGUUCUGGAAAUCUUUCACCGAAACAUAUCUUUUUCUUCUCUACGUGAUCCGGUUUGAAAGUUGGAAAAAUGGGUCCGUUAACAAGACACCGAGUUGAAAAGUUGGAAAAAUGGCAACACCGCCAACCUCUUGUAUUCGAUGGUUAAAUAAAAGGUCACUGGAAGUGAGAUCCCUUUUGGCCUCUUGAUUUUCAUUCCAGCAUCUCUAUGGCCUGAUAAACUAAAAAACUAAAAAAAAGACAGUACGUGGGUUGGUGUUAAGCAUCAAGAGUCAAGACAUGAUAAUGGAGAGAAAGGAUAUUCAAAUUCCAGUUCUGACAGCAUGAUUUUCUUUGCUGAACAACCAUAUUAUAUUUGAUCAAGAAAGAGUAGUGCAUGUGGCCAGGAUCAAGACAUACAUUAAUUUCCACAUGAUCAAGACAGUUUCUUCUAAAGCUCUUGCGCCAGUAGGCUUCAAGUCAAAAUUUCCCAUGUAAACACUGGUUUUUCUUUAAUUGCCACUAAGGAUGCAGUUAAAAUUGACUUAAAAUCCUACGUGAUAUAUUUUUUUAACAAAAGUAUAUUGUAUAUAAUAUUUGAAAUAAUGUUGAUUCGUUGUGGAAAUAUGUUUGUAAGGAAAGUUGUUGACAAUUUAAUAUAGUAUAAGAAGAAAAAAGCUAUCAGCUAGAGAUGAGUAUGUAAAGUGAGGCUCCCGAUUCAACGCGUAAAUAUAAGAUAUUUUAAGGCUCAAUAGUUAUGAUAUCUAUUUUAUUUUUUGUAUCUCAUAUAUUCAAAGAUAUAGUAAAAUGAUUUUAUAUAUAUAAACAUAGCUGAUUGUAUCAUGUUAAAACCUGGUAUGACUUUUUGUGCCAAUUGAUUUUUAUCUUUAUUUUGUAUAUUAGUAAUUAGUAUUAAAGUUUUUACUAAUAUAAUAACUAAUAUAAAAACUUUUUCUAAAAGAGUCAACAGAGCAAAACAUUUAUUGUAAAAAAAAAAUUAAAAUAUUAUUUUUUCUAUUUAGAAAAAGUUAUAUAUUUUAUUUUUUCUAUUUAGUAAAAAGUUUAUAAUAAGUCAUAAAAAAAAGUAGAAAAACAAACCACCUAAAUUCUGAAAACAAAUUAUUUUCAAUAAAAAGUCAAAAAAAUAAACACUAUCUUAACUAAACAAGCAUAUAUUAUAUUUGGUUAAAGAGUAGAGUGUAUAUGGCACACAUCAAGGAAGAGAAACAAAAUAAGUGGAAGACAAUCAAGGGAACAUGUAUGGUCUGCCUUUUUCUGAUGUUAUGUUUGUCUCUAAUUCUGUUCCAUGUCAUGGUAAAUGUUCACAUUGCUUGUAUGGAACAAAGGCUUCAUAUUGGGUUCAAUGCUUUUAAUGUGUUCAUUGGACAAAUCUGAAUUAUCAUACGCAUUUAGAUAAGAACAAUAAUGUGAAACCCUAGUUACACCUCCCCUGCAUAACCCCAACCCUGCUUGCUCUAUUUCAGUUUAUUCACACAAGUUUUACUGGUUCUUAUAAGUCAAGAAAAAGCCACUGAUGUUGGAUCGACUCUCUUCCAUGUAAAAAAAAGCAACUUUUAUAAAUAUAAAAGAACUUCUUCCCCUCACGAAUGUGGGAUAUCAUAGAUUUAUUCUGGAAACACAUCAAAGGAACAUCUUUUCUCUUGGGUGACCCUAAGUGGUGGGUCAGACCAUUUGCAUGCCAUUGAGUUGCACAGUUGGAUAAAUGCACCUACCUCCUGGGCUCCAGAGUAAAAGGGUGGAUCCCUGGAUUGCAACCCUCCUGGCAUCUUGGUUUCUAUUCCAACAUCCACAUGACUUGACAAAACAAAAAACAGAAUAAAAUCAGCACUAUAUUCAUGCUAAGCACCAAUACAUGAUGGAAAUCAUUGCUUAAAGAUUUGGGGUCGUUUAGGUUUUGACUGCCUCCUACCACCUCACCUAAUGACAAGUUUUUAUGCUUACAAAUCAAAUAUCAUUCUUCAUUAUAUUAAAAUCAUUUUAAGAUUUCAGAUCCAUCUGCUAAUUAUGAUUAUGAUAACAUUAAUUCACCUGUGCUUCUCAUUUUCGACACACAAGGCAUCUAGGUUUGCAGGAUUUCCUUAUUAGAUGAGAUAAAUGAGUACGCAUGGUUAUGUAUGCAGCAUUCAUUAACCAUGGUAUGUGACAUUUAGAAUUAAGAUAGCAAGCAAACUUUCCCUGCAGCUUGAGUAAAUUGUGAUUUCUUAGCCUCUAUGAGUGGUUCCCAAAUCAAAUUAACAUAGUGAAAUAUACGUAGUCCAGUGAAAGGAAAUGUAAAUUAUAAACUAACAGCACUACACUACUGGUAACACUCGAUACUCUCUAUAUAAUGCAAUAAACAAUGUCAAUGCUCAUUGCCUACAAGCAAGGCACAAACACUAGAACAAGUAAAGCACAAACCUUUCCCAACAGUUCCCAGUGACUGAUGCAUAGCAUACCCUCAACUCACAGAAGGGGAUGAUAUCAGUGCACUGCAGCACUUAUUUUACACAUACUACCACUACUACUACUACUACUACUACUACUACUCAUUAGCCAAAGUCACUCAGUUGGGAUGAGUGGAAGGUGGAGGCUUGUGGGGUGCUAUGUGGAAAGGAGUUUGGCUUCUUCUCAGGAGAUGGUAGCUUCGUUGCGCGAGUUGAAGGAGGCUUAAUCUUCUGUGGUGGAUUGUAUGAGUCUUUGGCACUCUCUUCUCUCGUUCAGGUGAGUACCCAGGGGUGUAUCCAUAAUGCGGUGGCUUCUAUCCCUUAGGUGGUUUGCCAAAU
RNAcentral lists this long non-coding RNA (159290 nucleotides) under Vitis vinifera (wine grape). Its description in RNAcentral is "long non-coding RNA (VVIN_LNC001392)". Lineage: Eukaryota; Viridiplantae; Streptophyta; Magnoliopsida; Vitales; Vitaceae. The record is from RNAcentral.